Molecule: long non-coding RNA, 117235 nt
Filed under: Gossypium barbadense (sea-island cotton)
Lineage: Eukaryota; Viridiplantae; Streptophyta; Magnoliopsida; Malvales; Malvaceae
Description: long non-coding RNA (GBAR_LNC017416)
Source: RNAcentral
UCAUUGGCUUGGCACCCACUUAACAGAAUUCCCUCAUCCUCCGUCAAUGACCUCAAAUUCAAAAUAUCACGUUCAUAAUGGGGUAGGAAUUUGAGACUCACAUUGUUCCCAAAGAGUGUGGUCAAAAGAGAGCCAAUACCCGUCAUAUUGUCUGUUCCAGUGUUGAUGGCAUUGGCAACUGCUGUUGUGUCCAAGAAGCUUUGUGUCGCGCUCACGACGUUGGCUGCUGUUUGUAGGCACUGGUAUAAGGUUUCAAUGGAAAUGCCCCUAGUCUUGUAAUCAACAGGUGGUGCUAUACCCCUUAGAGUACUAUGGGGUCCAAUUUGUUCUUUACUUUUAUCAAUCAGACCACCACUGUGGCAGGAAUCCGAAACCAUUGUGAAGCUUGAUCCACUUGGUAGUUGCUGAAUCAAUUGCCCCAAGUCCACGUCUGCACAACCAUGGCAACCACCAUAUGAUAUAAAUAAUAGUUUGCUUAGAUUGAGAGUAUUUUAAAAUUUUAAUUUACCAAGUUGAUUUCGUACCAAAAAUGGGAUUGAGAUCACAAGGCACAAUUGCUUCACCCCCGUUGGAAGGCUGGUAGGGGUCAAUGCAGUGCACAAGUCCAUGUCCACUAAAAUGGAAAAGCAGGACAUCUCCUUCUUUAGCCGCGACCACCAUCUUCUUGAGUUCAGCCAUAAUGUUUGCACGUGUAGGCUUAUACGUGGACUCUGGUUCAUCAGUUAGGAGCUCAACAUUUUCGGAAUCAAAGCCAAACCUGCUCACGAUCAUUUCUCUCAUGGCUUUCACAUCGUUUACGCAUCCGCUCAACUCGUUGAUGGUGUUGGGGUAGUUGCAUCCGACCAGAACGGCUCUCUUCUUACAUUCGGUGGCCAUCUUGCUUCUAUUUUGGGUCGCUUGUCUUGUCUUGUGCUUCGGACGUUGCACUAAACACCUAUAUAUAUACACCCAUACACACUGUAGUUUACACUAUGCUCACUGACCAUACUCUAAUAAAUAAGACAUCAUGUUGGUAGGUACAACUGUUUUAUUUUAUUAUUGUUUAUAAAAAUGCAUGGCAAAUCCAUAUACAUGCAAUUAGUUGUCUGUAUAAAAGUACCACUGUUAGAGUGUAUUUGGACUAAAAAUUUUAGAAUUAAUUUAAAAUAUUAAAAUUUGUAAUUGUUUUAUUUGGAUAAAUAAUUGAUUUAGGACAAAUUAAGUUAUUAGAAUUUUACAAAUUAAAAAUAGUUAUAAAAUAAAAAUUUUAUAUUACAAAAAAAAUUAAAAUUAACAUUAAAAUAAUUAUAAAAUAUUUUAUACACAAAAAUGAAUAAUUUGAAAAGCUUUCCAUAUUAUUAAGUCCAAAUUUGAUACCACACUUUUCCAAUUAAGCAAUUUUGAUAUAUUUGGCCUCUAAUAAGAAAUCAAGAAAUGGAAUGGGUGAUUAAUCCGAAUUGGGAGGAGGACAGGUGUUGUGAUGGACAAAGAGGAAGAUAAGGUAGGUAUUCCUUUUUGCAGACAAAUAAGAUAAAAGAUAGAAAAUAUACAGUGGUGGUCGAAGCUAGAGGAUUAUAACAGCACUGAUAUGAUCUGCUUCGCCUUCGUCCACCACCUCAUCUUUAUGUUUUUAUCUUGGUCGUGACUCACGUUGGCCUUCGUCUGCAAGUGCUGUCGGUCCUACUAUCGAGAUUCUGCUGCCUAGCUUUCGAUUUCUAUGGCCUUAUUUGGCAAUUGGCUCAUAAUGGGCAAAUUAUAAUUGUAUAAUGUUUAAGUUAUAAUUUUAUAGAUUUAAGAGAGAUCAAAAUAACAAUUUUUUAUUUUAUGGGUAUAAAGAGUAUUUUUCAUUUUAAGGGGGUCAUGGUUAGAUGUGAUUAUGGGUGGCGGUGUGCUCGAAAAGUGGGAGGGUUUAGGUAAAAAUAUAGGCAUGAAAAAUAGGUUUAGAUAAAAAAAAUACCCGUUUUCGAAACAGGUCGAGCCUUGAGUAAGAUUUUCUUUGUCCGGGCCCGGCCCGACCCAAAUUUGAUUAAAAAAAAAUUCUUGGUGUUGUUUAAUGUUGUUUUGCUACCAUUUUACUAUUAUAUUGCUACUAUUUUGUUGUUAUUAUUUGGAUGUUUUAUAACUUUGUUUUAUUAUUAAUUUUGCUACUAUUUUAGAAACAUUUGCUUGCUAAGUUGCUACUAUCUUAGUGUUAUUUAAAUAUAAAGAUUUUUUUUAAUGUAUUUUCAAUUUGUUGGGAAGUAUUUAUUUUAAUGUUUUUAGUUUAUUUGAUGCAUUAUAUAUUUACAUAAAAAAUUUUAAUACGGGUAGACCGGGUCAAGCUCAAGUUUAGCAUUUUUUAUCUGGUUUAAUCUUGGACAAAAUUUAGACCCAUUUUUCGGGUCGAUUUAGCCCAUGAUCAAGUCUAGCCACGACCCUUACCUGCUCUGGUCACUGCCUUUGGCAAUGAGAUUAAUUCCAGUGAGAUUGAAAAUAGCGAUGGCGGUGAGAUUAGUUACUAUAGUGAUGAGACUAAAAUUAAUACUAAAAUGUGUGUUAGGAUUCAAACACAACAGUGGUUUAUAGAUUUAUAGUAAGAAAGUAGAAUGACCAUUAUGGACAUUAAACUAAAGCAGUUUACACUCUUCAGUAUAUUUUUGUACAAUUAAUAUUUUAAUGAUAAUAACGUCAUAUUUCAUUUAUAUAACUCAUGUGUAUAAAAUUUAAUGUAAAUUUAAAAUGUUCAAACUAAUUGUUUUAUGUAAGAAUACUUUUAAUCGUUGAAUGAAUGUUAAUAUGUACAAUAUUUUAGAUUGUUAUGGUAGAAGUAUCGACUCAAUUUGAAAAUUUUUAUAUGCAUGAAAAGUACAAUAAUAUCAAUAAAUUCAAUGGUUGGAUUGUUAAAUUAAUAAUGAUACAAAUAUAUAUAUAUAUGAAAGCGUGUAAAAUUACUUUAGUUUCACUCUAGUGUAAGCAGAUCUCUCUCCUUUUAAUAUAUAAAAUUAAUUAUACAAUUUAAAUUUAUGUAUUGAAAUUAUUUAUAAAUAUAAGUAUAAAUAUAUUUCUUUAUACACCUAACUAAUGUAAAUAAAAUAUUAAAUGUUAUUUGCAAGUAAUGAAAUAAAACAAAUAUUAUAAAUAAACAACUCUCCGAAGGUUAAAUGGAAUUAAUGUAAACAUUUCCAAACACUUUGUGAAUGCCUCGAGCUUCUUGAAUCUGCACUCUAAACCUCCUCACCUAAUAAAUACACUAUGGACACUUUGUUGAUUGGCUCAGAGUGAUAGAUAGGAGUGAAUAAAACUCGAUUUGAUUUUUUAAAAAAAAUCAAAUUUUGAGUUAAUUGAAUUGAGUUAUUUAAGUUAUUUUUAUUUUUUUGGUCAACUCGAAUAAGUAAUUUGAGUUUCAAGUCGAGAUCGGGUUAAAUUUUACAAUUCGAAUAACUCAAAUAAUAAAUGUAACACCCUAUACCCAGCCUGGUCGUCGAGCCCGAAUAUCAGGAUGCCACACCAUCGUCUCAUGUCAUACACAACGAAUAAAAGCCCAUUUUAAAUGAAGACGUCUUCCACAAUAUCAUUCGUAAAGGUUUUAAGUCGAUCUUACUCUUUAGUUAUCAUCGUUACGUGCUAAUCAUACAUCAAAUAGUCUUACACUAAUAAUUAAACUUGCAUAGGGUUCAUUUAGCAAAAUUUUCCAAGCAAGUACGUAGGUAUCGAUAGUAGGACAAGGGUAUCAAUAUUUUCCUGGUACGGUAUUGAUGUCCUUUGUAAAAUUAGAACCAAAUCAGUAUUCUGUUUCUCAUCUAAAAUCAAAGUCUCAUAAAGUAUCAGUAACUUUGCAAAAGUAUAGAUGAAAUUACUUCGAGUAUCGAUACUCGUGAUAUGAUAUUGAUACCAAUCUACGAUUUUGACUUCCUACACAUUUCAAAAUCAUAGAUGUAUCAUUUUAAAAACAUGAAUAUCGAUACCUCUACUCCAAGCCAGAAAAAUACAACAUACUUGAGCACAAAAAAAUCAUUCUAACUUGUACUAAUUCAUCAUGCUAUCAUAUCACCAUCAAAUAAACAUCAAAAGGACAAUAUGAUAGUCUCAAACAUCGAAAGUAAGUCCGAGCAAUAAUCAACGUAAUACGAAAUGAAUCUCAUAAACUUAGGAACAAAUAAUCUAUGGAAGCAUCUAAAACAUCAUGGUAAAUACCAAUAGAAGUCUACCACAUUGCCUUUUUUCCAAAACAUAAACAAAUAACAAUAACACCUACUAAAUCACGGAAAUGAACUUACUUGGAUCACCCCUUGGAACCACACCGCUCACACCGGCACUUUAAGAAAGAAGUGGGUGAGCUUAACAAGCUCAGUGAAUGCCUAGAAUAACUACCAUGCAAACAAUUCAUCAAGCAUCAACGAAACAACCAUAUAGCACAACCUCAACAAUUCCAACACUAGUGUCAUAAUAUACUUACUCGUGCAUUAUUUUCUAUUUCUUUUACAUUGUAAACAUAUUCACUUUUAAACAUAUAUCUUGUUACACAUAUAAUCACCUAACAUCCAAACAUAUAUCACAAUACUCAUAUAAUCACAUAACAUUUAAGCAUAUAUCAAAAUAUUCAUAUAAUCACAUAACAUUUAAGCAUAUAUCACAAUACUCAUAUAAUCACAUAACAUUCAAGCAUAUAUCACAAUAUAUAUACAUAUAAUCACAUAACAUUCAAGCAUAUAUCACAAUAUACAUAUAAUCUCAUAACAUUUAAGCAUAUAUCACAAUACUCAAAACAUCUUUAUAGAUAAGUUAUGAAACGUAAAAGUGGGCACUAUCACCACUCAUCGGAUACACGGAUAUCCAGUACACCACAUAGACUCGUAGAGUCAAACAUGUCUCAAAAGUGAAGCAUAAAGCUAACACUCUCAUUAUUUCCCCUCACAUGCCCCAUUGAAUAGAGGCUAGCUCACAUUCCCUUAUCACUCCAACAUGUCCCAAGGCCUCAACGCCCAAAUCACUAUACAUAUAGAUGAGUACUCACAAUCCUAUGGCAUGCCUACUAUAUCCAACGGGUUCAAGAUCACAAGUCCAAAAUAUCCAAAAUUAAACACAUAUCACUUACCAACUAUCCGUGCACUAUCAUUGUAUAUUUGCUAUUUUUAGAAAAACAUUGUCACUAACAUUUAACAUAUACAUAACAUGUACACAUUUGCACUUUCACAACAGUUAUGAUAACCAUAUAUCACAUGUUAUAGCAUAUCAUCUCUGUUCACAUAUUCACAAACACAUAAGCACAUAGUUCACAAGAUAACAUAGGUAUGAGAAAGCUUACACUCGAAAUUUAGAGUAGGGGUUUAGGUCACAACUAAAUUCCAAAAUAACGCAUUGAAUCAUGUUCGCAAGUAAUUAUUCCAAGUCACCAAUUACACUUUCGUCGAAAAGCCAAACGCUCAAACUAGUUUUUCAUUGUCUUUAUAUCUACUCAAACUAGCUCAAACACUAAUCAAUUACUCAAUCUUUUUCCCUAAAAUCAGUUUCGUUCAUCUUAUAAUUUACCUACGACUAAUUCCCAACCUUUAAACUAGAAUAAAAUACUAAAUUCAUGGUAUUGACUUUUUCUACAUGUUUUAUGACUAUUUUCUGAAAAUUCAUUAAAACUCAAGAAUUUUUUAACGAAACUUCAAAGUAAGUUUAGAAACCUUCUAAUAAUGUUAAAACUAAUUGAAAAACACUUUAAAAUAUCGUUUUUAUGCAAAAUCUCAAAUUUCACCAUUAACGACCCAAUUUUCGAUUUUUAUUCAAAACAUGUGAUUUAAUGGCUAAAAACUUAGUUUUAAAGACUAAAUAACAUUUAAACAAAAAAAUCGAGCGUUUGAUGAAAAUCCCAAAAAAACCCACAAACUUGACAAUAGAGAAAUCUGUGGUGUUUUUGAGUGUUUUUCUUAGAUUUUAUGGAGAUAUUUGGCUUGGGUGAUGAUAGAAAUCAAGAGAAUUAAGGUUGAAGAUCAAAUAGUGGAAGAGAGGAGCUUUGAGAGCAAGGGGCGGCUAAAGCAUGAAAAUGGAGAAGACUAAGGUAAAAAUUAUAGGUGGGGAUGAUUUUAGGUUGAUUUUUAAAAUUUGUUUUAAUUGCCUCUUAAAAACUCACAAUUUUAACUCUUUUACAAAUCAAUCCUACUUUCAAAAUUAAAGAUAUUUAAAACUCAUUUUCAGAAAUUGAUUUAAUUUUAACCAUAGUAAAAAAAAUAUAUCGAUAAACCAAUUCAUAAAAUUCCGAACACUCUAAGGCUAAAAUUCCUAAAUUACCUCUAAACCCCUAGGUCCUAUUUUGGGAUGUUACAAUAAAUUGGUGUAAAUACACAUUUGGUCCCUGUCAAUUUUGAACAUGAGCAAAUUGAUCUUUCUCUCAACAAAAAUUACAAAAAAAAUUCAAAAUAUUUAUAAGAAUUUUAGAAUUUAAAACUUUUUUAAAUAUAUAUUAAAAAAUCUAAAGAAAUAUAAAAAAAUUAGAAAAAUCUAAUUAUCAUUUUUGGGACCUAAAUAAGUUAAUUAAUUAUUCAAGUUUAUCAUACUAUUUUUACUCUUUUUUUAAUGAAUUUUAAAAAAUAUAUGAUUUCAAAGAUAUGUGUUUUAGUAUAGAGUUAGUUAAAUUGUAAAAAUAUUUUAAUUUUUUCACUCGAUCCGAUCGAACGCUCACCUCUAGUGGUCGAUGUUCAUCGACAUAUAUCCUUUGUCUCCAACCGGAAAGGAUCUCUUCCAAAAUGAGAAUCUUAAAUUAGAGUGUGUCAUAUUUACCACAAGCCGUUUAUGAUAGAAUCAGACCCGUUUAAGCUUGAAAUCACUCACCUAAUGCAUGUUAUUUGGAAGGUUAUCGAUGAAGAUCGUUGCAACAACUAGAAGUUCGCCACUCCAUUUUUCUAUUGUCCGCCCUCCCUUGAUUAUAACAAUCCAGAACCUCCCUUACUCUAACUUAUAAAAUUAAAAAAACUCUAUAGGACAAAAUAAGACAAUAAAAGCUUUUAUUUAUUUAUUAAUACACUAGAAUUUCACACAUAGCAAAAGCACACUAUAUAAGGAGAUGCAUAGGAAAACAGCGGUAGGUAGAUAUAAGUCAACAGGCUGUCAAAUUUAUUCUAGUAAUAGUGUAAACAUAAGCACAUUAUUAUAGACGACACUGACAGCCUGAGCACCAGCAUUUUGAUCAGAAAUUUAAGCAAAGCCACCCAAGAAAAGUGUGUUUGUAUUCUCAUCACUGCAAUAAAGGCAAGGGUUCUGCUCAAAUCCAUUGUUCUUCAAAAUCUUGGCAGCCUCAACCAUAAGUUGUCUGUUGCUUAUUCCACCACCCAUGCACUGAUCGAGUACGCUAACCACUGCAUCGGUGAACGCCCCAAAGGCUCUAUUCCCCAAAACCAGGUCAUAUGAUGUCUCAUUGGCUUCACACCCACUUAAUAAUAUCCCUUCAUCCUCCUCCGGUGGAUCCAACACCAUUAACCCAUUUACGUAGUGAGGAUGGAAUUUGAGACUCACAUCUUUCCCGAAGAUUCCGAAAAUCUUUUGGCCAACAUUUGCUGCAUCGUGUAGGAUGCCUGCUGCUGUAUCUAUCGCACUGUGUAUGAUAUCAAAAGUAAGACUCUUAGCCUUAGCCUUAGACGGUUUAGGCUUGUUGGGAUUUACUGGAGUCAUCAUUUGCUGAGCACCAAAUUAUUCUUUCUCUUUUUCAAUGAGACCACCACUGUGGCACGAAUCUGAUAGGAUUGUGAAGCUUGCUCCUUCUGGUAGCCGGUUAACUAAAUGCCUGAAGUCCACAUCUGUAGAAACCAUGUAUAUAUAGGGUAUGAAUAUAUGUUGCUAAAAAAAUAUAUAAAUUCAAAUAAAAACCUACCGGUGACAAGAUUUAAAUCACAAGCCACGAUUGCUUUAUCUUGCUUGAAAGGCUGGCCAGGUUGAAAGAUUGGAAUGCGUGUUCCAUGUCCACUGAAGUAGAAAAAUAGGAUAUCUCCUGCUUUAGCCUUGUUCACCAUUCUAUUAAGUGCAUCCUUAAUGUUUGCACCCAUAGCCAGAACCGGCGACCCUGGUGCAUCGGUGAGAACAUUAACAUCGCUUUCCUUAAACCCAAAGUUCAGGAUCACACCUCUUAUGGCUUUCACAUCAUUGAUGCAUCCAUGCAAGUUGAAUUGGGUCUUGGGGUAGUUGCAUCCCACCAGAACUGCUCUCUUCGUACCCUUACUCAUCUUGCUUCGCUAAUUUGACUAUUUUGUGUUGCUUGUACCAUUGUAUUAAUGUGCUUCCACUAUCUCACUUAGAACCUAUAUAUAUACACACUAAUUUACAGCAUGUGUACUGACCAUAAAGAUGACGACAUGUAGGUAGGUAGGUAGGCAGGUACAACACUUUUGUUUGUCUUUCGUGUUUUGGAAAAUGCAUGCGAAAUCCCCUUUGGAGGGGUUUUUCCACGUUAAAUUUGUGUGUUCAUCUUCUCAAUUUCUUCUACUAGUUUUUACUUGUUCGUUGCUUAAUCGGGACAAUCCUAACAAAUGGUAUCAGAGCUAGUUCAAUUUUUAUAGAUCAGCCCGUUCAGAGAUGGCAACAACAAAGUUUGAAAUUGAGAAGUACGAUGGUGAGACAAAUUUCAAUCUAUGGCAAGUUCGGAUGAUGGCAAUUCUAGUUCAAAACGGCUUGAAAAGGUUGUUAUAGGGAAAAAGCCUGAGAAUCUAAAUCAAACAAAAUGGGAAGAGCUUGAUGAAAAGGCAUUGUCUGCAAUCCAUUUGUGCCUCGCGAAUACUGUAUUGUAGGAGGUAUUGAUGGAGAAGACCUCAUCUGUCUUAUGGAAAAGGUUAGAAACUCUUUAUGCGACUAAGUUUUUGGCUAACCGUUUAGUGUUGAAACAACGUCUAUUUACGUUUCGCAUGAAUGAAAGUAAGCUUCUUAGAGAUCACAUCAAUUAAUUCAUUACUCUUUUAAAUGAUUUAAGGAACGUUGAUAUUCAUAUUGACGAUGAAGAUCAAGCUAUGCUAUUAUUGUGCUCUUUACUACCUUCAUACAAGUCUUUCAGGGAGACCCUGAUUUAUGGUAGAGACAAACUCUCGUUCAAAGAUGUGAAGGGUCAUUUGUUGAGUAGAGACAAACUCGACAAUGAGUUUGGUUUGAAUAGCAAAGCAAAUAGGAAAGCUUCCGUUUUGGUAGUAUCAAAGAAACGAGACAAAAGGUGUCGCUAUUGUAAAAAGUUAGGUCAUGUCAAAGCAGAUUGUUAUAAACUGCGAAAUAAAAUAGUUGCUGAGAGUAACGAGGAAUAUGUAGCUGGUGCUAAUUUGGUCGAUGAAGGCGGUGAUGAUUUCUUGUUAGUGUCAACGAGAGAUAACUCUAAGCUUACGUCUGAGUGAAUCCUAGAUUCAGGAUGUUCUUUCCACAUGUGUCCCAAUAGAGAAUGGUUCUCCACAUACAGUUCAGUUGAAGGUGCAGUUGUGCACAUGGGAAACUAUUCAUCUAGUAAGAUAAUUGGUAUUGGUACUGUUAAAAUUAGGAUAGACGAUGGGACGAUUAGGACACUCUCAGAUGUCAGUUAUGUACGUAAUUUACGAAAAAAUCUCAUCUCCUCGAGUAUUUUAGACUUGAAAGGAUGUAGAAUCAACAUCGAGUCGAGUGACAUUAAAGUAUCUCGUGGAGCUCUCGUUUUGUUAAAAGGUAAAAGAACUGACAGUCUUUAUAUUUUGGAAGGUUCUACAGUGAUCGGUGAAAUCGGACAUCCCUCGUCCGUUACGGAGUCAAAGUUAACUCGUUUGGAGCGAAGGCAACCUGGUCAUAGGAGGGAAAAAGGUAUGACCGUUUCGUUGAAUAGAGGUUCUCUUUUGGAUGUAGGUUUUGAAAAGUUAGGGCACUAUGUUUGUGAAAAUCAGACUUGGGUUAGUUUUGAUUUGGCAGUGCACAAGUCGGAGGCUAGAAGUCUUCCAGCUUCUAAGUAUAGAUUUGACUCAGUUAAUUUCCUGCAUAGUUCAAGAUAGACCCGUGGCGGGUUUUGGCAAAGAUGGCGUUGAAAGAAUUCGUGUCAAGGUGGAGAUUGUUAAAGUUGUGUGACCCAAAUUCUAAGAGAUUGCUUGCAAGUCAAGUUAAACAAAAAUAAUUUUUUCUUUCUAGAAGAUUUAGUAUUUAUUUGUAUAAUAUAUUUAGCAUUUAUUAGCAUAGUUUAUUUUACUUACUAAUUUAGCCUAUAAAUAGGCUCUUUUACAAUCUUAGAAAAACACACCCAUUAGAUUAGAACUCAUAACAUAUUUAGAGAAUUUUGUGUUUAAGUUUUGAGAGUUCUUUAUUUUUCGAGUUUUCGGGGUUUAGUUUUUAUCUCCAUCUUUUAUACUCUUCGUUCUUUUGCCAUUAUAGUAAAAUUAUAUUUGCCCGUGGUUUUUUAUCCCCUUUGGAGGGGUUUUUCAACGUUAAAUUUGUGUGUUCAUCUUCUCAAUUUCUUCUACUAGUUUUUACUUGUUCGUUGCUUAAUCGGGACGAUCCUAACAGUUUAUUACGUACCAGCUUUGAAAAGCAACAUCAUCAGCCUUGGACAGCUUCUAGAAAAAUGAUAUAAAGUACAUAUGAAGGAUUGUAUGCUCGCCCUAAAAAAUAAGAGUGGUGAAUUAAUUAUCCAAGUUGAUAUUACGCCUAACCGUUUGCUUACUAUUGACAUUGAAUCUGGAGAGGUGAAAUGUAUGAAGAACGUAAUUAAAAAUGAUUCAUGGUUAUGGCAUUUAAGGUUCGGGCAUCUUGGAUUUUCUGGUCUGAAGCUAUUGUUAAAAGAAAAUAUGGUGAAUGGGCUGCCAUAAAUUAAUCUUUCUGAUCAACUGUGUGAAGCCUGCAUUAAAGGAAAACAACAUAGACAGAGUUUUGAAGUUGGAAAAACUCGACGAGCCAAGAGACCAUUGGAGAUCGUGCACUCUGACAUAGCAGGUCCUUUUAAUAUACCAUCACUUGGUGGAAACAAGUACUAUGUUACUUUUAUUAAUGAUUUUAGCAGAAAAAGUUGGAUAUAUCUUCUUAAAACAAAAUCAAAAGCAUUUGACAAGUUUAUCAAGUUCAAAGCCCUGGUAGAAAAACAGAGUGGACAUUUCAUUAAGAUACUUAGAAUUGAUAGAGACGGUUAGUAUACUUCAAAGCUAAUUGAAAGCUUCUGCAAGGAGCACGAAAUUAUUCACCAGUUGACAACUGCAUACACGCCACAACAAAAUGGAGUCAUUGAAAGAAAGAACCGCACUAUUCUUGAUAUGGCAAAAAGCAUGGUUAAAUGUAAGCAUUUACUAAGAGCUUUCUAGGCUGAAGCUGUUCAAUGUGCUGUUUAUUUGUUGAACCAGCAUCCAACAAAAAGUGUGAAAUACAAGAUGCCAAACGAAGCUUGGAACAAUUAGAAGCUAGGAGUCGAACAUUUCAAGAUUUUUGGAUGCAUCGUAUAUGCUUAUGUUACUGACCAGAUGAGAAAGAAGCUUGACGAUAAAUGAGUAAAAUGUAUUUUCAUUGGUUAUGAAAAGAGAAGCAAGACAUACAGGUUAUACAACACUCUCACCAAGAAAGUUAUUAUUUCAAGAGAUGUUGAAUUCGAUGAAGCUGAUUACUGGAGAUGGAACGAAAAAGAGAGGAAAAUUGAUGGAUUAUUUUUCAGUGAUCACAAAGACGACGACUUUAUUAAUCAAGAACAAGGCGACGAUGAAAGCCCUCCUGUAACACCCCUUACCCGAGACCAUCGUCGGAAUCGAGUACGAGAUGUUAUCCAAUUUAACCUACCAAUUUAGAGCAUAAAAAUUUGCUUUUAAAAUUAAAUUCACUGUUCACAACAAAACUGUCCACCUGCGCGACUGUCACUAAUUUACUUAUAACUCAAGUUACAAAACUCAAAAUUUAAAUCUGUAAAUUUUCCCUGAAACUAGACUCAUAUUCCUAAUUACCAUAUAAUUUUCAGAAUUUUUGACUUAGCCAAUUAGUACAUUUUAUUCAUUAAAGUAUCCCCUAUUUCACAGCUCGACAGAUCUGACCUCUUGCCACUAAAAAUCAAUUAUCUCAUUGUACAGAAUUCAUAUAAGGUUACCGUUUAUUUAUUUUGAAAAUAUACUCACUAAGGAAUCUAGAAAUAUAAAUUAUGACCCAUAAUUAUUCCUGUACAAUUUAUAAUGAUUUUCCAAAGUCAGAACAGGGGACUUCAAAAACCAUUCUGACCCUGUCUCACUAAAAUUCAAAUAUCUCAAAAUACAGAAUUCCUUUGCCUACACUGUUUCUUUCAUAUAAAAAUAGACUUGAUAAGCUUUAAUUCCAUAUAUAAUUAACUCUCUAAUUCCAUUUAUACUAUUUAUGGUGAUUUUUCACAUUCACGUCACUGCUGCUGUCAAAGAAACUGCUUCUUUGAAUUAGUUAACAUUUAACAUACAUAACACCCAAAACAUAAUUUUUACUAACCAUUUCAAUAGCUAAUCUUAGCCAUAUCAUAUGAACAUACUCAAAAUGAUUAACACUCUAUACAUGCCAUAGUUUUAAACAUUCUGAAAAGCACAUAAUACCGAGAUGAUUAUAAUAGUGUGAUACGAGCUCCGACGAUCCCCAAUUCGACCAAGUUCAAAUCACUAUAAAACAAAGGAAAAGAAGAAAGGUGUAAACUACUAAUAGCUUAGUAAGUUACAUGUAAAUAAUAAUUACUCAUUUAAUAAUUAACACUUUUAACAUAUAACUAAUCAAAACAUUUCUUAGCAAUUUCUAUCACUUAUACAUACACAAUCUUACCAAUUCACUUGCAUAUACAUUUUCACACUUAAUCUUUAUCACUAUGCUCAUUCUUUUCAAAUGUACCUGCAUACACACUUCAUUUCAUAUUCACUUUAACUCAUUAUUAAUCCCGUUGAACACUCGGAAUAUACACAGAUACGUAGAGAUUUAGCACAUAAGUGCAACACUGAUAUGUAGCCGAAGCUACCACUAUUAUAUAGCCAAAGCUACCACUGAAAUGUAGCCGAAGCUACCACUGUUAUGUAGCCGAAGCUACCACUGAAACGUAGCCGAAGCUACCACUGAUCAAUAACACUGGAAAUGUCCACAGGCCUGCUCACACAAGCUGUCAGGUGUCUGCAACACAUGCUAGAUCACCCAGCACCCGGGACUCACUGUAACACUGUAACACUGAUCUCUAGUGACAUGUCACUUGUAUCCACUUCUAUUCCUAAGUUCAACCGGGAAUUUACACUUAACACUUUAUUUUUAACACUUUAUUUUCAACACUUUAACACUUGAAUAAUUCAUGAAUAAUUUUCCUUCCACAUUGAAUAUUAAUUCACAUAUCAAAUAUAAUUCACAAUUUAUAAAAAUAUAACUAUUAUUUACACAUAACUUACCUCGGAUGCAAAACGACUAUUUUUGUAAUUUAGUCGAUAACUUUCUCUUUUCCCCGAUCACUUCCACUAUUUCUUCUUUCUUGAUCUAUAUUAACACAAUUUAAUACAUUUUAUCAACAUUUCAUUCAAAUAAAAUUCAUACACAACAUUUUGACAAAUUUACAUUUUUCCCCAAAACUUUUCAAAAAUUCCACUUUUGUCCCUAAGCUCGUAAAAAUAAAAUUCACUAAAUUUUUAAAUUUCAAACUUCACUAAAUCAUAUUUCAUGCUUAUAACAGCCCUCAAUUUCACCAAAUCACAACUUUAUGCACACUUUACCAUCUUUCACAAUUUAGCCCUUUUUCAAUAUUUUCAUCAAAAUUCAUCUAGUAAAACUUGUAAUUAACACUUCAAACAUUCAUUAUCUAACAUCACUAAUCAAUUUACAAUUAUAUCAUGAAUGGGUCAAUUUUUAAACUUUAAUUUCAUUUAAAUUAAAUAGUAGAAACAUGAAAUUCAAGCAUCAAUAAGCAUAAAAAUAUGAAAAUAGUUAAAAAUGGGGCAAGAAAUCACUUACAAUUGAGCUUAGAAAAAUCAAGAACCUUAGCUAUGGUAACAUGAAACUUUCGGCAGCAAGCUUCUGAUUUUGAAGAAGAUGGACACUUAUUUUCUCUUUAUUUUGUCUUUUUCUCAAUUUGGACAAAAAUGCCCUUGACCCAUUACUUAGAUAUUUUUCUAGAAUUACCCUUUUGUGUCCAUAACACUAAUUUAUGGUCUAAUUGUCACAUAAACACUUCCAAUUUCAUGCAAUAAUUCAAUUAAGUCAUUUAAUCACUAAUUAGACACACUUUGCAUUUUUUUCAAUUUAGUCCUAAAAAUUCAAUUAAGCACUAAAUCAUUAAAAUUUCCAAUCCAUAUUUUCACACAAUAUUUCAAUCAAUCAGUAACUUAUAAAAAUUUAUAAAAUAAAACUAUUUCACUUCGGAUUUGUGGUUACGAAACCACUAUUCCGAUUAGGCCCUAUUUCGGGCUAUCACACCUCCUUCAAGUCCUGUUGCAACAACUCUUACAGCAUCAUCAUCACCAACCAACAACAGUACCAGCAACUCAGAGGAAGCACCUGCAAUAAUGCGUAGUUUACGCGAUAUUUAUAAUGUUACAGAACCAUAGAAAUAACACUCGAUUAUUCAUUAUUCUAUAUAAUGACAGAAUGUGAUUCAAUAACAUAUAAAGAUGCAAUUGAAGAUGUUAGAUGGAAAAAGGCAAUGGAUGAAGAAAUUACAACAAUAAUAAGAAAUGACAUAUGAGAGCUAACAAGUCUACUAGAAGGACAUACUCCAAUUGGAAUCAAAUGGGUGUACAAGACGAAGACCAACAAAGAAGGAAAAAUAGAGAAAUCCAAAGCAAGACUAGUUGCAAAAGGCUACAAGCAAAGAUACGGUGUGGACUAUGAUGAAAUAUUUACUUCGGUCGCCAGAAUUGAUACUAUAAGACUUCUCAUGGCAAUUGCAGCACAAAAUAAAUGGAAAAUUUAUUAGAUGAACGUGAAGUCAGCAUUCCUUAAUGACUACCUGGAAGAAGAAGUCUAAAUUGAACAACCACCUGGAUAUAGGAAACAAGGACAAGAAGACAAAGUUUAUCACUUGAAGAAAGCUUUAAAUAGACUGAAGCAAGCCCUGAGAGCAUAGAACACAAGAAUAGAUGAAUACUUUUAGAAGAACGGGUUCAUGAAAAUCCCAUACGAGCAUGCUCUAUAUACAAAGAAAAAUAAAGUUGGUGACAUCAUGAUCGUGUGCUUAUAUGUGGAUGAUAUGAUUUUCAUGGGAAACAAUCCAGGUAUGUUCAAUGAAUUUAAGAAAGCUAUGACUAAAGAUUUUGAAGUGACAAAUAUUGGUGAAAUGUCAUACUUUCUUUGAGUCGAAGUGAACCAAAUGAAAGAUGGAAAAUUUGUGUCUCAAAAAAAAUAUGCAGAACAGAUUUUAAGAAAAUUCAGAAUGAAAGAUUGCAAGCAAGUAGCCACGCCCGUAGAACCAGGCAUGAAAUUAAGUGUUGGUUCAUCCGGAGAGUCGGUAAAUCCAAUGUUGAAUAAAAGUAUUGUUGGAAGUUUAAGGUACUUGACUAUCACAUGGCCAUACAUCAUGUACGUAGUGGGAACAGUUAGCAAAUACAUGGAGAAGCCAAAACAAGAUCACCUGAUUGCAGCAAAGAGAAUUUUGAGAUACAUCACAGGUACGAUGGAUCAUGGUUUAUUUUAUACACACUCACAGAGUUCAAAAUUGGUUGGUUAUUUAGAUAGUGAUUAUGGUAGUGGCUUUGAUGAUCGCAAAAACACAUCCAGAUAUUUAUUCCAUAUUGGCUUCGCGGCAUUUUCUUGGUCAUCGAAAAGUAACAAACAGUAGCUAUCUCAACAUGUGAGGCAAAAUUCAUGGAUGUUGCAACAUGCACGUCUCAAGCAAUUUGGUUGAAGAAUAUUUUAGGUGAAUUAACUAUUAUACAAGAAGGUCCAAUUAUAAUUUAUGUUGACAAGUCCACAAUAUCUCUUGUAAAGAAUUCAGUGUCUCAUAGUCGAAGCAAGCAUAUGGAUACAAUGUAUCAUUUUAUUCGAGAGCAAGUGAAAAAUAAAAAUGUAGAGUUAGUUUACUCCAAAUUAGAAGAUUAAUUGGCGAAUAUUUUUACGAAACCAUUGAAAACGGACAUAUUCUAUAAACUCAAAGAAAAGCUUGGAAUGAAAAGUUCAAGGGGAAGUGUUAAAAAACAAACCAACUUUCAAAGUCGGCAUAAAAAUUGCAGCCAAAGAAUUUCUAUCCAAAUUGGCUUGAAAUUGAAUUGCAAAAGUAGCUGCAACUUUGUAAAUUGGCCUGCACAAAUGAUAAAGGAUAAUGAUGACAGCAGCUUGAAUAGUCUUAGACGGCAAGGCUUGAUAAAGUUUAAGUCGGUUUACUAUGCUUAUAAAUAUGUAAGUAGAGUCUUAUGAAAUUAAAAUUAAAUGAGUGUGUGUGAAAACGUUAGUGAGCUUGAGAGGAAAAAAAGAAAGAAAGGUGUUGUGAGUUGUAUAAAAAGGAAAAACUAGCAGCAGCUAGUAGAGAGAGAAAAAAGAGUUUAUAUUUGUAUUGUGUUUAUUUGUGUGUAAUAAAAAAUUAGUACUUGAGUUAUUUUUAUUACCCUUCCAACAUAUUAUAUGUUCCAGUGUUGAUGGCAUUGGCAACUGAUGUUGUGUCCAAGAAGCUUGACGUCGUGCUCAUGACGUUGGCUGCUGUUUGCAGGCUCUAAUAUAAUGUUUCAAUGGAAAUGCCCCUAGUCCUGUAAUCAACAGAUGGUGCUAUACCACUUAGAGUACUAUGGGGUCCAAUUUGAGUAAACUCGAUUAAGUAAUUCUAGUUUCAGAUUGAAGUCGGGUUAAAUUUUACAAUUCGAAUAACUCAAAUAAUAGAUUGGUGUAAAUACACGUUUGGCCCCGGUCAAUUUUAAAAAUGAGCAGAUUGAUCUUUCUCUCAACAAAAAUUACAAAAAAAUUCUAAAUAUUUAUAAAAAUAAAAAAAAUCUAAAGAAUAUAUAAAAAAUUAAAAAAGAUUCUUAAAUAAUCAUUUUUGAGACCUAAAUAAGUAAAUUAAUUAUUCAAAAUUUUCAUACUAAAAUAUCUUUAUUUUCUCUUAUUUUUCUUUGAAUAAAUUUUCAAGAAUAUAUAAUUUUAAAUUUAUGUAAUCUAACAUAGAAUUGAUUAUAUUGUAAAAAAAAAUUUAAUGUUUUAGUCGAUUGGAACGGAUGCACAUCUCUACUGAUCAAAAUUGAUCCGCAUAUAUUUUUUUUCUCUAACUGAAAAGGAUCUCUUCCAAAUUAAUGAUCUUGGAUUGAAACAUGUCAAAUUUACCACAAAUCGUUUAUGAUAGAAUCGGACCCGUGUGACCUUGAAAUCACUCUCCUAAUACAUGUUAUUGAUGAAGAUUGUCGGACACCUUGAAUUUCUCCGCACCAUUUAAUGUUCGGCCCACUUGGCUAUAACAAUCCGAAACCUCCCUUAACCUAACUUAUAAGAUUAAAAAAACUCUAAAUAAGAGAAUAAAAACUUUUAUUUAUUUAUUUAUUUAUACACUAGAAUUUCACACUAUAUAAGAAGAUGCAUAAGAAAACAGCGGUAGGUAGAUAUAAGUCAACAGGCUGUCAAAUUUAUUCUAGUAGUAGUGCAAAACAUAAGCACAUUACUGACAGCCUGAGCACCAGCAUUUUGAUCAGAAAUUUAAGCAAAGCCACCCAAGAAAAGUGUGUUUGUAUUCUCAUCACUGCAAUAAAGGCAAGGGUUCUGCUCGAAUCCAUUGUUCUUCAAAAUCUUGGCAGCCUCAGCCACAAAGGCUUUAUUCUCCAAGACCAGGUCAUAUGAUGUCUCAUUGGCGGGUUUUUUACUAAAAUAUUAUAACAAAAAUAAAAAAUUAUCAAAAUGUUAUAACUUUUUUUUUAUUUACCAAAAUAUAUAUUUUUUUAUUUACUAAAAUAUAUAAAAAAACAAAAAAAACCUAAAAAAAAAUCUGACCGAUGUGACGGGUGUACCUUGGUCACGCCAAUGGGAUUGGCGGCACCGAAGGGGCCAAAGCCAUUGGCGGCACCAAUGGUGCCAAUACCAUUGGCGGCACCAAUGGUGCCGUAUUGAUUGGCGGCACUACUCGUAUUAUAAAAACGACCUUUGUCCAGCUGAAGAGAGAAAAAUCAAAAGAAAAAAAAAGAAGAAGAAGAGUUACUGCGUAAAAGAAGAGAAAAAGAGGAGAAAAAGAAUGUAUUUUUUAAAAAAUAAUUGAUUAUAUUGUUGUUAUUAUUUUGUAUAUUUUGUAAUAUUUUUUGUUUUACUUUAGUUAUUAAGAUUAAUAAAACUCAAAAUAAUAGUAUUAGUUAGUAUUAUUAUUAUUAUUAUUAUUAUUGUUGUUGUUGUUGUUGUUGUUGUUGUUGUUGUUGUUGUUGUUGUUAGUAUUAAGAUGUUAUUAAUGUAUUAAGAUGUAACUUAGUAAUAUUAUAGUUAGCAAAAAACUAGUAUUAUUAUUAUGGUUACUUAUUAUUUUUAUUUACGAAAAUAAACUAGUUAGUAAAAAACUAGUAUUAUUAUUAUAGUUAGUUAGUUAGUUAUUAUUUUUAGUAAAAUUAAUAAUUUUAGUGUGUAUCAUUUUGUAUAUUAUUUUGAGUAUAAAAUUUUUUUUAAGUAAUUUAGUUACCGUUCGAGAAUUUUUAUGAGAUUUUGUUUUUUUUGACAGAUUAAAUAUUGAAGAUGGAUGCUAAGUUUCUUGUAUGCGUUUAUUUCGAUUGAGUCAUCUUGACAACAAGUGUUGGAUGUGUAUUUGAAUGUCGGCAACAAAUAGCAAUGAGAUUUAAUAGAAAUGUAUCGUUCGAUGAAAUGAAGGUAAGGAUUAGUGCAAAAAUUCAUAGACGUUGUGGGAGAAGGAUAGCAAAAAUUUUCUACAAGUUUCCGGUUUCGACAAAUCCGGUCAAAUUCGUCGAGAUGGAACUUGUAGACGACGAAGACGUGGAGACAAUGGUCGAUCUCUACUGUGGGAAUGGGAGUGAGAAGAAUGCACCGAUUCACUUAUUUGCUGAGUUAGUCGGUAUGGAGCAAAAUGAAGAUGUUAAUGCAUCUGAUGAAGAAGACGGGGCUGAAGAACCGUGGAUGGUGACUCCAAUAUCAUACGUUGAUAGUGAAUCAACUAUGGGAGGGAUCGGUAUCAACCUGAAUAUUACACCCGAUGUUGACAUGGUUGGUGGUGAAGAAGAAGGUGCUGGCGAAGAAGAAGGUGGUGGCGAUCAUUGGGAUGAAGAGGUCGAUAGUGACGGUGAUCCCGAUGUUGACGAUGUACCUGAUGAUAUUGACGAUGAAGAUGUCAACAACGAUGAAGGCAUUAACGCUUCUUCGGUUGGGGAGCAGAUGCGGCGUAUUGUGAUACACAAUAAUCCUAAGCCACAUAUGUCGCUCAUAGACCCCGACGCAACGUAUGUAGCUGAGUUUCUGGAGUACCCUGAAAUAGUUCAUUCUCACGGGCUGCCCGUAACAUCUGAUGAUGAUGAGAUAUUCAUAGGCCAGAGAUUCAGCUGUAAAGAAGAGUGCGUAUAUGCCAUUAAACGGUACAGCAUGAAGAUAUCGGUGGAUUAUAAAGUAUCCGUGUCUACUCCGACAAUAUAUGUUGAGGCGUGUUGGAAGGCAGCGGAAGGCUGCAAUUGGCGGGUACGAGCUGCAUUCAUUAGAAGUUCUCAGCUGUGGGAGAUACGAAAAUUUGUUGGUCCUCAUACAUGCACAUCAACACGUAUGAUAGAAGAUCAUGGAAAACUUGAUUCAAAAACUAUUUGUGCGUGUAUCAUGCCAAUGGUGAAGGACAUGCCGACCAUUAAAGUUUCGAUACUCAUUGCGAAAAUCCAAGCACGAUUCCAGUAUCGAGUCUCAUAUCGGAAGGCAUGGAUAGCUAAACAGAUGGCGAUGGAGCAACUGUAUGGGGAUUACGAUUCGUCGUAUAACGAGCUUCAAGGUUCGAUAGCUGCUAUGUGGAAGUACGUACCGGGGACUGUGAUUGACUUGCAGAUAAGUCCAUAUUACGGCCCGGAUGACCAGUUACAGCCGGCAAAAAGGAUUUUCCAUCAGAUGUUCUAGACCUUCGAUCCAUGUGUGCGAGCAUUUUCCCACUGCAAGCCACUUGUGCAGGUGGAUGGGACAUGGCUAUUUGGAAAAUAUACACAGAUCCUACUUCUUGCAGUUGCUCAAGACGGUAACAGAAAUGUGCUCCCGAUAGCAUUUGCUAUCGUAGAUAAAGAGAACAUAGAGUCUUGGGAAUUCUUCCUCACAAAUCUGCGAAGGUAUGUUAUUAGGAACGAUAACAUUUGCAUCAUCUCCGAUAGAGGGAAGGGUUUAAUUGCAGCUAUUAGGCAUUCUGGUUUACCGUGGAGAUCCGUUUACUGCAUUCGUCACAUUGCGUCUAACUUCCAUAAAAAUUAUAAAAAUGCAGACUGGAAGAGACAAGUCGUGGCAAUGGGUAAAUGAUAACCUUAUCUUUUCACUAUAAGUUGUAAUGUUUGAUGUUAUCGACUUACUAGAACUUAUUUUUCGUUAAUAUGUAUGCAGCGUACGAGUUAAAGCCACAUAUUUUCCGGCAAAGAAUGAUCCGACUUGAGAGUGACAUGGAGGGGCAGACAAACACAUCUUUCCGAAAAUGGUUGCGCACAAUGGAGCCGUGGCAGUGGGCUCAAAGUUUUGACGAGGGCUUUCGUUACGGCCACAUGACCACAAACUUAGUCGAGUGGAUCAAUGCUGUCUUGUUGAAAACACGUCAUCUUCCGAUUGCAUCGGUAUUUCCUGCUACUUUCUACAGGCUGGCUACUUUGAUGCCAAGAAUGGGCUAGCAUUAAGUCGGCCAAAUUCAGGCGGGACAUGUGUUUGUCGAACAUGUAAGGGAUGCAAUGGUCGUAAACCGUCGGUUGGCGAGGUCAAUGAACAUGGAAAUAUAUUCACGACGACUGGAAACGUUUCGAGUUACUGAGAACAUCGGUCGUCGACCUAGGUCCUACGGAGUUGAUCUCCGGAACAGACAGUGCGAGUGCAGGAAGUUUGAAACAAUUCAUUAUCCCUGUGCACAUAUCGUGGCGGCGUGUGCUAAAGUCAACCUUGAUGUUGAACAAUAUGUCGAUGAUGUGUACACGCUGGAGCGCACAUUGCGUGUCUGGGAGAAUGAGUUCCCCGUCCUGCCGGACCUAUCUAUGUGGGAGGUGUCGCCGAUGACUUUCGAGCUGAUCCCAGACAGAGGGCUAAGGAGGAAUCCAAGGGGUCGUCUGCAGUCAAGCAGAAUCCGUAAUGAGAUGGACAUUAGGGAAAAAUUUGAUGGAAAGCGUUGUGGAAUAUACCGGUUAAGUGGUCAUAGCCGGAAUAAAUGUCUUAACCGAAACUUUCAUUUUGGUCAGUCGUCCGGAUCGGGGUGAAAUUGAUAUGCUUUGUAUUUUGUUAUAAACAUUAAUUUUAUUCAGCUUUGUACCAUGUGCGCACUUGGAAUUAUUAAGAUUAUAUCGAAAAUAGAGGCAUUCAUAAUUCGAUUGAGCUUUAAUAUAAUGAAAAAUAAUAAUAAUGGAUAUUUAUACAAAAAAAUCAGAAGUAAGGUCAAUUAAAAUACAAAUAUGGCUUUUUAUACAAAAAGUGCAUCAAAUCCCUAAAAUCAAUGUUUCGAUGGUGUUGUCCGGGGGGUAUACCUCUGCGGAGGUCGACGCUCACGGUCUGGGAGACGACCAACAUCCUCAUCGUCCGCAGGUGGGGGCGUGGAAAACAUAGAGGAAAGGUCCUGUGCCUCGUUCGCCGCCGACGAACUUGAACCAUAAUGCUGCGAAUACGUGUCGGACGGGCCGGGCAUGCCGUACUGCAGCCGGGGGAUCCAAACAGUUCAAACUCGUAGGCGUAUUCGCCGUCUGCGAAGCUCGGAUAAUAUUUAUCGCCCACCAAAUCCGGACGAUAGCCAUGUGAAUCCACAUUUGACUGUGAAUGUCCAGGAUCUGGCUGGGGGUCCUGCUCCGGCUCUGUCAGUUGCGGAGAACAAUAUGCCGUCGGAUCUGGAUCCAUCGGGCUCGGUUCGUCCGAUGCCCCAACUUGCUGUACGUACGGGGGGAUUAUAGUUCGAUUGUACUUCAAGUAAAUAUGGCUUCCUGCAACUAUGGUACCAUUGUGUAUACUCCAAUGAUGGUUGCAGGUCCGUAGCCAUAACCAUUUGAGGAAUUCGGCGAAAUCGAUCGUUCCACAGUGCGACGUAUUUUCGGUGCUUGAUUCCCAAGCCCAAUUGAACUCUUCCUCUCUUUGUCAAGCCGUGAUCAUCCUCCAACUGGGCCGGCGGAUCCGGGAUAGGUUGGAUGCACCCAAACUGUCGAAGCACGCGAUCGACGUGAUACCACUUGACGACGUUGAAAUUAAUAAUUGGUGUGUUAAUGCACCAUAUGUGGGAAUCAACGAGUGCGGACGAGGGUACGACAUUUGCAAUUUCCCGCCUCCGGUAUGGCAUCCAUAUAAACUGCAUGAGUAAUACCAUUGUAACGAGUUAGACCGAUAACAUGUGAUUAAGAUAUAGAAAUAGAAUAGAUGUCAUGAAUAUUAGAAUAGCAGCUUACCCCUUCCCGGGCAUGCUGUUCAAUCCUCAUGCGGUAUAUUGGGACAUCAGACGACUUCCUGAUGCCAGGACGGGUCAUCCACCUAUAAAAAAUAGUAUAGGGUAUAGGGUUGGUAACAUUACUCAAUAUAUUAUGACUACAAAUAAUGACAAUUUAGCGUCUUAUCACCUGAGUGGCAGUGGAUACAGAUAGGGUUGGUGACUAACGAGUGCCAAAAACGACAUCCGAUAAAGCGCCCACGACUGCAGCAGUAUGAGGCAUCCGCCGAUGUCUUUAACCUGCGGCUUUGUCGCCUGACAAAGCUCCCGGUAGAGCGUUGCUAGAACGGCGGAACCCUAGCUAUACCGCCUAGCAGUGGAGAAAUAAGCUAGCAGGGGCAGGUACGACAAAUGCACACUGUCGCCGUUUGCAUCAGGCAUGAGUACUGCCCCUAUCAUAUGCAUGAUGUACGCUCGGGCAACGCACAUCAACUCACCUUCAGUGGCGGUCACUGAUAAUUGUCUAAUUUUGGCUUUUAGCCAUGUAAAUUUGAUGCCGGAAAAAUAUUUGUCGCCGUCCUCUGGCGACUCUCCUAGGAGUUGAUAGCAAACUGCAACCGGAUCGGUGAAUGAUGAUACUCCCGUUACGGGAUUCCAGUCAAUUGGGAGCCCCAGCUGCACUGCAACAUCCUCCAAGGUCACUGUGCACUCCCCGCACGGAAAAUGGAAAGUAUGGGUCUCCGGACGCCACCGCUCCACUAGCGCAGAUAAUAAAUCAAAGCGCAAGUCGGACGACCGGAUGAAUGCUACUGACCCAAAUCUGGCUAGCUCCAGGUAUGGCAGCAAUCGAUCAUCCGGAGCUUUCUUUAAAACACUCACGCGGCCCCUUAAUACUCAGAACGAGUCCUGAUAGUGUUAAAUUACAGAAAAAUAUUACGAUAACAUAAUUUCUUUGUAUAUACUGCAUAUAUCCUUUUAAAAUAAAUAGAACUUCUGAUUAACAAAUAAUAAAUCAUACCGCGUUAUUAGUCGCAUCAGAUAUGUGUCUAAUAUUGCUUUGAAUCAAUCCAGCCAUUGCGAUGCCUGCAAGUUAGAAAAAAAAGUUAGAAAAAAAUUCUUACUUCAGCCAUUUAUUCGUAUUUUUUUUCUCCGCAUUUUAUUCCUUUAAAAAAUAUCAUAAUUUCUAAAUUUAUAAUUUUACAUUAUUCCAGUGCAUAAUGUUUGAAAUUUAUUAAUCUAGUGUGUUAUUUAAAUUAAUUUUCUGUAAAAAAUAACCCUUACCCCUGCCCUUUGCUCGUAUUAAUUUUCUGUAAAAAAAUAACCAUCACCCUUUUUUUUGCAGUUUUUUUUAUAUAUUUUGGUAAAUAAAUAUAUAUAUAUAUUUUGGUAAAUAAAAAAAACUUAUAACAUUUUGGUUAUUUUUAAUUUUUUUAAUAUAUUUGUAAAAACCCAUUAUUCUGGUAAAUAAAAAAAUUUUAUAAUAUUUUCGUAUUUUUUUCUAAUAUUUUGGUAAAAAACCCGAAAUAAACCCUUUCCCCUGCCCUUUGGUCGUAUUAUUAUUUUCCCGAUUUUUAUUACUUUCAAGAAAAAUAUAUUAUUUUCGUAUUUUAUUAUUUUAUAUUAUUUCAGUACAUUUUGUUUCAAUUAUUUGUAUAACUUAUUUCUGAAUUUUUAAAAAAAUUUACUAAUACACUCUUACUUCGGCCAUUUGUUCGUAUUUUUUUUCAGUAUUUUAUUAUUUUUAACAAUAUCGUAAUUUUUUAUUUUAUAAUUUUAUAUUAUUUCAAUUUAUUAUGUUUGAAAUUUAUUACAUGUACACUUUUUGCAUUUUUAUUCCCAUUUUAUUAUUUUCGAUAAAUAUACAAUUCCCAUUUUUUCUUUUCGUAUUUUAUGUUUUCUUAAACAUACUUCUUUGUCAUUUUUCUUUUAAUGCUAUUUUCCUAAAAUUUAAAUUUCAAAUUCCUAAAUAAAUUUCGUAAAAAAAAUCCUUAUUCAACAUACAAUGUACAUACCAUUAUUUUUUCAUUCUAAAUAUAUUUCAUAAAAUAUAUAUGCUAAACAAAAUAAUAAAAUAACUAUAAUGUACGUAACAUAAAUAUUAAAAAAAUUAAAUUUAUAAAAAAAAUACCUUUUCUUUUCUUUUCUUUUCUUUUUCCUUCCUUCCCUCUUCUUCUUCUUCUUUUUUUCUCUUCUCCUUUCUUUUUCUUUACUUCUUUCUUUCUUUUUUCUUAUCCUUUCCUUUUCUUCUUCUUUCUUUCUUUCUUUUUUUCUCUUCUCCUUUCCUUUUCUUUCCUUCUUUUUCUUUCUUUCAUCUCCUUUCUUUCUUUUUUUCUUUCUUUCUUUCUUUCCCUCUCCUUCUGGUCCCCCCACCACCGACCCCCCCCAUAAACAUUGGUGCCGCCAAUGGUAUUGGCACCAUUGGUGCCGCCAAUGGCUAUGGCACCUUUGGUGCCGCCAAUCCCAUUGGCGUGACCAAGGUACACCCGUCACAUCGGUUAGAUUUUUUUUUUCAUUGUUUUUUUUUUUGGUUUUUUAUAUAUUUUGGUAAAUAAAAAAUAUAUAAUUUGGUAAAUAAAAAAAAGUUAUAACAUUUUGGUAAUUUUUUAUUUUUGUUAUAAUAUUUUAGUAAAUAUCCCCUCAUUGGCUUCACACCCACUUAAUAAAAUCCCUUCAUCCUCCUCCGGUGGAUCCAACACCAUUAACCCAUCUACGUAGUGAGGUUGGAAUUUGAGACUCACAUCUUUCCCGAAGAUUCCGAAAAUCUUUUGGCCAACAUUUGCUGCGUCGUGUAGGAUGCCUGCUAAUGUAUCUAUCGCACUGUGUAUGAUAUCAAAAGUAAGACUCUUAGCCUUAGCCUUAGCCUUAGAUGGUUUAGGCUUGUUGGGUUUUACUGGAGUCAUCAUAUGCUCAGGACCAAAUUGUUCUUUCUCUUUUUCAAUGAGACCACCACUGUGGCACGAAUCUGAUAGGAUUGUGAAGCUUGCUCCUUCUGGUAGCCGGUUAACUAAACGGCUGAAGUCCACAUCUGCAGAAACCAUGUAUAUAUAGGGUAUGAAUAUAUGUUGCUAAAAAAAAUAUAUAAACUCAAACAAAAACCUACCGGUGACAAGAUUUAAAUCACAAGCCACGAUUGCUUCAUCUUGCUUGAAAGGCUGGCCAGGUUGAAAGAUUGGAAUGCGCGUUCCAUGUCUACUGAAGUAGAAAAAUAGGAUAUCUCCUGCUUUAGCCUUGUUCACCAUUCUAUUAAGUGCAUCCUUAAUGUUUGCACCCGUAGGCAGAACCGGCGACCCUGGCGCAUCGGUGAGGACAUUAACAUCGCUUUCCUUAAACCCAAUGUCCAGGAUCACACCUCUUAUGGCUUUCACAUCAUUGACGCAUCCAUGCACGCUGAAUUGGGUCUUGGGGUAGUUGCAUCCCACCAGAACUGCUCUCUUCGUACCCUUACUCAUCUUGCUUCGCUAAUUUGACUAUUUUGUGUAGCUUGUACCGUUGUAUUAAUGUGCUUCCACUGUCUCACUAAGAACCUAUAUAUAUACACAUUAAUUUACAGCAUGUGUACUGACCAUAAAGAUGACGGCAUGUAGGUAGGUAGGUAGGUAGGUAGGUAGGCAGGUACAACACUUUUGUUUGUCUUUUGUGUUUUUGAAAAUGCAUGCGAAAUCCAUGCAUAUGCAAACAUUUUGUGCAAGGAAUUUGCAUAUCAGUACUGCAUAAAAGAGUGACUCUGGAGUUAUGGAAUUAUUUGAUAAUAUCAAAUACGAAAUAAAUUAAAAAUAAAAGAGUGGGUGAUUAAUCCGAAUUGGGAGGAGGACAGGUGUUGUGAUGGACAAAGCGUAAGACAAGUUGGUUUCCGACUGAAGCAGGAAAGCUCUAGCAAAAGGCAGCUAGGUAUUCCUUUUUCAGACAAAAGACGAUAAAGGAUAGAAAAAUAUAGGGUGGUGGUCGAAGAUAAAUGAUUAGAUCUGCUUCGCCUUCGUCCAUCACCUCAUCUUUAGGUUUUUUUCUUGGUCGUGACUCACGUUGGCCGUCGUCUGCAAGUGCUGUCGGUCCUACUAUCGUCGUUGUGUUGUCUAGCUUCUGAUUUCUAUGUAUUAGGGUCUAUUUGAAUGUGAGGUUGGUGUAGGGGUGAGGUUACAAAAUGGAUUUUAAGGGUUAAAAGUUAAAUUAUGUAUCUAUAUAGAUUAAAGAAUUGUUAAAUCAAAAUUUUAUAUUUUUUUUGGGAAUAAAUUGUAAUUAUAUAAAGUUUAACUUAUAAUUUUAUUGAUUUGAGCGAGAUUUAAAUAAUAGCUUUCUAUUUCUAUAAAGAGUAAUUUUUAUUGUAAGGGGCACGAUUAGACUUGAUUAUGAGUUUGGUCACCCUCCAAGUCCGAUAGCCCUCCUGAAAAGUGAGAGUUUAGGCAAAAUAUAAGCUUGAAAAAUAGGCUUGGACAAAAAAUAAUGCCCAUUUUCUAAUACUAGUGACAAACUACAUAAUUCGUUUAUGUCGCAGUUUAUGUUUAUGUGGUGUGAAUGUGUGAUAUAGCUAAAAUGAAUCUCGCUAGGAUGAGUUUGUUAGUUAGAAUUUGGACUCCCUCGUUCUUAAUACUGCCGAUAAGUUAAAUCUAGGGCGUUGAGUUACAGGGUUAUUUAUCGAUUAGGAAAUAAUUUCAAACGAGUUUUCUCUUGGCUAUCGAACAAUGAGAGAUGGGUUGCCUUACACUGAGUCAACAACUAGAACUAAUUUAUUAAAGGUAUUGAAGUUAUUUUUGCAUUGAUGAUCGAAUCUUUGAAUCAAACAAAGAUUUUACUUCUAGCUAGAGUUUCUUCUCAUUAAUUUUCUUUUAUAAUUUAUUUUUACUUUGUUUUAAUUUUAAUUUUUAAUUUUAAAAUCUUUUUAUAUUUUUCAUGUAAGUUUUUGUUUUUAUAAAUCUCUACAUCCUUGCAUUACUUCAAUACAACACCAAAAGAACCAAAUGGCAAACACUAUAACUAAAAAUCUUGCAAAAGAGGCCGUUUUAUUUUAUCAUAAAAUUAUACAUGAAAUAGCCAUACAUGGCGAUUACAUAAGCUUGAAGGCCUUAAAACACAGACAUACGAUAGUAAUUAAUAAGCAAACACACACACAGACGCAGUAAUGAAGGCUAACUUCAACUUCGUAGUAGUGCACACCGAUGGAGCACAUUAUUAUUUAGUUUACAGUUUCGACCUCUAGUGAUCGAAAACCCUGGUUCAAAGCCGGCAGCUUAUGCACCCGUAGUGGUGUUGGGUUGGUGGCCAAGAAAAGCUGCAUCAGCAUUCUCAUCACUGCAAUAAAGGCAAGGGUGCUGCUGCCCAAUUCCUAGCUUUAUUAUUUCAUUCCUAGCCUUCACCACAAGCUGUCUAUUGGUUAAUGCACCUAAUUCGCUCUCCUUGAUGACCUUCAGAACUGAAUAGGUAAAGGCCCCAAACGCCUUUCCUCCGGUUUUCUCACUCGCUGGCAUAUCAAUUGAAAGCUCAUUGGCUUGGCACCCACUUAACAGAAUUCCCUCAUCCUCCGUCAGUGACCUCAAAUUCAAAAUAUCACGCUCAUAAUGGGGUAGGAAUUUGAGACUCACAUUGUUCCCAAAGAUUGUGGUCAAAAGAGAGCCAAUACCCGUCAUAUUAUCUGUUCCAGUGUUGAUGGCAUUCCCAAGUGCUCUUGUGGGAAAUAAGUCUUGUGUCGCGAUAAUGACGUUGGCCGCUGUUUGUAGGCACUGGAAUAAGGUUGCUAAGGAAAUGCCCCUAGUCUUGUAAUCAACAGGUGGUGCUAUACCCCUUAGAGUACUAUGGGGUCCAAUUUGUUCUUUACUUUUAUCAAUCAGACCACCACUGUGGCAGGAAUCCGAAACGAUUGUGAAGCUUGAUCCACUUGGUAGUAGCUGAAUCAAUUGCCCCAAGUCCACGUCUGCACACCCAUCGCAACCACAAUAUGAUAUAAAUAACAGUUUGCUUAGAUUGAGAGUAUUUUAAUAAUUUAAUUUACCGAGUUGAUUACGUACCAAAAAUGGGAUUGAGAUCACAAGGCACAAUUGCUUCACCCUCGUUGGGAGGCUGGUGGGGGUCAAUGCGGUGCACAAGUCCAUGUCCACUAAAGUGGAAAAGCAGGACAUCUCCUUCUUUAGCCGCGACCACCAUCUUCUUGAGUGCAGCCAUAAUGUUUGCACGUGUAGGCUUACACGUGGACUCUGGUUCAUCAGUUAGGAGCUCAACAUUUUCGGAAUCAAAGCCAAACCUGCUCACGAUCAUUUCUCUCAUGGCUUUCGCAUCGUUUACGCAUCCGCUCAACUUGUUGAUGGUGUUGGGGUAGUUGCAUCCGACCAGAACGGCUCUCUUCUUACAUUCGGUGGCCAUCUUGCUUCUGUUUUGGGUCGCUUGUCUUGUCUUGUGCUUCGGACGUUGCACUAAACACCUAUAUAUAUGCACACAUACACACUGUAGUUUACACUAUGCUCACUGACCAUACUCUAAUAAAUAAUACAUCAUGUUGGUAGGUACAACUGUUUUAUUUUAUUUUUUGUUUAGAAAAAAAAAGGGCUUUUUUUAUAAAAACAACCCAAAAAUAAUUAAUUACUUAAAUGACUUAUUUUUUUGAUAAAAUACGAAAAUAACCUGAAAUCUAUGGAAAAAGUUGGUGGAGCUAAAGUGUGCCACCAACAUGCCACGUCAGCAAUUUAUAUUAAAAAAUUAAUUUUUUAGUAGAGCCGCCACUUGUAUAAAUACUACGGAAAUAUUAUGAUUUUUUUCUUUUUAAGUUUUUUUUAUUUGUCCCUUAUAUAUUUUAUUUAUUUGUUUAUUAUUGAUUUUAUAAAAUCUCAAAUGUAUAUUUUAAAUGUUUUAUAAUAUUAUUUUUUAAAUAUUUUAAAUAUUUUUCUAAAUUUAAAUAUUAUUUUUUAAUUUUUAAAUAUUAUUUUUUAAUAUUAUAAAAUAUUUAAAAUAUAUUAUUUUUAGAAUUAUGAGCUUUCAAAUUUAUUAUUUGUUUUAUAAUAUUUUAAAUAUAUAUUUAAAAAUUUUUAAAUAUAUAUUUUUUAAAUUAUUUUUAAAGAUAUUCAAACAUUUUUUUUAAUUCUAUUUAAAAUUUAAAAAAUAAUAUGUGUUUUUAGAAUGGCUUCACCACUUUAUUACAAGUGUCAUUUUUUAAAAAUAUGUUUUUUAAAUAUAAAUAUUUAAUAUUUAAUAUUUUAUUUUGGUGGAGCCAUUCUUUAUGGCUCCACCUCUUGGUUCUCUAGCAUAUAUAGAAUGGUGAAAUUGUUGUGUUUAGUAGGAGAGUUCAAAAAUUCUGUUAAAGAUGAAUAAUGAGGUGUUUUGGUUUACGUUCUCUUUUAUGGCGAAAUUGUAGAAGGUGAUGUUGGUUGUAUAUUUCAAUGUCGGCAAAGAGUAGGGUUGCGAUUCAAAAAACUGUAAAGCUGGCAGAAAUGAAAAGGAAGAUUAGUGCAAAAAUAGCUAUUUGUUGUGGAAGGGCAAUGUCCAGAUUAUUUUACAAGUUUCCAAUCUCUACAGAUCUGUUCAAAUUUUGUGAGAUGCAACUGUUAGAUGAUGAUGACUUGGGCACUAUGAUGGAAAUAUGGUGGUCGACUGGAAGUGAGAAUCCCCAACCAGUUGAGUUAUUUACUGAGUUAGCAAACUCAGAGCCUGUUGAAAAUGUUAGUCCAAUAAGUCAACAUCGCGAAUUUGACUUUGGUCGUAAUGCCAGAUGGACAGACUAGUUAGAAUGCGGUGGGACAUUGCAGAUACCCGAAAAUCCAAAUUAUGGUGGGAGUUCGUAUAACAACCCUACCCCCGGUCCCCGUCUACAAAUACAUUCGGAGGUGAUAAUAAGCACAGAGGCAGAUAUCAAAGAAAUGACCAAUAAUGAUGAAGAUUCUGAUCAGGACGUUUACGAUUUUAGCGACCUCGAUGUUGAUAAGGUUCCGGACGAUAUCGUUGAUGAAGGCCCGGAGGAGGUGGAAGACGUUCACUGGCCUUCAUUCAAUAACCCGAGUCGUGGCAUUAUUUUACGAAAUGAACCUGGAGGUGACCUGUUGAAUCUAGAUCCAGAUGCAGUGCAUGCAUCCGAGUUCCCUGAGUACACUGAUAUAGUACAUGCUCAUAGAUUGACGUCAAUUUCGUAGUUGGAGGAGUUGUUCAUUGGGUAAUGGUUCGAGAACAAGGCGGGCUGUGUGUUUGCCAUCAAACAUUAAUUAUAGCAUGAAGUUAUCGAUUGAUUACAAGGUUGCCAAGUCUACACCGACAUUAUAUGUUAAGAAAUGCUGGAGAGCCGACGAUGGGUGUGCUUGACGGGUUCGGGUUGCAUUUAUACAGAAGACUCAAUAGUGGCAAAUACGAAAAUUAGAAUGGUGUCAUACAUGCACUGUCGUGCGUAUUCUCAAGAUCCCCAAAAAUUGGAUGCCAAAAUUAUUUGCAACUGCAUCAUGUCACUAAUGAAAGAUAGUCCAAUCAUUCUUGUGUCGACAUAUCAAAUGGAUCGGCACAUCAGGAGGAUCAGCAGCUGGAUCAAACAUGGAAUGAGGCGGAGUGUAUAAAUGUUAUUACCAAACAUAUCAAAUGAUAUCAGUGGUUGCUCUGGGUAAUAUGAACUCGAACCGCCCAUGUCCAGGUGAUAUGAACUGCUCUGUGACUCUUCACAAAAAGCAUCAACCUAUUGGUACGAUAUGUUUAAAGGUUGGUCCUCCGAGUCGGGCUCCGCCAUAUGUUGAUCCUCUAGCUCCCCCAUAGGUUGACUUACAUAUCUAUAGCUGUGUCCGGUACUAUUAUAUGUUGCCCACCAUAUAACUAAAUACGCCAUCGAGUCAUGUACCACUACAUGUAUUCAGUCAAAGGACUGAAGUCAAACAUGCAAAAGUGCAUCUCAGGCCGCUUGUUGUAUCGGGCAUUCCAUAGUACUACAUGUAUCUAUUCUGCUUAUCUGAUUAUGAUAAUUGCAUCUAAUAUGGACUUAGGUCUGAAUCUAUAUUUGACUGUAUAUGAGAUUUUGUGUAUGUACUGCAUGUCUAUUUAUGUUGGGUUAAACACUAAGUUUGCGAAAAUUCAGUUCUGCUUGUCUGUUAUGUUCAGGUAAUCCACAGUCUUAGGCAAAUCGGUGCGGCAGAGUUUCACGGUAACCACAAGUUUGUGAACUAAUUUUAAUUGGUGGUUUUUGUUUAGUUAUGGAUUAUUUCUGGGAGUUUUGUAAUUAAGGGACUCUCCGGACUGUUUGGUUUUAUUUUAGAUUUGGAUUUUCGAAUUAACUCUUCAUUUGCGACGGUUGGCUAAAACCGUGGUUUUUACUAAACAAAGGUUUUUUUGAAAAUGCAAACGGGAUUUUCAAAUAUAACGAUUUCUAAUAUUUCUGCUCAAAAUUAUGUUUUGGAAUAUGAAUUAAUUAAAUAAUGUUUUCAGUAUUAUUUAUAAAACUUGGUUGAUUUAUCGAAAUGGUUCUGAUUUCAAAACCCUUCAUCGCAGCAUUACCAAAUUUGGCGAUAAUGUCUAUGCUGGGUUUGAGGUGUUACACAAAUUGUCACAUAACUCGAUCGGUAUUAUACCACACAAUGGUUGAGAAGUUGAGCACUGGCAUGUUAAUACACCACACAUGGGCUUCUACGUGAACCCACUAAGGAAUAAGGGUUGCAAUGUUCGGUGCUGAAUACAACAUCCACAAGAACUGCACAAUAUAACAUAAUGAGUCAAGUCACAUCACAUACUGCAAGUGGAUAAGUUAAAUCAACGUUACUUAAACCAUGUUAAUAUGUAUUACUUUCUUUCCGACGGAUGCCUCUAUCAUUUGUUGGUAAAUGAUUAAUGUUUAGGUCGCACCAAUUCGCGGAGACGUGGCCCAUCUAAAACCGAAACAAACAUGUUAGCAAUUAAAUGUUAAGUAUAAUUUUGUUUUUACCUAUUUACAAGUGGCGACGAAUAUGGUUGGUGCCUAACAACCACUAGAAAUGGCAUCCUGUAUAGAGCCCAAGAUUGCAGCAGAUUUAGUCAACCAGCCAUGUUACUAACCCCAUGUUUUGUUGCUCGGCAAAGCUCAUGGUACAAUUUGGCCAACACUGCCGAUCCCCAGCUGUAAUUAUCGACACGAGAGAAGUCCUCACAUAGAGGCAAGUACUUUAAGUGGACCCUAUUAGACGUGUUGUUCGACAUAAGUACCCCCGAUUAGCUGCAUAAUAUAUGCUCAAGUGGCACACAUCACCUCGUGCUCAGUGGCAAUGCUUGAUAACUACUUAAAAUUUAGUUUCAACCAUGCCAAUGUCAAGCAUGUGAAAUUAUGUUCCCCACCACUAGGGGACCGUCCAAGCAAUCUGUGGCAUAGUAUUGAAGGUUCCAACACUUUUCUUUGGCCCGUGACCACAACAAUAUCAACUUAUAACCCAAGUUACAUAGCAACAUCUUCCAAUGUGAUAGUACACUCCCCGCACGGCAUAAUGAAGGUGUGGGUCUUCAUACACCACUGCUCAACCAAGACGGAUAUUAAGUUCACCCUCAGGCCAAACCUUCAGAUCAAUGCAACGUCCCCAAAUCCCGCCAAUUGUAAGUAUGGCAUGACUCGCUCGUCCGGAUUGUGCUUGGGAAAAUGAAACCGCAACCUCAGAACCCGAUACCCAUCCUGUAUGGUAAAUUUUUUAUAAAAAUAUGAUAACUCAAUUAUCUAAAGAGUUUUUCAUUUUAGAUUUUAGAGAGGCUUAAAUAAUAGUUUUUCAUUUUAGGAGGUCUAAAAAGUACUUUUCUUUUUAAAGGAGCCACGACCCCUGCCUAGUUUGGUCACCUUCUGUGGUGACGAGAUUCAUUCCAAUGAGAUUAAAAACAGCAGUGAUGAUGAGAUUAAUUACUAUAAUAAUGAGAUUAUUAAAAUCAGUGGUGAGAUGUGUUUUAGAAUUCGAACACAACAAUGGCAGUGAGAUAGAUUAUAGAUUUAUAGUAAAAAGGAAAAAUGACCAUUAUAGACACUAAACUAAAAUUAAACUAAGGAAGUUUACACCAUUCCGUAUAUUUUUGUACGAUUAAUAUUUUAGCGAUAAAAACACCAUAUUUCAUAUUUCAUGUUUUAUGUAAAAUACUUUUAAUCUUUGAAUGAAUGUUAAUACAUGCAAUAUUUUAGAUCGAUAGAUAAAAAUAUAGAAUCAAUUGAGAAUUUACAAUAAUAUCAACAAAUUCAAUGAUUGGAUUGUUAAGUUAAGAAUCAUGCAAAAAUAUAUGAAAUCGUGUAAAAUUACUUUAGUUUCGCACUAGUAUAAGCGAAUUCUUUUUUUUUUAAUAUAAAAAAUUAAUUAUAUAAUUUAAAUUUAUGUAUUUAACAUUAUUUAUAAAUAUAUUUCAUUAUUUAUAAAUAUAUUAUUUGAAAGUAAUGAAAUAAAAUAAAUAUUAUAAAUAAAAUUAUUGAAAUAUAGUAUCUAUUAUUGAAUUAAAUUAACCAUUCUUUAAAAAAAGAGUGAAAAUUAUUUUUUUAAAAUGCAUAGGGUUUUAUUUUUAAAAAAAUUUAAGAUUUAGGUGUAAAAGAUAAUCAAUCAUAAAGUGCAUAGGGCUUUAUUUUUUAUUUUUUAAAUAAUAUUGUUUUUGGCUCACAUGCAGUUUAUUGAGUUAGGUUAAGUAUACCUAACUCAAAAUUUAUAAAAAUGAUAAAAGGCAUGUGAUUUAGUAAUACAAAUAUUUUAUUCUUAAUUUUAAUUCAAUUUUUUUAUUUAAAACAGUAAAGGAUGUAGAUACCUUUAUAAAUUUGCACCUUUUAUUUUAUAGUUCAGUCAUUUCUUAAUUUCAUUUAGAGAUUUAUUGUAUACAGUGACGGAGCAUAGUGGAGAUCCAGGUAGCAUGGCAUCCCUUAAAAUGGUAAAUUUUUUAUUCAAGCCCUUUAUAAUUUAUAAAAUAUUAAAUUAGUAAUGGUAAAAUUGUAUUUUAACCCCCCUAAAGAUGAUAAAGUUUUGAUUUAACCCUUUAAAAAUUACAAAUUACAAUUUAAUUCCAACCCAAAAAAAUUUAGGCUCCGCCACUUAAAUAAUUAUAUCAAAUUCGAUAAAAAUUUUAAACUUCACAGGUAGAAUUGAAAAAAUAUGUGCUUUAUUUAAUAAUAAUACUUUUGAAUGGGUUGAAUUUGGUUGAAUUGGCAAGAGAUAAGGUGUGGAUAAAAUAAUAAAUUUAGUAGAUUAUAUGCAGAACUUGGUCAUAUCAGACUCAGUGCCAUGAACUUCACUAGCAAGCUUGCUAACACAGCUGCAGCAUAAGCUAUUAACUGCUUAAUCACUAUUUUUAUUACAACACUCAAAGAUGAAGAAGAAGAUUCUAUAUUUAAUUUCUUAAUGUUAACCUUGCAUUUGCAUUUCCUUGAUGGCGCUUCUAUACCAACUUUCAAGGAGAAUAAAACAAAAUAAUAAUAACUUUUUAGUUAAUUUGAUGGCAUAAUUGGUAAGGUUUUUUUUUAUUUUUUUAUUUGGGGUCGAUUUUGCAACGAUAUAGACAGGUAGGUAGGCACAUUUUAUUCUGUUGAAUAACUAGUUAUAUGGUAUAAGAGUGGUACCUAAUUGAUUAUUAAUGUCUUAAGGUCGAAUAUCGAAAAAAAAAACAAUUCCCCUUUAGAAAAAUAUUUAUUGGAAUUUAUUAUUUUGAAAACUAAAAAAUUUAAUCAUCUUGCUUCAAUGAAGAAAUCGAAACCCUGUAAGUUAGGGUAUGAUUCUUUGAAGUUCCGAUAACAACAUGAAUUUGCCUUUAUUAGAAAACUUCAUCUCGAGAUAAUAAAAUGUCAUAUCCAAUUAUUUAGGACCCAACGUUUUGAAUCCUCGAGAUAAGCUUUAAUUUUGGAAUUUUUACGUUCUUCGGAAAGAAGGAUACAGGGUUACCUAAAUUCAUCGAGGAAAAUUGAAACCCAGUAAGUUAGGGCACAAUCUUCUCGAGAAUCUUGGAUACCGAGUAUUGUGUUAUUUUGAAAACCUUUGAAUAAAACAAUUUAAUUACUUUAAUUAAGCAUAAUCCUUUAAGAAAAAAAACGAUGGAAUGAUAAUGUAUAACGGGAAAGGAUAGUUUGUAAACUAAAGUGCACACUAAUGAGCGACAAAUAAAUACAAAUAAGCAAUACAAUACACAUGAGAGCAAUCAUCUUUAUACAAAUACUAACUUUAAAAGCUAAUGAAUCAAAAGUCUAUUUUGAAAGAAAUACGAAGCAAAUUAACACAAAUAAAAUGUAACAAAUUUUAAAACAACUAAAAAAACAAAUGACAUGAAAGAAGGGGAAUUAUGUAAAUUUAAAAUAAUAUAUACAUAUAUCAAAGUUUGAAAUAAAUCAAAAACAUAGUUCGAAAUAAAUACUACAUAAAAUAAUAGUAUCCAAAUAAAUUUUAAAAUAAAUAUUAUAUAAGAAGAAAAUCAAAACACACAAAAUAAUAUACAUAUAUUAAUUUAAAAAAGUAAUACAUAUGGAAUGAAAAACUUCAUAAUAAUAUAUAAUAAAUUUAAAAAUAAUAAUAAUGCAUGAAAAGCUUAGAAAAAUAAUACAUAUAAAAUUAAAAUAAUAAUAUACAAUAAAUUUAAACAAUGUUAAUAAUAAAUUUAAAAUAAUAUUAAUUUUAAAAUUAAAUACAUUAAAAAUAAGGGAAUAAUAGAUGCUUAAAUAAAAUUUUAAAAAAAAAUCAAGCACAGUAAAUUAGUAGGGAUUAAAUUGAACUCAAAAUAGAAUUAAAAGGGAAAAAAGUAAAACAAAAUGAAGGGCCAGAGCAUAACGCGCGAAUAACAUGAGGGCCAAACAGGAAAUAUUGCCUUCUCUCAAAACGCUGCAUUUUGAUGUGGACCAAAAUGAUACAAAAAGAAAAUGUCAAGCAAAAUUUAAAAGCCAUUAAAGAAUUGAUUUGAAUACGUUAUAAACGUGGGGGACCAUUUGCACAAAUUCCCCAUGCGCUACAAAAUGCGCGGAUCUUUCCCCGGGUCGGGUCACUACGCGGGUAUACAUGGCGGUAUGGCGUCGUUUUGGAGUCAUUAAAACAGACCCCAAAUGGCGCCGUUUCUUUUAUCAUAUACAAACCAAUUUUAACCCUAAAAUUAGCAGCCAUUUAUGAUUUAAAAAUCAAUCCCUAAAAAAAACUUGUCUCACCCUCUCCGAGCGCCGUUCAACAAUUAGGCCGUUCAAAGGUCCUCCGCCCUUCGCCCGCCUCCGAUUGCGAUGUAGCGAACCAAGGUUCGACUACCAGGUAACCGACUCUUAACUGUUUCUUUUUUCUUCAUUCACGAUAAAUAAAUAAAAAGAUUCAAGAACAGAAAAAAAUUAUUGAGAGAGGAAAAAAAAUGAAAAUCACCUCUGGAUUUCUGUCUUUUAGCAAUUUUUAUUUCUUUUCGUAUCCCCCAUUUACAAAUUUUCAAUGGCUUUUUAUAGCCGAAAUGAAACAAGAAAAUAAAAUAAAAAGAAAUCUAUUCUGUCAUCUGAUGGUCUUGAUUUGCGAUUUUUUAUUUUCUUACUAUUUUUUCCUACCUCUGCUGUUUGUUCCCAUUUUUGUUGUGCAGGUACAACCUCGGAGGGGCGCACGUGCGCGGAGGAGCAACAUGCGCGGGGGGCCUAGGUUCGGCUGCAGCGCAAAGGCAGAAAGCUACUAUUGCUGCUAAGGUUUCUGUUUCGUGGUCUAGGGCUAGGCAUUGGGCCUCUGUAAUUGGGCCACUAUUUAUUUGGUUAAGGAUUUAGAUUGGGUCUUAGUGUAUUUUGUAAUCGAGUUUGGGUUUGGGUUGGCAAUUGGACUGUAUUUGGACUUUGAAUUUUUAUUUGGUAUUUGGUUUUAUUUAUUUACAUACGGGCCAGGCAAAUUGGGCCAAUUAUAGCUGCCCCUCUUUGCUCGUUCUCGUGUAACAGGAACGGAGCAAAGAAUUUAGCAAUGGCCAAUUUUUAUUUCUUUUCGUAUCCCCCAUUUACAAAUUUUCAAUGGCUUUUUAUAGCAAAAAUGAAACAAGAAAAUAACAUAAAAAGAAAUCUAUUAUGUUAUCUGACGGCCUUGAUUUGUGAUUUUUGAUUUUCUUACUAUUUUUUCCUACAUGUGCUGUUUGUUGCCAUUUUUGUUGUGCAAGUACAAGCUCGGAGGGGCGCACGCGUGGGGGGCCUGGGUUCGGCUGUAGCGCAAAGGCAAAAAGCAUCUAUUGCUACUAAGGUUUUUGUCUCGUGGUCUAGGGCUAGGCAUUGGGCCUCUGUAAUUGAGCCACUGUUUAUUGGGUUAGGGAUUUAGAUUGGGUCUUAGUGUAUUUUGAAAUCGGGUUUGGGUUUGGGCUAGCAAUUGGACUGUAUUUGGACUUUGAAUUUUUAUUUGGUAUUUGGUUUUAUUUAUUUACAUGCGGGCUGGGUAAAUUAGUCCAAUUAGAACGUGUUAAGAACUUUCUUAAUGAACAAAGUAAUGCUAUAUUGAUCAAGAAAAUAGGUGAUUUCCCUUCCUCUACCAUUUCACAAUAAUAGAGUACAUGAGUUAGCUAUUAUUUAUAAUUGCUGCUAACAAAUUAAUAGAUUGAUGAGAAUAAAAAAACUAAAUGUUGCCUAUCAAUACUAACAGCUAUUAUUUUAUAUUUUAACAUUAACUUAUCUUUCCGACGGGUAACACCUGAAGAAGACUUUGAAACCGAGCGAAAGAUGAAACAGAUAAAGGCUUAGUAAGAAUGUCAGAAAUUUGAUCGCACGCAAGUAUUUCACCCACAACUAAAGACCUAGCAGCAAAUCUUUCACAAAUAAAGAACAAAUCAAGCUCCACGUGUUUAAACUUAGAAUGUAAAACCGGAUUCACAGCAACUGCAACUGCACUUGAGUUGUCAUACCAUAUAGUAAGGAAAUCAUUAGACUGAAGUUCUAAUUCUUUUAAUAAUGAAGUCAGCAAAAGGACAUCACUCGUUACUGCAGUAAGACUCUGAUAUUUAGCUUCGACUGUGGAAUGAGACACAACUUGUUGUUUCUUUGAACACUAUGACACUAAGUUGUGACCAAAAUAUACACAAUAGCCAGUUGUGGAUCAACUAUCAUCAAGAUCCAGCCCCCAAUUUGCAUCGGCAUAACCAACUAAAGAGAGUUGAGUAGACGAACGAAACACAAUCCCAUAGUCUAGAGUACCACACAAAUACCGCAAUAUGCAUUUUAAAGCAACCAGAUGUAUAGUAGUGGGUGUAUCCAUAAAUUGGCAGAUGCGAUUUACUGCGUAGGCAAUAUCAGGUCGAGUUAGAACCACAUACUAUAGCGCCCCUGCAACACUUCUGUAUUCAGUGGGAUCAAAAAGUCAUUCCCCGCCAUCCUUAGACAAAGAUGAUGAGCUAAUCAUAGGAGUAUGAACACUCUUUGCAUGAGUCAUACAACACCUGUUAAGCAAAUCACGAACGUACUUUUGCUGGCAUUGAUGGAUACAUCCAUCAGAGGAACGAGUCACCUCAACUCCAAAAAAGUAAUAAAGAUCACCCAUAUCUUUAAGAGAAAACUCCUUAUGCAAUUUCUGAACAAAACUUUCAAUACAUGUAGGUACACUUCCAGUAACAAUAAUAUCAUCCAUACACAAGAACAUAUAGAGUGACAGAAGGUAUGACUUGAAUAAAUAAGGACGAACUCGACUUGGAUAUAUGAAAUCCAAUUGAAAGUAGGAAACACUUUAACUUUUUAAACCAAACACGUGGAGCCUGUCACAGUCCAUACAAUGCCUUCUUAAGACGACACACCAAAGGUUCACCAUUAGGACUAAACUGAACAUACCCUGGAGGUUACUGCAUAAACACUUAAUCAGUAAGAUUGCCAUUUAAAAAAAACAUUAUUAACGUCUUGAGACAGAGACUGAUAGUAUAACUCGAAUAGUAGCAUGCUUGACCCCCGGACUAAACGUUUCCUUAAAAUCACAUCCAAGUACCUGAGAACAUCCUUUAGCCACUAACCGAGCUAUCCGACUUGCAAUCGUUCCAUCCAAAUUUUUUUUACUUUGAAGAGCCAUUUACACCUGAUUACCUUUCGACCGCUUGGUGACAGAAUAAGUUUCUAGGUGGAAUUAUGUGUAUUUUGGAAAUACGCCCAUCUCGUGUUGUUCAAAAAGGCAACAAGUUAUUUCUCGAUCAACAGCAGAAGUAGAAUAUUGAACUCUUACUGCCGCCACCAGUGAUAUAAUAUGGUUAGUCUCUCUGCUAACGGAGUUACAACUUCAUUCUGCUGACUCUCCUACUAUUUGGUGUGACAAUUCUAGUGCAGUAGCGAUUGCUGGCAAUCUGGUUUUACACUUCAAGUUUAAACAUGUUGAACUUGACCUUUUCUUUGUCCGUGAAAAGGUUGCUAACAGUUCACUCGUUGUUGGUGAGGUACCAGCCUGUACCAAGUUGCUAACAUUUUAAGGAAACCAUUGUCUGUCUCUUUGUUUACUCAGUUUUGUAAUUUCCUUCGGAUCUUACCUAUUGAGAAGCUGGGUAAAUGUUAGAGUAUGUGAAUGUAUUAGGCUAUUAGUCUGUUAUCAAGACUGGUAUAUUGUUAGUAGGUUAGUUAGUAGUAGUUAGAUCAAGUCUCAUGCAUAUAAGUAUUAUCUCUAUACUGAUAGAAAAAGGUUAACAAUACAAACAAUUUAAUUAGUCUUUUCUUUCAAUAUUUUUCAGUAUUAUAGAGUUAGUAACAUGUUCAUAUUAUUUGUUCCAGUGUUGAUGGUAUUGGCAACUACUGUUUUGUCCAAAAAGCUUGACGUCAUGCUCAUGACGUUGGCUACUGUUUGUAGGCUCCGAUAUAAGGUUUCAAUGGAAAUUCCCCUAGUCCUGUAAUCAAUAGAUGGUGGUAUAGCCCUUAGAGUACUAUGGGGUCCAAUUUGUUCUUUAGUUUUAUCAAUCAGACCACCACUGUGGCAGGAAUCAGAAAUAAUUAUGAAGCUUAAUCCACUUGGUAGUCGUUGAAUCAAGUGCCCCAAGUCGACGUCUGCACAACCAUCGCAACCACCAUAUGACAUGAAUAAUAGUUCGCUUAGAUUGAGGGUGUUUCAAUAAUGUGAUAUAUUUGGCCUCUAAUAAGAAAUCAACAUAUAGAGUGGGUGAUUAAUCCGAAUUGGGAGGAGGACAGGUGUUGUGAUGGACAAAGCGUAAGACAAGGUGGUUUCCGACUGAAGCAAGAAAGCUCUAGCAAAAGGCAGCUAGGUAUUCCUUUUUCACACAAAGACGAAGAUAAAUGAUUAUAACAGCAUGAUAUGAUCUGCUUCGCCUUCGUCCACUACCUCAUCUUUAUGUUUUUGUUUUGGUCGUUACUCACGUCGGCUUUUGUCUGCAAGUGCUGCAUGUCGGUCCUACUAUCGUGAUUGUGUUGCCUAGCUUCUGAUUUCUAUGUAUUAAUAGGGUCUAUUUGAAUGUGCGGUUUGCAGAGGUAAAAUUAGAAAUUUGUUUUUAAGUGUUAAACUUUGUAUCUAUAUAGAUUUAAGAAGUGUUAAAUCAAAAUUUUAUAUUUUUUUACGAUAAAUUGUAUUUAUACAAUGUUUAACUUAUAAAUUUAUUGAUAUUACAGAGGUUUAAAUAAUAGUUUUCCAUUUUAGGGGUAUAAAGAGUAAUUUUCAUUUUAAGGGCGCUACGAUUAGACUUGAUUAUGAGUUGGGUCACCCGUCCAAGUCUAAUGGUUCUCUUGACAAGUGAGAGAGAUUGGGCUAAAAUAUAGCCCAAAAAAACAGACUUGGACAAAAAAUAAUAUCCAUAUUCCAAAGGGGCCGAGCCUCGGGUAAGAUUUUUUUGCUUGGGCCCAACCCGACCCAAAUUUGCUUAAAAAAUUUUCCUUGCUACUGUUAACUAUUGUUUGCUAUUAUAUUGUUACUAUAUUGUUGCUAUUAUUUGUAUAUUGUAUAAUUAUUGUUUUAUUGUUAAUUUUGCUACUAUUUUCAAUUAGUUGGGAAACAUUUAUUUCAACAUUUUUAGUGUAUUUGAUGUAUUAUAUUUUUUAAAAUAAAAAAGUAUAAAAUAUUUUAAUAUAGGCGGGCCGGGCAAGGCUCAGGUUUGGCAUUGUUUAUCUGGGUCAGGCUUGAUAAAAAAUUUAGGCCCAUUUUUUGGUCGGGUAGGGCUUGAGCCUAGAAAACGAGCCUAGAAUCCCAACCCGAUUGAGCCCAUGAUCAAGUCUAGCCACGACCCCUAUCCGCUAUGGUCACCGCCUUUGGAGACAAGAUUAAUUCUUGUGAGAUUGAGAAUAGGGAUGGCGAUGAGAUUAAUUACUAUAGCAGUGAGAUUAGUUACUACAGUGAUGAUGUUAAAAUUAGUGGUGAGAUGCGGAUUCAAACACAAGAAUGGCGGGAAGAUAGAUAAUAGAUUUAUAGUAAGAAAGGAAAAUGACCAUUAUAGACAUUAAAAUAAAUUAGUUUUCACCUUUCCGUAUAUUUUUCUAUGAUUAUUAUUUUAAUGAUAAAAAUGACAUAUUUAAUAUUUCAUUUAAACACAUCGUGCAUAUUUUUAACAUAAAUUAAAAAUUUCUAACUAUUUGUUUUAUUUAAGAAUAUUUUUAAUCGUUUAAUAAAUGUUAAUAUAUAUAAUAUUUUAGAUAGCUAUGACAGAAAUAUCGAAUCAAUUUAAAAUUUUACAUACAUGAAAAGUACAACAAUAUUGAUAAAUUCAAUGGUGGGUGUCACAUCACAAAAUCAGGGUUAAAAAAAUUAGAUUAGCGAAACCAAGUGUGGUCGUGUUCAGUUUUGAUUUGAAGUUGUGAAAAUUAAAAACCAAGAGUACGUUAACCACCGCAUCCCCAAAUAGUCAUAUGAUGUCUCAUAGGCUUCACACCCUCUUAAUAAAAUCCCAUCAUCCUCCUUCAGUGGAUCCAACACCAUUAACCCAUCUACGUAGCGAGUAUUGGGAAUUAUCCAUAUUUAUGGAAAAUCAAAGAUAUGGGUAUCAAAUAAUAGAAAGUCAAAGAUAUGGGUAUCAAAUAUUGGAAAGUCAAAGAUAUGGGUAUCAAAUAUUGGAAAGUCAAAGAUAUGGGUAUCGAGAUAUUGGCAUAAUAAAAUCUGAGAUAUUUGCAAUAUAUGGUCCCUAAUUGUAAAGUGACUUUGCAAGUUGAUCCCUGAACCUCAACUAUAAAUAGGUGCCAUCUCUCAUUCUGUAUCUCAAACUUGCCAUUCUCUACUUAAGGCAUUGUUUUUUCUCUCUCUCUCUUUGUAAAUUCUCACUUGUAUUUUGGAGUGAAAUAUAUUUGGUAGUGCCCGAGGACGUAGGCAAAAUUUGCUGAACCUCGUUAAAUUCUUGUGUUCUUUAUUGUAUUAUUCUGCAUGAAUUGUGUGUGUGAUUGUAGUAAUUUAUUGUGCUAUUAAAUUACGACUGAAGGAUAUUCUGGCUAGGAAAGACCUGGUACUUAAGCGAUCCUUGUGAUCCACCUCUCUUUCCUGGGAAUUGAACUUAGUGUGAUUUUUUAGUACAAUAAUUUUACUCUUUUACACGCUUCCGCACAACAAUUGGUAUCAGAGCUAGAUUCGUACUUGGGGAAUACGAUCGUUCACGGUACUGUUCACGUACUGUAGUUGGGAUUGAGGAGAAAAAAAUGGAAAAGUCAUCGUCAAAGACUACUGUGACCAAUGCGAAAUUUGAAGUAGAGAAAUUUGAUGGUACCAAUAAUUUUGGUAUGUGGCAAUGUGAGAUCCUGGAUGUCUUAUGUCAGCAAGAGUUGGAUAUAGCCCUUGAAGAAAAACCUGACAAGAUGGAUGACAAGGAGUGGGCCAAGAUCAAUAGACAGGCAUGUGGAACAAUUCGCCUAUGUUUGGCCAAAGAGCAGGAGUACUCUGUCAUGAGGGAGUCAUCAGCGAAGAAGUUGUGGGAUACACGGGAAGAAAAGUUUCUAACAAAAAGUCUUGAAAAUAGGCUUUAUAUGAAAAAGAAACUUUAUCGAUUCACGUAUGCACCCGGUAUGUCGAUGAAUGACCAUGUGAACUCAUUCAAUAAAAUUUUAGCAGACUUGCUAAAUUUGGAUGAGAAAUUUGAAGAUGAAGACAAGGCAUUACUGUUGUUGAAUUCUCUUCCUGAUGAAUAUGAUCAUCUUACCACCACAUUGCUUCAUGGGAAGGAUACAAUCACAUUUGAUGCAGUCUGUAGUGCGUUGUAUAGAUCUGAGACUCGAAAGAAAGAUAAAAAAGAUCACAGAGACUACAGAAGUCUUAACAGUAAGAAGUCGUUCGCACAGCAACAAAUCUGGUAGAAGGAGUAAGUCCAAAAAGAGACCUGCCAAAGAUGAAUGUGCUUUUUGUCGUGAGAAAGGGCAUUGGAAAAAGAAUUGUCCUAAGUUACAAAAGGGUAAAGCUAUUUCUGAUGCAUGUGUAGCGGAGCAUGAUGAGGAGUCAGACUUUAGCUUGGUUGGCAUGGCAAUGGCAUGUCAUACAGAUGAGUGGAUUUUUGAUUCGGGAUGUACUUACCAUAUGUGUCCUAAUAAGGACUGGUUUUCUAGUCUUAAAGAACUAGAAGGUGGAGUUGUUUUUAUGGGCAAUGAUAGCGCUUGUAAGACAAUGGGAGUAGGUACAAUCCAAUUGAAGAAUCACGACGGCUCAAUUCAAGUCUUGACAGAUGUUCGCUACAUACCUAUCUUGAAGAAAAAUCUUAUCUCAUUAGGGGUCCUAGAAUCUAAAGGGCUCACAAUCACUUUGAGAGAUGGAUUACUAAAGGUAGUAGCUGGGGUAUUGACGGUGAUGAAAGGCACAAGAAGGAAUAAUCUGUACUAUUUAAAUGGAAGUACAGUUAUUGGAUCAACAUCAACAGCUUUUACGAAAGAUGCAGAUUCAGAGGCUACCAGGUUAUGGCAUAUGCGAUUGGGACAUGCUGGUGAAAAAGCUUUGCAGAGUUUGGCGAAGCUAGGCUUGUUGAAAGGUGCAAAUUCUUGCAAAUUGGAAUUCUGUGAACAUUGUGUUCUGGGCAAGCAGACAAGGAUAAAAUUUGGUUCAGCAAUUCACAAUACAAAAGAAAUUCUGGACUACGUUCAGAGUGACGUGUGGGGACCUACUAAAGUGGCUUCUUUGGGAGGUAUGCACUAUUUUGUUACUUUUGUUGAUGAUUAUUCAAGAAAAGUAUGGGUGUAUCUAAUGAAAAGGAAAAAUAAAGUUUUGGAUGUAUUUCUUAAAUGAAAGAAGAUGGUGGAGACCCAGGCUGGUCGAAAAGUCAAACGACUUCGAUCAGACAAUGGUACUGAGUACAAGAAUGAUCCAUUUCUACAAGUAUGUCACGAUGAAGGUAUUGUACGACACUUCACUGUUCGAGAUACACCACAACAGAAUAGGGUGGCAGAACGUAUGAAUCGGACUAUACUGGAGAAAGUUCGAUGUAUGUUGUCCAAUGCUGGAUUGGGCAAAGAAUUUUGGGCUGAGGCAGUUACAUAUGCGUGCCAUCUAAUUAAUCGGUUGCCAUCAACUGCAAUAAAUGAAAAAACUCCUAUGGAGAGGUGGGCUGGUAAACCUGCUACUGAUUAUGAUUCUUUACAUAUUUUUGGUUCCACUGCAUAUUAUCAUGUAAAAGAAUCUAAGUUAGACCCAAGAGCAAAGAAAGCAUUAUUCAUGGGUAUAACUGGUGGAGUAAAAGGAUACCGUUUCUGGUGUCCUGAUACAAGGAAAAUAAUUUUCAGUAGAGAUGUGACUUUUGAUGAAUCAACCAUGAUGAAGAACAAUGAUUCACAAAAGGAUAACACAACCAGUGGCACUUUGCAGCAGGUGGAGCUUGAAAAGGUUAAUGAUGAUCCAGCUAAUAUUGAAGGAACAAAUGAUGAAGAAGUUUCGACCCAAGAACUUCUACAGCAACAUGAUUCAAUUGCAUAUAGAAGGCCAAGAAGAGAGAUUCGUAUGCCUGCUCGCUUUGAUGAUAUGGUGGCCUAUGCACUUCCAAUUGCAGAUGAUGAUGUUCCUUCUACUUACACAGAAGCAAGAAGUAACUCUGAUAGUGUAAAGUGGAAGCAAGCUAUGAAUGAAGAAAUGCAGUCUCUUCAUAAAAAUAGGACUUGGGAGUUGGUGACACUACCUAAAGGAAAGAAGGCAAUUGGAUGCAAAUGGGUAUAUGCAAAGAAGGAAGGAUUUCCUGAUAAAAAUGAAGUUCGAUACAAGGCUAGAUUGGUAGCAAAGGGUUACGCUCAGAAAGAAGGAAUAGACUACAAUGAAGUAUUUUCUCCAGUUGUGAAGCAUUCGUCUAUUCGGAUUUUGCUAGCCUUGGUUGCGCAAUAUGAUCUUAAACUAGUUCAGCUCGAUGUGAAGACCGCAUUUUUACAGGGUGAUUUGGAAGAGGAAAUCUAUAUGACUCAGCCAGAUGGAUUCAAGGUUGCUGAUAAAGAAAAUUGGGUUUGCAAACUGACAAAGUCGCUUUAUGGAUUGAAACAAUCUCCAAGGCAGUGGUACAAGCGAUUUGAUCAGUUCAUGAAAGGGCAAAGGUAUACAAGAAGUAAAUUUGAUCAUUGCGUGUAUUUUCAGAAGCUACAAGAAGGAUUUUUCGUAUACUUGCUAUUAUAUGUUGAUGAUAUGUUGAUAGCAUCUAAGAGUAAAGUUGAAAUUGAGAGAUUGAAGACUCAACUCAACCUUGAGUUUGAGAUGAAAGAUCUAGGUGAAGCUAAGAAGAUCCUUGGCAUGGAAAUAUGUAGGGAUAGAGCUCAUGGCAGAGUUAGUUUAUCUCAGAAGCAAUAUUUAAAGAAGAUACUACAGAAGUUUGGCAUGAACGAGUAGACUAAAGCUGUAAGUACCCCGUUGGCUUCUCAUUUCAAGCUUUCUGCACAACUAUCUCCUUCGACAAAUACGGAACAAGAAUACAUGUUACAAGUUCCGUAUUCUAAUGCAGUAGGUAGCUUGAUGUAUGCAAUGGUGUGUACAAGACCCGACAUUUCACAGGCAGUUAGUAUAGUGAGCAGGUAUAUGCAUAAUCCUGGAAAAGGACAUUGGCAAGCUGUGAAAUGGAUUCUACGGUAUAUUCAUAAGACCAUGGAUAUUGGAUUCCUGUUCAAGCAGGAUACUACACUUGGUAAAGGUGUUGUUGGGUACGUUGAUUCUGAUUAUGCCGGUGAUUUGGACAAACGAAGAUCAACCACUGGUUAUGUGUUUACUCUUGCUGGAGGACCAAUAAGUUGGAAGUCUACACUGCAGUCUACAGUUGCGUUGUCAACCACAGAAGCUGAAUACAUGGCUGUAACAGAGGCUGUAAAGGAAGCUAUUUGGUUACAAGGUAUGGUUAAAACCUUGGGAUUGAUCCAAGAGCAUAUUAAUGUGUAUUGUGAUAGUCAAAGUGCUAUUCAUUUAGCAAAGAAUCAAGUCUAUCAUGCACGUACAAAGCAUAUCGACGUACGUUUCCGCUUUGUGCGGGAAAUUAUUGAUGAGGGGAAAAUUCACCUUCAGAAGAUUAAGACUGCAGAUAAUCCCGCAGAUAUGAUGACCAAGGUGGUAACAACAAUCAAGUUCGAACAUUGUUUGAACUUGAUCAAUAUUCUGCAUGUUUAACAGUUGAAGAAGGCACUAUCAAGUGUUGUUGACAAAGGCAGAGAGAAUUGUGUGAAGAUAAGAUUACUCGAAUUAAAUCUUCAAGGUGGAGAUUAUUGAGAAUUAUCCAUAUUUAUGGAAAAUCAAAGAUAUGGGUAUCAAAUAAUAGAAAGUCAAAGAUAUGGGUAUCAAAUAUUGAAAAGUCAAAGAUAUGGGUAUCAAAUAUUGGAAAGUCAAAGAUAUGGGUAUCGAGAUAUUGGCAUAAUAAAAUCUGAGAUAUUUGCAAUAUAUGGUCCCUAAUUGUAAAGUGACUUUGCAAGUUGAUCCCUGAACCUCAACUAUAAAUAGGCAUAACCAUUUCUCAUUCUGUAUCUCAAACUUGCCAUUCUCUACUUAAGGCAUUGUUUUCUCUCUCUCUCUUUGUAAAUUCUCACUUGUAUUUUGGAGUGAAAUAUAUUUGGUAGUGCCCGAGGACGUAGGCAAAAUUUGCUGAACCUCGUUAAAUUCUUGUGUUCUUUAUUGUAUUAUUCUGCAUGAAUUGUGUGUGUGAUUGUAGUGAUUUAUUGUGCUAUUAAAUUACGAUUGAGGGAUAUUCUGACUAGGAAAGACCUGGUACUUAAGCGAUCCUUGUGAUCCACCUCUCUUUCCUGGGAAUUGAACUUAGUGUGAUUUUUUAGUACAAUAAUUUUACUCUUUUACACGCUUCCGCACAACAGUGAGGAUGGAAUUUGAGGCUCACAUCUUUCCCGAAGAUUCCGAAAAUCUUUUGGCCAAUAUUUACUGCGUCGUGUAGGAGGCCUGCUGCUGUAUCUAUCGCACCAUGUAUGAUAUCAAAAGGAAGACUCUUAACCUUGACCUUAGACGGUUUAGGCAUGUUGGGAUUUACUGGUGUCGUCAUAUGCUCAACACCAAAUUGUUCUUUCUCUUUUUCAAUGAGACCACCACUGUGGCACGAAUCUGAUAGGAUUGUGAAGCUUGCUCCUUCUGGUAGCCGGUUAACUAAACGGCUGAAGUCCAUAUCUGCAGAAACCAUGUAUAUAUAGGGUAUGAAUAUAUAUUGCUAAAAUAAAUAUUUAAAUUCAAACAAAAACCUACCCGUGACAAGAUUUAAAUCACAAGCCACGAUUGCUUCAUCUUGUUUGAAAGGCUGGCCAGGUUGAAAGAUUGGAAUGCGUGUUCCAUGUCCACUGAAGUAGAAAAAUAGGACAUCUCCUGCUUUAGCAUUGCACGCCAUUCUAUUAAGUGCAUCCCUAAUGUUUGCGCCGGUAGGCAGAACCGACGACCCUGGCGCACCGGUGAGGACAUUAAUAUCACUUUCCUUGAACCCAAAGUUCAGGAUCCCAUCUCCUAUGGUUUUCACAUCAUUGAUGCGUCCAUGCAAGCCGAAUUGGGUCUCGGGGUAGUUGCAUCCCACCAGAACUGCUCUCUCGUACCCUUACCCAUCUUGCUUUGCUAAUUUGACUAUUUUGUGUUGCUUGUACCCUUGUAUUAAUGUGCUUCCACCGUCUCACUAAGACCCUAUAUAUAUACACACUAAUUUACGGCCUGUGUACUGUCGAUUAAGAUGAUCAUAAAGUGGAUAGGGUUUUACUUGUUUUUUCUUUUUAACAAACUAAUAUUAUUUUUGGCUAACAUCCAAUUUAUUUAAAUACGUUAAGUAUACCUAACAUAAAUUUUUUAAAAAUGAUAAAGGCAGAUUAUGUUUUCAUAGAUGUAAUUUAGUCAUACAAAUAUUAAUAAUUAAUAAUAAUUAAUAAACACGUUCAUUUCAAUUAAUUGUAUACUCUACUAAAUGGUAAGAUGUGGCUUAUUAAAUUAAAAAAUUAAGUCUGACUUCCUCUCAACACUAUUCACACACCCUUGUUAUUUAUAUUUUUGCUCUAUAAAAAAUAAGGAUUUUGUGAUAUUUUUUCCUCUUAAAUGAUUUUAUUUAUAUUUUUAAUUAUAUUAAUUAUAUUUUAUAUUAGUUAUUAUUGAUUUAGAGAAUAAUUGGAGAAAAAAAAGAGCUUAAAGUUUAUUUUUGACACGUUUUGCGGGUUGGACUUUCAAUAUUUACAAUACAGUUUAAGUAUUUUGGUAAUAACUUAAGCUACAGGUUUUAGUUUUGGGCUCAUAAUAUACAGAUUUGAAGAAAAUUGACAUAACUAACUAAAUUUGUUUCGCGGAUGAAGCCCAAAAACAUCAAGAAGACAUCAAAAAAUGUCCUGGAAGUUUGUCCGAAAAAUUGCCAAAAUAUCUUGAAAACUUUUGCUUUAUAUAAUUAAUGGUACUUUUGUACUUUCUCUAUUAUAUUAUUUUUCUCUAUAAAUGGACAUUAUUAGGUUAAGACGAGGGGAGACCUAGACCUAGGCGUUCUUAGUUUUAUUUUGUUUUUUUAGUUUGUGGCUUUUUAAACUCUCCAUCUAGUCGAAGGUUUUAUCAGAUUUUGAUUUAAUAAAUUUGUGAGACUUAAUUUUUGCUUUAAUUUUUCUUUGUUCUUUGGUAUUCAUGCAUUUUUUGUUUUAAUUACAACUUUUCAAGUUUAUUGAAUGUUCAGUCGGUAUUUGAUAGCUUAGAAUGAUUGUUUUGUCAAUUAGAAUUCUUAAAUCCAUAAUUGUAUAAUUCAUUCUAAUACUAGUGACAAACUACAUAAUUCGUUUAUGUCGCAGUUUAUAUUUAUGUGGUGUGAAUGUGUGAUAUAGCUAAAAUGAAUCUCGCUAGGAUGAGUUUGUUAGUUAGAAUUUGGACUCUCUCGUUCUUAAUACUGCCGAUAAGUUAAAUCUAGGGCGUUGAGUUACAGGGUUAUUUAUCGAUUAGGAAAUAAUUUCAAACGAGUUUUCUCUUGGCUAUCGAACAAUGAGAGAUGGGUUGCCUUACACUGAGUCAACAACUAGAACUAAUUUAUUAAAGGUAUUGAAGUUAUUUUUGCAUUGAUGAUCGAAUCUUUGAAUCAAACAAAGAUUUUACUUCUAGCUAGAGUUUCUUCUCAUUAAUUUUCUUUUAUAAUUUAUUUUUACUUUGUUUUAAUUUUAAUUUUUAAUUUUAAAAUCUUUUUAUAUUUUUCAUGUAAGUUUUUGUUUUUAUAAAUCUCUACAUCCUUGCAUUACUUCAAUACAACACCAAAAGAACCAAAUGGCAAACACUAUAACUAAAAAUCUUGCAAAAGAGGCCGUUUUAUUUUAUCAUAAAAUUAUACAUGAAAUAGCCAUACAUGGCGAUUACAUAAGCUUGAAGGCCUUAAAACACAGACAUACGAUAGUAAUUAAUAAGCAAACACACACACAGACGCAGUAAUGAAGGCUAACUUCAACUUCGUAGUAGUGCACACCGAUGGAGCACAUUAUUAUUUAGUUUACAGUUUCGACCUCUAGUGAUCGAAAACCCUGGUUCAAAGCCGGCAGCUUAUGCACCCGUAGUGGUGUUGGGUUGGUGGCCAAGAAAAGCUGCAUCAGCAUUCUCAUCACUGCAAUAAAGGCAAGGGUGCUGCUGCCCAAUUCCUAGCUUUAUUAUUUCAUUCCUAGCCUUCACCACAAGCUGUCUAUUGGUUAAUGCACCUAAUUCGCUCUCCUUGAUGACCUUCAGAACUGAAUAGGUAAAGGCCCCAAACGCCUUUCCUCCGGUUUUCUCACUCGCUGGCAUAUCAAUUGAAAGCUCAUUGGCUUGGCACCCACUUAACAGAAUUCCCUCAUCCUCCGUCAGUGACCUCAAAUUCAAAAUAUCACGCUCAUAAUGGGGUAGGAAUUUGAGACUCACAUUGUUCCCAAAGAUUGUGGUCAAAAGAGAGCCAAUACCCGUCAUAUUAUCUGUUCCAGUGUUGAUGGCAUUCCCAAGUGCUCUUGUGGGAAAUAAGUCUUGUGUCGCGAUUAUGACGUUGGCCGCUGUUUGUAGGCACUGGAAUAAGGUUGCUAAGGAAAUGCCCCUAGUCUUGUAAUCAACAGGUGGUGCUAUACCCCUUAGAGUACUAUGGGGUCCAAUUUGUUCUUUACUUUUAUCAAUCAGACCACCACUGUGGCAGGAAUCCGAAACGAUUGUGAAGCUUGAUCCACUUGGUAGUAGCUGAAUCAAUUGCCCCAAGUCCACGUCUGCACACCCAUCGCAACCACAAUAUGAUAUAAAUAACAGUUUGCUUAGAUUGAGAGUAUUUUAAUAAUUUAGUUUACCGAGUUGAUUACGUACCAAAAAUGGGAUUGAGAUCACAAGGCACAAUUGCUUCACCCUCGUUGGGAGGCUGGUGGGGGUCAAUGCGGUGCACAAGUCCAUGUCCACUAAAGUGGAAAAGCAGGACAUCUCCUUCUUUAGCCGCGACCACCAUCUUCUUGAGUGCAGCCAUAAUGUUUGCACGUGUAGGCUUACACGUGGACUCUGGUUCAUCAGUUAGGAGCUCAACAUUUUCGGAAUCAAAGCCAAACCUGCUCACGAUCAUUUCUCUCAUGGCUUUCGCAUCGUUUACGCAUCCGCUCAACUUGUUGAUGGUGUUGGGGUAGUUGCAUCCGACCAGAACGGCUCUCUUCUUACAUUCGGUGGCCAUCUUGCUUCUGUUUUGGGUCGCUUGUCUUGUCUUGUGCUUCGGACGUUGCACUAAACACCUAUAUAUGCACACAUACACACUGUAGUUUACACUAUGCUCACUGACCAUACUCUAAUAAAUAAUACAUCAUGUUGGUAGGUACAACUGUUUUAUUUUAUUUUUUGUUUAGAAAAAAAAGGGCUUUUUUUUAUAAAAACAACCCAAAAAUAAUUAAUUACUUAAAUGACUUAUUUUUUUUGAUAAAAUACGAAAAUAACCUGAAAUCUAUGGAAAAAGUUGGUAGAGCCAAAGUGUGCCACCAACAUGCCAUGUCAGCAAUUUAUAUUAAAAAAUUAAUUUUUGAGUAGAGCUGCCACUUGUAUAAAUACUACGGAAAUAUUAUGAUUUUUUUUCUUUUUAAGUUUUUUUGAUUUGUCCCUUAUAUAUUUUAUUUAUUUGUUUAUUAUUGGUUUUAUAAAAUCUCAAAUGUAUAUUUUAAAUGUUUUAUAAUAUUAUUUUUUAAAAAUUUUAAAUAUAUUUUUCUAAAUUUAAAUAUUAUUUUUUAAUUUUUAAAUAUUAUUUUUUAAUAUUAUAAAAUAUUUAAAAUAUAUUAUUUUUAAAAAUAUGACCUUUCAAAUUUAUUAUUUGUUUUAUAAUAUUUUAAAUAUAUAUUUAAAAAUUUUUAAAUAUAUUUUUUAAAAUUUUAAAUAUAUAUUUUUUAAAUUAUUUUUAAAGAUAUUCAAACAUUUUUUUUAAUUCUAUUUAAAAUCUAAAAAAUAAUAUGUGUUUUUAGAAUGGCUUCACCACUUUAUUACAAGUGUCAUUUUUAAAAAAAUAUGUUUUUUAAAUAUAAAUAUUUAAUAUUUAAUAUUUUAUUUUGGUGGAGCCAUUCUUUAUGGCUCCACCUCUUGGUUCUCUAGCAUAUAUAGAAUGGUGAAAUUGUUGUGUUUAGUAGGAGAGUUCAAAAAUUCUGUUAAAGAUGAAUAAUGAGGUGUUUUGGUUUACGUUCUCUUUUAUGGCGAAAUUGUAGAAGGUGAUGUUGGUUGUGUAUUUCAAUGUCGGCAAAGAGUAGGGUUGCGAUUCAAAAAACUGUAAAGCUGGCAGAAAUGAAAAGGAAGAUUAGUACAAAAAUAGCUAUUUGUUGUGGAAGGGCAAUGUCCAGAUUAUUUUACAAGUUUCCAAUCUCUACAGAUCCGUUCAAAUCUGUUCCACUGCAACGUCAGUGAAAUAACAUCCGUUGGCUUCAGUCUUAACGCAAGGGUGAUAAGACUGGUGUCUUCAAUCCACUCCACUGUAACUUCAGGGAGAUAGGAUUUGUGGUUUCACCGAUCUGUUUUCUAGGGAACAUGACCUGUAGAAUCCUUUUUAUGGGCCUAUUUAUGCCUAGUGAUUAGGAUGUUAUGAUCGGAAUGAAUUAAAAUCUCCUAAUCAAAUAUGCAUGCAUGAAUACAAAAUGUCAUGAAAAUAAUCCCCUAAUGUUUGAGUUGUUAUUGUUCAUUGUUCAUUAAGGAUUUAUUACCAACACAUCAGAACGCCAUCUUGUUCGGCUAGUAAAACUCAUAUCUUACUUAACCAGAUUGCGUCCACUAUAAUCUUCAAGGUUCAAUCCAUUGUAAUCUUCAAGGUUCAAUCCACUGUGCUUUUAGGACAUAAAAUUUAAACUAUCUUCCUCCCACUAUAAUUUAGGAAUAUAAGAUCUGGCUCUUUCUCAAUCCUCUCAUCCUGCAAUUCAAGGAUACAAGACCUGAAUCUCUUUGGUCUAUUACACUUUCCUAGAGUGUCAUACCAAAUGUUUAUGCACAAUUGUAGAACUUUCUUCUCCAAGAAAACAUAUUCUUAUCACUGGGUGAUCAUUGCUUGUUUGUUCAUUGAAGCUUUGUCACCAACACGGCAUCUUGUCAUUUUGUUCAAUCAACAUUUUGACAACAAAAUUUGAAGGGAUAGUCUUAAUUUAGACUUUUCCUUCUUAGAUAUUUCAACCUUUAAACUUGGUGCGUUCUAAACAAUAGUCCUGUUUUAGGUUCUUGUAUUAUUUAGAAACUUCUAGAGUAAUAUGCAAAACUUCCUUUGAGAAAGUAUUAUUAGUCCAUUAAUCAUCAUUCCAAUGCCACAUGCUUGCAAAAGAUCAUACCAAUGGAUAAAAAUAGAAUUGAUUUGGGAGCACGGUUCGAAAUGAAUAAAUUAUCAAAGAUAGUAAAAUAAAAGAGGAAUUAAGUAGGAACAUGUAUCUUGAAAAAUAAUGAAGUAUUCUAAGAACAACAAAUUCAAUAUAAAUAGUAUGAAGACUAGAUGCCCCAAAUAUCGUAGCUUGAGUUUCUCUGUACAAACUUUCUAAAGACCAUUCCGAGUUUGACAUGUGUUUAGGAGAUCUAUAGUACUUUGUCGCUGCCCCAAUAUGUCGCCUACCCUUUCUUGUUGAUUCAGGUAUAAGAAGAUCACCACAUGCCCCAAUUUGAUCAAAAUUUCAGCUGUUCUGAUCACCUCAUGUCCCAUUCUAAUAAAAGAUUUGAGCUGCCCUUUUUGAGUUUUCAACUCAAAUCCCCUUGGGUCUCAAUGCGCCCUUUGCAGGUUUUUACCUUGGCCUCUCCUUUUUCUUUUUUCUUUAUUAUUAUUAUUAUUUUUUAUGACUCAAAGCACCCUUUGUGGGUUUUCACCUUGAUCUCUCUUUUUUUUUAGAACUUAAGGCGCCCUUUGUGGGUUUUCACCUUAGUCCUUUUUAGGACUCAAAGCGCCCUUUGCGAGUUUUUGCCUUUGUCCCUUCUCUUUUUUUCAAGUGAAGUGUGUCUUGAUUGAGUCUAAGUUUACAAGAUUUGACAAGUUUUUACCAUCCAUCUUACUCAAAAUCAAAGCUCCUCCGGAAAAGGCUUUCUUUACAACAUAAGGUCUUUCCCAAUUUGGCAUCCAUUUCCCUCUAAAAUCUUUUUGUAGAGGGAGAAUCCUCUUCAACAUUAGGUCGCCCUCAUUGUAACACCCCUAACCCGUGACCGUCGCUGGAUUGGGUUUAUGAGGCAUUACCGAACCAAAAGCUUAAUUCUAAUUUUAAUUAAUAAAUGGUAAAUCCAAAACAAAAUGAAUCAUGCACUAUGUUAUAUAUAUAUAUAUAGCAUAGCAUAGCAAAAUCAAAUAUAAAAUUCAAGUAAACCAAAUUUGCAUGCUUAACAAUCAAGUGGAAUACAUAGACUAUCCAUUCAAAUAUAGUAAAGGUGUACAUUUAUCAGAUUUGAAUAAAAUUGAUAUUUCACUAUAUUUAUUCAAAUAUAUAAUCUUACCAUUUCCAAGAAACAUUAUAUAUAUUCAUUAAGAUAAUAUAACACUCACUCAAAUUUCAUAGUCAACCACACUUUUUUGGAAUUAAACAUGAACCAAAUAAUCUAUCUGUAUAUACAAUAUUUCCUAUUACCUAUUUAAUAAAUCUCAAAAUCUUAUUCAAAUAUUACAUAAAUUAAUCAAAUACAAUUACAACUUGAAUAACAAAUUAGGUUCUUAUACUAAUAAAUAUAAUAAAUAACAUGAAUUUAACCUUUAACCGAAUAUACAUGGCUUAUAAUAAAAUCAUAUGAUCAAACUAAUUUGUCCUAUUUAAAACCGAAUGCAAACCCAUGCAUAGCAAAUUUUCUUUACUAAAUAAUUAAAUUGAAGUGGCCAAAGUAAUACCAAUUCGUCUAGCGCAUAAUAUGCCUAAAUUAAAUCUAACAUCAAUCUAACCAAAUUGAUCAUCCAAUACCAAAGCAUAUAAAUCAUAUCAUUUACCUGUUUAAAUACAUAUAAUUGAACUAUCUAUAUAAAUGCAUGCGCAUAAAUGCUCAUGCUUAAACCAUUUCCAAAAUAUAUAUUUCAUUACAUUACCUUACAAAACUAAGCAUUUCAUUACCAGUUAUAUAUAUAUAUAUAUAUAUAUAUAUUAUAUGCUAUAAAAUAAAUAUCAAAUUAUAACUAUCGGCAAUUACAUUAAUUAAUCAAACAUAUACACCUAUAAUAUCAUUUAACAUCAAUUCCCAUGAAUUAAACAUACCAUUUGCAAUUUCAUAUCCAAACAAAUCACACAUAACAUUCACAUAUAUAAUACCAUCCAUAAAAUGCUUAAUCAUAAUCAAAAUAUGCCUAAACCAUAAUUCACCCAAACCGAUCACAACAAUCUAAUUAAGCCAUUUUCGCAUGGCUUUAAUUUAUACAUUUAGCAUAUGUAAGUCGAAUAUUUUACUACUAGAAUACAAGUAUAUUCAUCAUCAUCAUCAUAUAUAUAUCACAAUUAUGAUAAUAAGCCAAAAUCACUCAUAAUUUCAAACAUAUUUACACAUUAUAGACUUACUAAAUAAUCUUGAAUCAUCAAUUCAAUAUAAAACUUACCUUAAUUUCUUAACAUGGUAAUAAUACAUACCUGAACUUUUAAAUUUGUUUUCACAUUUGUUCUUAAAUUAACGAUGCCCGUUGAGCCGUUCUGCAUUGAAAAGGAUAUGCAAAUAGUCGGAAAGCUCGUACAAUGCCAACGUCCUAGAUGUGGUCUUACAUGUAUUUACAAAUUGAUGCCACUGUGCAAGACAGGGUCAUACACAUAAACACAAGUCGAUGCCAACAUCCCAGACGUGGCCUUACACGUAAUCACAAGUCGAUGUCAACGUCCCAGACGUGGUCUUACACAAAAUCACAUAUUGGAAAUCCUAUCUAUUCCUAAGGCUCGUACGGGGCUUCUGAUUAUUGAACCUAAUCAAAUCAAACUCAAAAAUACAUAUUUCUAGCUUAAUCAUAUUCGGCCAUCAUCAAAUAAAAUUCAUAAAAUUGAAUUUAUUAUGUGACCUAUGUAUAUAAUUAAAUUUAACAACAUUUAUAUGCUUACAGACUUACCUCGGAUGUCGUCGAAUAAUAAAUCGGCUACUCGACCACUUUUGUCUUUCCCCGAUCCAAAUCCGAUUUCUUUAAUUCUUGAUCUAAACAUAUUUAAAUUAAGCUUAUUUAAACACGAUUCUAUUCAAUUUAGCCUAAAAACACAUGAAUGGACAAAUUACAAUUUUACCCCUAACAUUUCCCACUUUUUACAAUUUAACCCUUUUUGCUCAAAACACAAAAUACACAAAAUUUGACUACACUCUUUAAGGGUCGAAUAUUCCUAGUGUCCACACAACUCCAUAUUUUUCAUUUAUUUAGCAUUUGACCCCUCAAUUUACGCUUUUCUUAAUUUAGUCCUUAAUACACAUUUUUAUCAAAAAAAUUACUAAUUAAAACAUGAAAAUCUAACUACAUAUAUUUAUUUUCCAUCAUCUAAAAACAAAAACAACAAGUUCUCUUCAAUGGCAUCUUACAAAAUACACAACAAAUACAAAAUUUCAAGCAUGGGCUUUAUAGUACUCGAAACAACGAUAUUAAAAACAUAAAAAUUAUCAAAAAUCGAAACAAAAUCUAACCUUAAUUAAGACUUGUAAUUGCCGAAUGUUCAAAGCUUUUUCUUUCUUUAUUUCUUUUGUAGUUUCGGUGAAAACAAAGAUGAACAAUAGCAUGGUUUUCUUAUUUUAUGUUUUAUUUUAUUAACAUAUAAUAAUAACAAACUAUUAUGUUACCAAAAUAACCUUUAAUAAAGAAUAUACAAAACAUAUAAUAUAAGGUCAUUCUUGACCAUUGCCAUCCACUAACUUAUAUAAUGUGCUAAUUGCAUCAUAGUAUAAAGACAACAACAAUUAGACACUUUCAUAUUUAACCACUAAAUUUUCAUUUUACGCGAUUAAAUCCUUUUUCUCAAAUUAAGCACUCAAACAAUAAAAUUAAUUCACGAAACUUUCACACAUGUAAAUUCACACAUAAUAAACACAGAAUAAAAAUAUUAAAAUAUUUUUUAGACUCGGAUGUCUGGUCCCGAAACCACUGUUCCGAUUAGGGUCAAAAUCGGGUUGUUACAACUCUCUCCCUUUAGGGAUUUUCGUCCUCGAAAAUCUUACCGGUGAAUAGCUGUGGGUAACAUUCUUUCAUUGCAUCCUCUGGCUCCCAGGUUGCUUCCUCAACUCUGUGCUUAUGUCACAGUACUUUGACUAACGGAAUUUUCUUAUUUCGUAAUUCUUUAACCUCACGAGCCAGAAUAUUAAUCGAUUCUUUUUCAUAUGACAUAUCAGACUUAAUUUCAAUCUCGGUAGGACUAAUCACAUGCAAAGAACCGGAUCUAUACCUAUGAAGCAUCGAAACAUGGAAUACAUUGUGAAUCUUUUCUAACUCAGGUGGCAGCAGCAAUCAAUAAGCAACUGGCCCGACACGCUUUAUAAUCUCAUACGGUCCAAUGAAUCUCGGACUCAAUUUGACUUUACGACCGAAUCUGAGUAUUUUCUUCCACGAUGAUACUUUUAAAAAAACUUUAUCUCCAAUCUGAAACUCUAUAUAUUUUCUUUUCAAGUCUGCAUAUGAUUUCUGACGAUCCGAUGAUGUUUUCAGAUUAUCGCGAGUCACUUUCACUUUCUAUUCAGUUUCUUUAAUCAAAUCGACCCUGUGUAUCUUAUUUUCACUGAGUUCAGUCCAAUACAAUGGUGUACGACAUUUACGACCGUAUAAAGCCUCGUAAGGUUGCAUUUUGAUACUAGAUUGAAAGCUAUUAUUAUAUGACAAUUCAAUCAAAGGUAAGUAUUGUUCCCACGUACCUUCAAACUCAAGAAUGCAACUUCUCAACAUAUCCUCAAGUAUCUGAAUGAUUCGUUCGACUGUUUCUGGAUGGAAAGCUGUGCUAAAAUGUAGUUUCGUACCUAAAGCAUCUUGUAGUUUCUUUCAAAACCGCGAUGUGAACCUCGGGUCUCUGUCCGAAACAAUAGAAAUAGGCACACCAUGCAACCUCACAAUUUGAGAAAUGUAUAAUUCAGCAAGUUUAUCAAGUGAAUAAUCAGUAUGGACUGGAACAAAGUGAGCUAAUUUUGUCAAUCUAUCAAUAAUAACCCAGAUUGCAUCUUUCUUGCUCGGUGUCAACGAUAAACCAGAUACAAAAUCCAUCGUGACUCGGUCUCAUUUCCAUUCAGGUAUCAUGAUCAGCUGAAGCAACCCAAAAGGUAACUGAUGCUCGGCUUUUACUUGUUGACAUAUUAAACAUUGUGAAACAAAGUCAGAAAUAUCUCGCUUCAUACCGCGCAACCAAUAGUGCUAUUUUAGAUCAUUAUACAUUUUCGUGCUACCCGGAUGAAUAGAUAAUCGACUAUUAUGAGCUUCAUUCAAGAUCAUAUGAAUUAAGUCUGAAUUUUUCAGAACACAUAGUCGGUUUCUGAAUCUCAAACAAUCCUCAGCAUCAACUAGAAACUCUGAAUCAACAUUCAAAUCACACUGAGCCCGUUUUGCAAUUAAAUCAUUAUCAUCUUUCUGAGCUUCACAAAUAUAUUGAACAAAUAGCGGUUUUACUUUCAACUCAGCUACCAUUGCACCAUCAUCAGACAUAGCUAUAUGCGCGUUCAUUGCACGCAAAGCAAAUAAUGAUUUUUGACUUAAGGCAUUCACAACAACAUUAGCCUUUCCCGAAUGAUAAUCAAUCACAAGCUUAAAAUCUUUUAGCAACUCUAACCACCGUCGCUGUCUCAAAUUUAGGUCCUUCUGAGUCAUCAAAUAUUUCAAGAUUUUGUGAUCAAAAUAAGCAUGACAUUUUUCACCGAAUAAAUAGUGGCGCCACAUUUUCAAACCAAACACAAUAACGGCCAAUUUGAGAUCAUGCGUCGGAUAGUUCUUUUCAUGUGGCUUCAACUGUCUCGAGGCAUAAGCUACAACUUUGCCUUCCUGCAUCAAAAUAUAGCCCAAACCGUUCAAAGAUGCAUCACUAAAAAUAACAAAUUCUUUACCUGUCUCUAGCUGAACUAGUACUGGAGCUUCGGUCAAAAGGACUUUCAACUGAUCAAAUCUUUUCUGACACUUUUCUGACCACUCGAACUUAACAUCUUUUUGUAGCAACUUCGUCAUCAGGGUCGCAAUCAUAGAAAAACCUUUCACGAACUGUCUAUAAUAACCAACGAGUCCCAAAAGACUUCAAACUUCAGAGACAUUUCUCGGAGGUUUCCAAUCAAGUAUAGCUAAAAUUUUACUUACAUCAACCCGAAUACCCGAUGCUAAUACAAAAUGGCCCAAAAAACUGACUUCGCAUAACUAGAACUUACAUUUACUAAACUUUGCAUACAAUUGUUUAUCUCGCAAAGUUUGUAACACAAGUCUUAGAUGUUCAGCAUGUUUGAUUUCAUCACGAGAGUAGAUCAAAAUGUCAUCUAUGAAUACUACCACAAACUGAUCCAGAUACUAUCUAAAGAUUCGAUUCAUCAAAUCCAUGAAAACAGCAGGUGCAUUAGUAAGCCUGAAAGGCAUAACCAGGAAUUCGUAAUGUCCGUACCUCGUUCAGAAAGCUGUCUUUGGCACAUUAGAGUCUUUAACUCACAACUGAUAGUAACCCAAUCUCAAAUCUAUCUUCGAAAACAUUGAAGCCCUUUUUAGCUGAUCGAACAAAUCGUUAAUACGUUGCAAUGGAUAUUUAUUAUUUAUAGUCACCUUAUUGAGCUGCCGGUAAUCAAUACACAUUCUCAUCGUUCCAUCUUUCUUUCUCACAAAUAGUACUGGUGCACCUCAAGGAGAGAAACUCGGUCGUGCGAAACCUUUAUCUGUCAACUCUUACAACUAUUCUUUCAUCUCUUUUAAUUCAGUCGGUGCCAUACGGUACGGAGCUGUCAAAAUUGAAGUCGUCCCUGGUACUAAAUCAAUACCAAACUCUACCUCUCGAAUAGGUGGCAAACCCGACAAUUCUUUGGGAAACACAUAUGAAUAGUCACACACAAUCGGCAAGGAUUCAAUCUUUUUUCAGUCACUUUACUAUCAAGAAUAUAUGCAAGGUAAGCUUUACAACCUUUUCUCACAUACUUUUGAGCCAACAUCGAGGAUAUUACUGCUGGUAAACCAUUUAGAUCUUUAGAUUCAAUCUAAAUAAUCUCGUCGUUCUGGCAUCUUAAAUCGAUAGUCUUUCUUUUACAGUUAACCACAGCAUCGUGUAAAGUCAACCAGUCCAUACCCAAAAUAGUAUCGAACUCGUCAAAUGGCAACAACAUCAAAACAGCCGUAAAACGUAAAUCUCGAAUCAUCAACGGACAAUUCUUACACACUUUAUCAACCAAAACACACCGGCCCAAGGGAUUUGAUACUCUAAUCACAAACUCAGUAGACUCAACAAGCAAAGUCUUACUAGAUACUAAAGUCUCACACACAUAUGAAUGAGUCAAACCAAGAUCAAUCAGUCCAAUAACAUUAGUAUCAUAGAGAGUGAAAGCACAGUAAUAACGUUUGGGAAUGAAGCCUCUUUACGAGCGCGUAUAGCAUAUGCUCUGGCAGGUGCGUUAGCCUCAGAUCUAACAGUUGUAUCUUUGGUCCCCCUCUGACUGCCACUCAUAUUACCUGUGUUUCUGGGUGGUCUACCUCUAGCUGCAGUGUUACCCGAUCUCGUAUUUUGUACCGAAUUUUGAUCCACUAACUCUGGGCAUUCACGAAUGAAAUGAUCCCUCGAUCUACAUUUAAAAUAGGCUCGAUCAUGUAAUCUCUAACUACCAGAAUGUCGUUUACCACAAUGUUCACACUCGGAUUGAUUUGACCUGACAUUACCCACACUCGCUACUGAAGUAGCUCUCGAGCUCACAGGUGGUCUAUCCAAAUCCCAUCGUGAAUACCCCACAACAGUCUUUGAACGGCUAGUAUCAUCUCGAAACUUCUUUGAGGUCGACUGAAAUGGCUUACAAAAUAACCUUUUACAAAAAUCUCUGGCUUCAAAGUCAGCUUUUCUCUUCUCUUUCCCGAGUUAUUCGGCUUUGUAAGCUCGUUUAACAAGUACCACAAACUAUUUUAUCUCAAGUAUGCCAACUAACAGUUUAACAUCUUCAUUCAGCCCAUCUUCAAAUCUUUUACACAUAAUAGCUUCAGUCGAAACACACUCUCGGGCAUACCUACUGAGUCUCACAAAUUUCCGCUCAUAUUCUGUCACUGUCAUCCGACCCUGUUUCAAUUCAAGAAAUUCCUUGCGUUUCUGAUCAAUGAAUCUCUGGCUGAUGUAUUUCUUACGGAACUCAGACUGAAAGAAUUCGCAGGUCACUUGCUCUUUCGGACCCACUGAUACUAGUGUAUUCCACCAGUGAUAUGCAGUGUCCCGUAGCAAAGAUAUGACACAUUUUAAGCACUUGUCAGGGAUGCAAGAUAACUCGUCAAACACUCGAAUAGUAUUAUUUAGCCAGAAUUUAGCUCGCUGAGCAUCAUCAUCAUCAGUGGCUCUGAACUCUUUGGCCCCGUGUUUUCGGAUUUUAUCAACAGGAGGCUUUAGUAAUCUCAACGAAUCACUCACUUGAGGUAUAACAGGAAUCAAAGAUGGAUUAAUCGAGGGUGGAGGGCAAUCAUAUAACUACAAAAAAUACAUAAAACAAAAAAAAUAAUGUCCUAAAAAAACAUAGGUGGUAUAGGUAAUAUAAAUAAAAAAAAGACUUAUUUUUAUUGAAUCAAUAUCUAUAAUAAUAUAUAGAGUUUUACAUAUAAUAUAAACUAGGCAUAUUCAAACUCAAAAUUUUAUCUACAUAUGAGAACUUUUAUAAAAAAAAAUAUAUUCACUCAUUAAAGACAAAUGUAAAUUUUUUGUACCCCACAAAUGGAACUAAGCACAAUAACAAUGCAAAAUUAAGCAGAAAGGUCGUCAUAUUAACAAAAUUAAUAUAUAAAUUUAUGAAUGUGUCAUAAAUUUAAAAUAUAUAUAGCUAACAGGAAAAGAUCAAUUUCAUGCAAAAAAACAGUUAAAAAGGGAUAAUAACAACCAAAUAGAGAUCAGUUUCAUGCAAUCAAAAUGAUUUCUUAUUUAAUUUAUAAUUAAUUUAAAUGUUUCAUUGAUACUCGAUGAAGUGUAAUCCGUAUUUGCUCCAGAAAGCAUUUUGAUAUCUGCAUAAUUUAAAAAAAUUACAUAAAAUAAAUAUAAUUAAUUACUAUAUUACAAUAACUAUAAAAUAUAAAAUUACAAAAUAAAAACUAUAAAUAACUUACUUUUUUUUUCUCUUUUCUUCCUUCCUUUUACAAAAUAUUUGAAGGGGCGACCAAACCCCACCUUCUUAAAUAGAAUGUUCUUCUUCUUAAAUAAUGUUCUUCUUCUCUUUUUUUCUUUUUUAACUAACAAUUAAGCUAAUGACUAGUCACAUCGCUAAUGUCACUUAGAGGUGUGCAAAAUUUGGGUAAAAUCGAAAAAAUUCGAUUAAUCUAUCGAAUUCGGUUAAUCGGUCGGUUAACCGAAUUUUUUCGGUCGAGGCUCGAUUAAUUAUUUUUUAAUUUUUCAGUUAACGGUUAAUUCGGUUCAAAACCGGUCGGUUAACCAAAUUUUUUCAGUUUAACCGAAAAAAUUAAUAAAUAAAAUUAUAAUAUAUAAAUAAGCCCACUAUUCACCUAAAUCCAAUCCAAACCCAAGUAUCCAACCUAACCCAAUUACCCAAUCAUAAAAAUUACAAAUAAAUUAAUAAAUAAAAAUAAAAAAAUAUAAUUUUCGGGUAAUUCGGGUAAUUCGGUUAAUUCGGUUAAUUUUUAACCAAAAAUAAAAAUAUAUAUAAUUUCGGUUAACCGACCGAAUUAACCGAAAAAUUUUGGUUUGAUUUAUAUUUUUGAAUAAAUUUCGAUUCGGUUAAUGUUAUUUUAGGUCAGUUAACCGACUGAACACCCCUAAUGCCACUGACACGAUGUGACCAGUUAAAAUAUAUAUUUUUUUAUUUUCUAAUAUAUAAAAAAUUUCUAAUAUAUAUUUUUAAUCCUUUUUUAACCAAUAAAUUAUUUUUUUAUUUUUUCCAAUCAAUUCAAUUUUCACUUUUUUAAAUAAAAUAUUUUUUAAAAAAAUUUAAAUAGAAUUUUAGAAAAACGUUUGAAUAUCUUUAAAAAUAAUUUUAAAAAUCAUAAUUUUAAAAAAUAAUUUUAAAAAAUAUAUAUUUAAAAUUAAAAAUUAUAUUUAAAAUUUUUAAAAUAUGCAUUUAAAAUAUUAUAAAAUAAAUAAUAAAUUUGAAAGAUCAUAUCUUUAAAAAUAAUAUAUUUUAAAUAUUUUAUAAUAUUAAAAAAUAAUAUUUAAAAUUAAAAAUAAUAUAUAGUUUUAAAAAAAUAAUAUUAUAAAACAUUUCAAAUAUACAUUUCAAAUUUUAUAAAACCAAUAAUAAAUAAAACAAAUAAAAUAAAUAAAUAAAGGACAAAUAAAAAACUUAAAAAGUAAAUAAAUAAAAAGUUUAAAAAGAAAAAUGAAAAAGGACAAAGAAUCAGAGAAAAAGAAGUAACGAAUGAAAAAAAAAUAUUUAGGUUGUUUCAAUAGGACAAGGAACCCGCUAGUAUCUUAGAAUUUGGUAGCAUAAAUUUAUUUGGAUCACCAGAAAAGGAUAAAAUUGCUUAAAUAUUUUACUUUUAAAAAUUAUAAUAUUUCUCUAAUAUUUAUACAAGUUGUGUUAUUUUACAUGGCUCCACUAAAAAAAAUGAUUUAUUAAUGUAGAUUGCUGACGUGCAAAACACUUUGGCUCCUCUAACUUGUACCGUAAAUUUUUUAUUAUUUUCAAUUUUUAUGAAAAAAGGGUUAUUUAAGUAAUUAAUUAAAUUUUUGAGUUAUUUUUAUAAAAAAAGAGCAUAGUAAUUAAUUAAGCUAGGUAUUCCUUUUUCACACAAAGAAGAAAAAUGAUAGAAAAUAUAGGGUUGUGGUCGUAGAUAAAUGAUUAUAACGUGAUAUGAUCUGCUUCGCAUUAGUCCAUCACCUUAUCUUUAUGUUUUUGUCUUGGUCAUGAAUCACUUUGGCCUUUGUCUGCAAGUACUGUCUGUCCUACUAUCCUGCAUCUGAUUUUCUCUGUCUUUUGGGUCUAUUUGAAUCAUGCUGAAGUAAGAAAACUGUUUUUAAAGUAUAAAAGUUGAUAAUUAUAUUAGUUUAUUUCUUUAUAAUUUUUUAAAUUUUUAGAGAUAAUAAAUUAAAAUUUUAUAUUUUUGAGGAUAAACUAGAAUUUUAUAAUGGCUUAAAUAAUAGGUUUUCAUUUUAGGAGGUCUAAAGAGUAUUUUUCUUUUUAAAGGAGCCACAACCCUUGCUUACUUUGGUCACCUUCUAUGGUGACCAGAUUCAUUCCAGUGAGAUUAAAAACAAUAGUGGUGGUGAGAUUAAUUACUAUAAUAAUGAGAUUAUUAAAAUGAGAUAGAUUAUAGAUUUAUAGUAAAAAGGAAAAAUGACCAUUAUAGACAUUAAACUAAAAUUAAACUAAAGAAGUUUACACCAUUCCGUAUAUUUUUGUACGAUUAAUAUUUUAAAGAUAAAAACACCAUAUUUCAUAUUUCAUUUAUAUAAAUCAUGCAUGUGAAAUUUCACGUAAAUUAAAAAAAUUUAACUAGUUGUUUUAUGUAAAAUACUUUUAAUCUUUGAAUGAAUGUUAAUACAUACAAUAUUUUAGAUGGAUAGAUAAAAAUAUCGAAUCAAUUGAGAAUUUACAAUAAUAUCAACAAAUUCAAUGAUUGGAUUGUUAAGUUAAGAAUCAUGUAAAAAUAUAUGAAAGCGUGUAAAAUUACUUUAAUUUCGCAGUAGUAUAAGCAAAUUCUUUUUUUAAUAUAUAAAAUUAAUUAUAUAAUUUAAAUUUAUGUAUUUAACAUUAUUUAUAAAUAUAUUAUUUGAAAGUAAUGAAAUAAAAUAAAUAUUAUAAAUAAAAUUAUUAAAAAAUAGUAUCUAUUAUUGAAUUAAAUUAACCAUUCUUUAAAAAAGAGUGAAAAUUAUUUUUUUAAAUGCAUAGGGUUUUAUUUUUAAAAAAAUUUAAGAUUUAGGUAUAAAAGAUAAACAUAAAGUGCAUAGGGCUUUAUUUUUUAUUUUUUAAAUAAUAUUGUUUUCGGCUCACAUGCAGUUUAUUUAGUUAGGUGAAGUAUACCUAACUCAAAUUUUAUAAAAAUGAUAAAAGGCAUGUGAUUUAGUAACACAAAUAUUUUAUUCUCAAUUUUAAUUCGGUUUUUUUAUUUAAAAUAGUAAAGGAUGUAGAUACCUUUAUAAAUUUGCACCUUUUAUUUUAUACUUUAGUCCUUUCUUAAUUUCAUUUAGUGAUUUAUUGUAUACAGUGACGGAGCAUAGUGAAGAUUAGGUAGCAUGACAUCCUUUAAAAUGGUAAAUUUUUUUUAUUUAAGCUCUUUAUAAUUUAUAAAAUUUUAAAUUAGUAAUGGUAAAAUUGUACUUUAACCCUCCAAAGAUGAUAAAAAUUUGAUUUAACCCUUUAAAAAUUACAAAUAUAUAGACUAUUAAAAAUUACAAAUUACAAUUUAAUCCCAACCUCCAAAAACAGUUAGGCUCCGCCAGUUAAUUAAUUAUAUUAAAUUCGAUAAAAAUUUUAAGUAGAAUUGAAAAAAUAUGUGUUUUAUUUAAUAAUAAUACUUUUGAAUGGGUUGAAUUGGCAAGAGUUAAGGUGUGGACACUACACCAAAACAGGUCUUUAGCGGCAUAUUUUGUGGCGCUUGGACGAAAAACGCCGCUAAAAACCGAUCAUUAGCGGCGCAAAGACCUAAACGCCAUAAAAGAACAUCAUUAGCGGCGUUUACCACAAUGCGCCGCGAAAUCUCUUAACCAAAACGCUGUGUUUUCGUCUUGAUGUAUCUUAAAAUUAGUGGCGUUUACGCGAAACGCCAUUAAAGGACAGUAAUAGCGGCGCUUUCUGGAAACGCCGCAAAAUAGCUUAACCAAAACGCAGAGUUUGGUCUUGAGGUAUCUUAGAAUUAGUGGCGUUUAUAGGAAAACGCCGUUAAAGUACAGUAAUAGCGACGCUUUAUGGAAGCGCCGCAAACUAUCUUAAGCGAAACACAUCGUUUUGGUCUUGAUUUAUACUAGAACUAGUGGCGCAUAUGGUCAAACGCCGCUAAAGAAUAGUAUUAGCGGCGAUUUGUAGCUAGCGCCACAAAAUAUCUUAACAAAAACGCAGCGUUUUGAUCUUAAUGUAUAUAAAAUUAGUGGCGCUUACGGUAAACCGCCGCUAAAGAAUAUUAAUAGCGGCGCUUUGUGAGAAGCGCCGCAAAAUAUCUUAACCAAAACGCAUAAUUUUGGCCUCGAUGUAUAGUAGAAUUAGUGGCGCUUAGUGAAACGCCGUUAAAGCAUAGUAUUAGCGGCGAUUUGUAGCUAGCGCCGCAAAAUAUCUUAACAAAAACGCAGUGUUUUGAUCUUAAUGUAUAUAAAAUUAGUGGCGCUUACGGUAAACCGCCGCUAAAGAAUAUUAAUAGCAGCAAAAUAUCUUAACCAAAACGCAUAAUUUUGGCCUCGAUGUAUAGUAGAAUUAGUGGCGCUUAGUGAAACGCCGUUAAAGCAUAGUAUUAGCGGCGCUUGGAUAAAAGCGCCACCAAGUAUCUGAACCAAAACGCAUCGUUUUGGUCUUGAUGUAUACUUGAUUUAGUGGCGAUUUCGGUAAAACGCCGCUAAAGCAUAGUAUUAGCGGCGAUUUGUUGAUAGCGCCGCGACUUACCAUAAACAAAACGCAACGUUUUGGUCUUAAUUUAUACUAAAAUUAGUGUCGCUUUGUUGAAAGUGCCGCAAAAUAUCUUAACAGAUUUUUGGGUUUUAACCAUGCAUUAUGUAAUGUAGGUUACUAUAUAUUUAGUUUAUCAUAUUUGGUUUAGGUAUAGGGUAUUAGGGUUCAUUAUAUAAUGUUUAGUAUUUUUGGAUUACAGUGUAAAGUUUAAAGUUUAGGGUUUACGAUGUAGGUUUAAGGUUAGGGUAUUAGGGUGUUUAGGGUUUAAGGUUUAGGAGUCUGGGGUAUAAGGUUUAAAGUUUGGGGUUUAGGCUACUUUAGUCAUGUUAAUAGGUUAAUAUUGUUUCGGAUUUUGGGGUCUGGUUGUUGGUUUUAGAGUUUAGGGUUUAACGAUUUAGUAGCUUAAGAUUUUAGGGUUUAAAAGUUUAGAGGUUUAGGGUUAAAUCCUAAAAGCGUGCAUGAACAACAGUUUAAUGUUCAAUUGUAUACAUGAACUUUAAUUUGAUCUAAAUAUUGUAAAAUAUUAACACAAUUAUUGAUAUAAUUAACAUCAUUUUAAUUUACGUAUAUUGCAUACAUAAAUAUUUAUAUUUAUUCAAUAUAAAAAUAUAUUUUGAUGUAAAAUUUUUUAUAGAUCAUGAAAUAAAUUUUUAAAAAUGCAUUAUUCUCCCAUUUUUUAUUAAUUGAUAAUUUCAUUUUAUAAAUUUUGUUUUAAUUUUGGAUCAAUUUGGCUUGAAUCUUGGAUGAAGGCAUUAGCGGCGCUUGAGCAAAAGACGCCGCUAAAGGUGAUGUAUUACCGGCGUUUUAUGAAGAAACGCCGCCCAUUUCCUUAAGUGUAACAAAGACACGGUGCCGUUUUUUGUUUUCAUUUAGUGGCGCAUUUGGAAAACGCCACAAAAAUUUAUAACGAGUUGAGGAAACGGCGUCGUUUCCUAUUUUUAUUAGUGGCGCUUUUGCUAAUGCGCCGCAAAAAUGUUACGGUAUAUAAGUGAAAACGGCACUGUUUUAUUCUGAACUUGGAAUUUUAGUGUCGUUUUUAUUUAAAACGCCGCAAGUGUGGACUCAAUAACGGCGUUUGUUCUCAACGCGCCGCAAAUCUGACUUAAAAAUUUCUUAAACGGCGUCGUUUCUUAAGGGGACAUUUAACUUAAUACCCUUCUCUCGUCCUCCAAAAACAGAAAGAGUGAAUUUGCAGACCUCAAGUGUCGAAAGGGAACAAAUUUCAGACUUCUUACAAAGGAAAAAAGAAGGUUGGGGUCGGUCUUGAAAGAAGUUUGGCACAGCUGCGAGAUUUUUCGAUUAAAUAGGUAAGGCGUUUCUGUUAUUUUUGGAUUAAAUUUUUAGGGUUUUAGGUCAGUCAUAGUUAUUUGGGGUUUUAGGGUUUCGAUUAAACAACUUCAACAAUGUACUAUUCCGAUUAAAUAUGUAAGGCGUUUCUGUUAAAUAGGUAAGGCGUUUCUGUUAUUACAGCCACUUAUGGAUUUGAGUUUCAUAUUCUGAUUUCUGGUAUUGAUUUGUGGUAUUGAAAAAAUUUAUAUUACAGCCACAAUAUUGAUUUGUGGUAUCAAUUUACUAUUCUGAUUUAGAUUAUAGCACAUGAGAGGGUGGCAAAAUUUAUAUUCCGAUUUAGAUUAUAGCACAUGAAUUGGAAGGGAUGGAUAAAAAUAAAUAAAUGAAUUGCUAUGGAUUCUCUUGAGGAUGUAAAAUCCGAAUUGGUUGGUCAAUUAGAAUUAGAUUAUGUUGUUAUGUGCAGAAAUAAUUGAGUGGAUUUGAAAUAAUUUGUUUUUGAUUAUGUUGUUAUGUUCUGAAAUAUGCUUUGGAUUUGAAAUAAUUUCUGAGUCUGAAAUAAUUUGUUUUUGAUUAUGUUGUUAUGUUCUGAAAUAUGCUUUGGAUUUGAAAUAAUUUUUGAGUCUGAAAUAAUUUGUUUUUGAUUAUGUUGUUAUGUUCUGAAUUAUGCUUUGGUUCUGAAAUCUGGAUCUGGUUUUUGUCUGCGUUGCUUUCUUAGCUUGCUGGGUUGGAGCUCGUUUCAUUGCUGCCAAAUUUGGAUAUUCUUUGGCGUGGAGGUAAAUUUUGUAAAGGCAAAUUUUAUGUUGCAAAUAAAAGGUUUUUAGUUAAUCAUCUUUAGUUAAUCAUCUUGCUGUUCGUGGUAGUUAUAUACCCGUUGCAUUUUGGUCAGCCUGUCAUGUAUUAUGCAAAUCCCGAAAUGGUUUUAAGCAAGUGGACUUUGUUUAUUUAGUUAUGCACAUAAUACUUUCAUAUUUUAUUUGUUGUAGAAGUUGGUAUCUCACAGUUUCUCAUCAAAUGUAUGCGAGUAGUAUCGAAUGCAAAUUGUUUUAACAGCCAUUUGAUCAAUUGUUCUGUUUUUUUCUAAUAUUCCUUUAUAACAUAUUGGAAGAUAUGUUAUGUUUUAACUUAAUAUAUUUGAAACAUAAUAUCUUAUGCCUCACAAAAUCCAAUUUUUGAUGAUUGUCUUAUUUUAAAUAAUGCUUCCAAUCAAUGGUAUGUGUAUUAUUUAAACAAAAUCCACGAAAUAAAAAUUACUUACUAAAACUUGUAAUUCAAAAUUUAAUUUCAAGUCCAAAUUAAUAUUUUACUUAAAUAUAUUACUUACAAUUUAAUUUAACUUAUUAAAUAUAUAUAUUGUUAAGUAAUAAUUUUUUGAAAUUUAUAUCUUAGAUUACUUAAAUAUAUAUUUUUAAGUAUAUUUUACAUGACUUACAUUACUUACUAAAACAUAUUUUUUACUAAAAUUUACUUGAAUAUAUUAAUUAAAUAAAUUACUAAUAAAGAUUGCUUAUGUAAGCUAUAUUUAAAUUUUAAAUUUAAUAAAUUAUUUAUAACAAUUAUUUAAAUUUAAUAAAUAAUUUAAAAAUUAUUUAAAUUUUAUUAAUAAUAAAUUUAUAACUUAAAUAAGUAUUACUAUUUUUUUAAUAUUAUACAUAUAUUCAUUUAGGUAUGUAAGCUAUAUUUAAAUUUUAUUAAUAAUAUUUAAACAUAUUUUGUUGUCAAAUUAGUGACACAUAUACCUCUCCACGAAUUAUUCAGUGGAAGAUUAGUUUAAAAGCAAAGAUUGCUUAUAUAAGCUAUAUUUAAAUUUUAUUAAUAAUAAAUUUAUAACUUAAAUAAGUAUUACUAUAUUUUUAAUAUUAUACAUAUAUUCAUUUACAUAACACAUAACUUACAUAACUUUCAUAAUACACAACUUACGCAUCUUACAUAAGACAUAACUUACAUGUGUAAAUAAUACAAAAAUUACAUAACUAACAUAAGACAUAACUUACAUAAGUUUCAUAAUACACAUCUUACGCAACUUACACAACUUACAUAACUUACAUAAGUUUCAUAAUACACAUCUUACGCAACUUACACAACUUACAUAACUUACAUAAUGUAUAUCUUGUUGUCAAAUCCUAAACCCGUGCAAUUUAUUGUCAACGUCAGACUUCAAGAAUUAAAAAAUGGACCGGUCUUGGAUGAAUUUGUCAAGGGUAAGCGACGGUUAUCGAAAUGGGGUGCAGAGUUUUCUAAAUUUUGCAUUUCAAUAUGCAAGCCAAGAGAACAUGAUUCUUUGCCCGUGCAAGAAGUGUGUCAACAUAAAUUGGCAUUAUCGUGAGGUUGUAUACGAGCAUCUAAUUGUUGAUGGGUUUGUUCGGGGUUAUAAACAAUGGUUAUUUCAUGGUGAAUGCCCGCGUAGUACUUCCUCUUCAAGUAUGGAUGUAACUUAUCCUGAUACUGCUUACCAUCAGUCUGGUAGAGGGGAUGACAUGGAAGGUAUGUUGCGGGAUGCAUUUAAUAUGCACAAUCAUGGUGUUGAAUCAUUCCCAGCGGACUUUAUGGCCUCUGAUGAUUGUAAUAUUGGUGGAAAUACUUUUACCGAACCGGGAAGUAGUGUACGUCAUGAAGAGCCGAAUGGAGAAGCGGCGAAGUUCUACGCGCUACUUAAUGACAUGAACGAAGAACUGUAUGAGGGAUCAAAAUUUUCAAAGAUGUCCUUCUGUGUUCGUCUUUUUCAAUUAAAGUGUUUGGGAGGGUGGACGGGAAACUCGUUGACGAUGCUGUUAGAGUUUUUGAGAGAAAUGUUCCCGCUUGCAAAAAUCCCUCGGUCCUGCAAAGAUAUGAAGAAGAUGAUAAAAGAUUUAGGCCUUGGGUAUAACAAAAUCCAUAGUUGCCCAAAUGACUGCAUGUUGUAUUGGGGCGAUCGGAGAAACCAACAGUGCUGUCAUGUAUGCGGCCACUCUCGUUGGACAAGUAGAAACACAGAAGAUGGGAACGACGAUGAAAAUGAUGCACAGUCACGGAAGAAGCCAGCCAAGAUUUUACGGUAUUUUCCGUUGAUACCAAGGCUUCAAAGGCUUUUUUUAUUGUCGAAGACAGCGGAGUCAAUGACAUGGCACCAUGAUGGACGAACCGUUGAUGGAUUACUAAGUCAUCCGGCAGAUUCUUUAGCUUGGAAAUCAUUUGACAAUAAAUUUACAAGCUUCGCAAGCGAUCCUAGGAGUGUGAGGCUUGGGCUAGCAUCUGAUGGAUUUAAUCCUUUCAAGAUCAUGAGUACAAACAAAUAUUGAGAUCUCGUUUGCGCUCCCGAAGAACACAACAUCGAGAUAUCAAUAAGUUGUUUACAGAAUCAUUUUAUGAAUGGUUAAGCCAAAUGGUAUGCAGUUCGAGCUUCCGCUUACAAAUAAUAAUAUUUUCUCAUAACAAAUGAAUUACUCAGUUUACUUUCCAUUCAAUAGGUUUGGAGCGGGAAGAACAUAAACGACGAUGUUAAAUGGCUCUCCCAAGGUCCAAAUCGAGUGGUUAAAAGAUAUAGUGCGUUCCUCAUCAACGGAUUCAGAUUUCAUACAAAAUAUCGCGAGAGGUUGAGGAGAACGCAAAAUUGUGGAAUUGUUGUCAAUUCUGCAAUUACGAGUUAUGCUAGUGCUAGGGACAAUAAUCCUGUCGAGGGAAAUGUGGAAUAUUUCGGACAACUUACUGACAUAAUUGAGUUGGAUUACUACGGCAAAUGGAAAGUUGUCUUAUUUCGUGGUGAUUGGGCCGAUGUUAAUACAGCUCGUGGAAUUAAGCAAGAUCAAUUUGGUUUUACAAUGGUGAACUUUGACCGAUUGAUUCACACAGGACAACAACUGAUAGAUGAGCCGUAUGUAUUCUCAUCUCAAGUCAAACAAGUUUUUUACUCAAAAGAUCCAACUGAUGAGGGUUGGUACGUUGUACUCCGUAACAUCCCUAGAGACUUGUUUGAUAUGGGCAGUGGAAGUAGAGAUAACAUCGAAGAUAGAUCAGUAACUUUACCCUUUCCAGAACUAAACUUAAACGAUAAUAUCCCUAGUACUAGUGCACAAUUUGGAUGGGUUCGUCAGGAUACCGAUGAAGAUAUUUACGAAUAAUGAUGUAGACACAUUUUACGAUUGUUUAAUUAUAUAUAAUAUCAUAAUUUAAAUCUUCGUCUUAUUAUAUGUUUCAACUGUUUUAUAUGUGCUGUUAUUGUUGUAAUUAGCUAUUAAGUUAUUAACUAUUUUAUGUGUAUUGUAGAUAAAAUGCCUAGAAGAAAAAUUCUAAGGGGAAGCAUUGUUCAAAAUAAUCCAAACUCGACAGAAACUAAUAGUACUGAACAACAGACAGCAGUUGGAUCUUCAAAUGUUCCGAUUACAGCUGAGGAUCCUACAGAAGUUCAAAGUAAUUUUUCAUUUAAUUUACAUGCGUGUUUCUGUUAUAGUUGAUUUAUUUUUCAAAUUCUUAUAUUAUAAUAUACCAUUUGUAGCUGAAAAUGGUGGGACGCGCAGAGGUCGAGGACGUACGCUACUUAGAGAGUUGUACGAGUUAGAUUCAGUCGAGCGUGUCAAAGUUGGACGAAACAGUUUUGGUCAGCCUGUUGGAUCAGAAGCUCGACUUUUAGCUGGAUACAUGGGCAUUUUAGCACGAAAUCCGAAUAUGUUACCUAUAAACUACGAGUCAUGGCAUCAAAUGCCCGAUAGCAACAAAAACCAAGCCCUCGAUAAUAUUAAGGUAACAAAAUGUUAAUGUCAUCUAUAAUGCUUGGGAAAUAGUUUCAUUUAUAUUUAUUUUAUUAACUUGUGUUUUUUGUUUUUUGCAGGCGAGGUUUGCUUUAGAGGUCUCGGAUGCUUAUGUAAAGAAGGCAUUGGGAAAAAGAUGGAGAGACAACAAAAGUACUUUGAAGAAAAAUUAUUAUAAGACAAAAACAACCCUCGAUGAGAAAUUGCAAAAUGUCCCGCUGGGUAUGUUGAGGUACCAAUGGGAAGAUGCGGUUAGAUUUUGGCAUUCGAAUAAAGGCGAGGUCUUCUAAACUAUUGUAAUUAUUUUGGUUUAUAGUAUUUUCUAUUUACGUACUAAAAAAUUUCAUAAUGUAGGAUCGUGAUCAAGUUGGAAUAAGCAGCAGGCAGAAACAAAAAUUCACCCACACAGCCGGGUCGAGAAGUUUCGCAUGUGUAGCUGAGGCGGAGGUAUUUUUAAAUUUUUUAAUAUUGUCGAAUAUGUAUAACUUUCUAUUAAAUAAUAUUUAUACUACUAUAUUGUAGGAACGGUCGUCCGGUCAAAAAGUUGGACGCCUUCAACUUUUUGAAAUUACACAUAGGAAGAAAGAUGGAUCUCCCAUGACUCCUGAAGCUGCUGAAAUAAUGGUACGUUUACUUAAUACGAUUUGACUUAUUUUAGUUAUUUAUAGUGUUUAUUUUCUAAUGGUUUAAUUCAUUGCAGUUAAUGCGACUAUUGUUAUGUUGCAUAUGUUUUUCAAUAUAUAAUAUUGUGUUCCUAACUAUGUGAUAUAUUUAUUAGGAAAAACUAAAUGAUAAAAAGGCGGAGUACGAAGCAAUUGCUUCUAGUGAUAGUUCGGUUCAUCUUGAAGAUAUUGAUAAUCGGAUUAUUACUGAAGUUUUGGGUCCUGAAAGGUAUGGUCGGGUUCGAUUUCAAGGAUCUUUUGUUAGCCCAACCCAAUAUUUUGGAUCCAGCUCCCACAAAUACAUGGCUUCGGGGAGUCAGGCUCAAGCUGAAGUUCAGAGGUUAAAAGACCAAAUGGCUCAGAUGCAAGCGACUACAAUUGAGGUUCAAAGGAAAUAUGAAGAACUCCAGCUACAACUUAAAGCAGAGGCGGAAGCGAGGGAAGCAGCGACUGCAGCGAGGGAAGCAGAGGCUGCAGCAAGAGAAGCAGAGCAGAGCAAAAAGUACGACGAACUUCAGCAGCAGCUUCAGAUUAUGAUGAAGAUGUUUAAGUCGCAACUUCCACCUUCAUAGUGUAUGACAUAAAUAUUUUUAUCAUUUUAACAUUUAACAUUUAACAUUUUUUGCAAAAACAAUAUGAAUUCACUUUUAUUUAUUGAUAUUAAUAUUAUUUUAUUCCCUUAUGUUGAAAUAUUAUAUAAAUUUAUUGCUAUUGGUUGCUUUUGAAAUGUUGCUUUUGAAUUUUUGCUACAGGAGGGCAGAAAAAAUGAAAAAUUUAAUAAAAAAAAAUCCCCAAAAUAGUGGCGUUUUUGUAUAAAAGCGCCACUAAAGAACAUGUUCUUUUGCGGCGUUUUUAAAAAAUGCCACUAAAGAACAUGUUCUUUAGCGGCGAUUAGAAAAAAAACGCCGCUAAAGAACAUGAUCUUUAGCGGCGUUUUCCCUUAAGCGCCGCUAAAGAACAUGUUCUUUAGCGACGUUUUUUCCUAAGCGCCGCUAAAGAACAUGGUCUUUAGCGGCGUUUUUUCCUAAGCGCCGCUAAAGAACAUGGUCUUUAGCGGCGUUUUUUCUAAGCGCCGCUAAAGAACAUGAUCUUUAGCGGCAUUUUUUUCUAAGCGCCGCUAAAGAACAUGGUAUUUAACGGCGUUUUUGUUUGUAAACGCUGCAAACAUUUGCGACGUUUUCGUUAGCGGCAUUUUUUUCCGGCGCUUGAAGAAGCGCCGCAAAUAUCUUUAGUGGCGUUAAAAAGCACCGCUAAAGGCCUAAAAAAACGCCGCUAAAAACCUGUUUUGGUGUAGUGUCCUAAAAUAAUAAAUUUAGUAGAUUAUAUGCAGAACUCGGUUAUAUCAGACUCAGUGCCAUGAACUUCACUAGCAAGCUUGCUAUCACAGCUGCAGCAUAAGCUAUUAACUGCUUAAUCACCAUUUUUCUUACAACACUCAAAGAUGAAGAAGAAGAUUCUAUAUUCAAUUUCUUAAUGUUAACCUUGCAUUUGCAUUUCCUCGAUAGGGUUUUUAUACCAAAUUUCAAGGAGAAUAAAACAAAAUAAUAAUAACUUUUUAGUUAAUUUGAUGGCAUAAUUGGAUAAGGUUUUUUUUGGGGGGGGCGAUUUUGCAACGAUAUAUACAGGUAGGUAGGCACAUUUUGUUUUGUUGAAUAACUAGUUAUAUGGUAUAAAAUAUUUGGCUCGUGGUCGAUUUUUAAUUUAUUUAAAACUCAACAUGCAUGAUUUAUAAGAAUGGAAUAUUAAAUAUGAUGAUAGGAUUAUUAAAAUAUUAAUUAUAUAAAGAAUUACAGAAGUACAUAAAAACCACUUUAAUUUUGUAAGUAUUUUGGCAAGGCAACAAUGGAAAGGGCUCUUGCGAUGAAAGAAGUGAUUAAGGGCUACGAAAGCAUGUCUGGACAGAUGGUGAAUUUUAACGAAUCCCUGAUUUAUUUUAGCAUAAAUACAAGUGAGGAAGACAAUGUGCAAAUUGGGAGUUAGAAUGUCUAAUAAUCCAGAGAAGUAUCUUGGGUUACUAACGAUGGUCAGAAGAACAAAGAAGAACGCAUUCGUCAAUUUAAAGGAAAGGUUCAUUAAUAUAAUAAAAGCAUGGAGUGUACGCAAUCUAUCAAUAGGGGGAAGGAGGUAUUUAUCAAAUCCACUUUACAAGUCAUUCCAAUUUAUGCAAUGCAGUGUUUUUUUAUGCCAAUUUCUUUAUGUUGAGAAUUAAGAGAUUAUGAUGUGCAAAUUCUAGAUACGCAAUUCGAAAACAAAUAAAGGAAUUCAUUGGUGCAAUUGGCGUUCUAUAUAUAUGUACCCCAAAGGCACAAGGGGGAAUUGGUUUUAGAGAUCUUUCAAUUUUUAAUAAAACCCUUUUAGCGAAGUAGGGUUGGAAACUAAUUACCAAUUCUACCAGUUUACUUGCACGAGUAAUGAAAGGUAAGUAUUAUCCAAGGAGUGAGUUUAUGAAUGCAGGUUUAGGAUAUCACCCUUCUUUUACCUAGCGAAGCAUUUGGGGUGCUCGUAGCAUUUUGGAAGAUGGUACUGGCUGGAGAAUUGGGAAUGGCAUGACAAUGAAUAUAUAGAAGAUGCUUGGAUUCCAGGACCUGGAGACAGAAAGGUAAAAAUUAAGAAUAUUGACAUUAGAUGCUCGAAGGUUGCAGACGUCAUUAAUAGUGAAACUAAUACCUGGAAAAUGGAUCCAGUAGAAAGAUUGUUCAUGAAGAAGCAAGCCGAGUUGAUUUUAACCAUCCCACUGGUGAACAACUCUUAUCAAAUGCUUUAAUCUUAAAGGGUGAUAAUACGGGAGAAUACUCGGUCAAAAGCAAGUACAAGUGGUGCAUUUCUGGUGGCCAAGACGGGACAGAGGACGAUAAUAAUUUACAAGACAUUGCUACAAAAAAAACUAUUACACAAAGCUCUGGAACCUCAAAAUUCCAAACAAAAUCAUAAUACGCCUAUGGAAGGUUUCUAAAUAAUUUUCUUCCUUUGCUAAGUAAUCUAAAGUAUCGAAGACUAAGGGAGGAGGCCCUCUACUCGAUCUGUAAGAAGGAAGACGAAAUGGUGGACCAUCUCUUUCGAGACUAUGCUUUUAUGAAACAAGUGCUUCAGGAGAUAGGAAUGGUACCCUUGCACACAAACACAAAUCAAGGAUGGAAAAUUUGGUUUGUGUAUGUUUUCGGAAACUGUAACAUUUUGCAAAACAUAAACAUAACCAUUGCAUAUUAGGCCAUUUGGCAUAAUAGAAACAAGUUAUAUCAUGAAGGUAAAAGAGAAAGAGUAUGUGAAGUUGUCAGUUUCAUUAAGGCAUACAUUGUCGAGUUAAAACAGUUAAGAGGAAAUCUCACUGAUCCGAAAUAAUAUUGAAGAAAUACAGUGGAAACCUCCAAAGGGAGAUCAAAUGAAAGUUAAUUUUGAUGCCUCUUUCCAACAGCAGUGUUGGUGCAAGAGGCAGCAGCAAGCUUGUUUCUACUUUGCUUGGACAGCAAGUGUCGAGCCUUGCUGAAGAAACUAUCGAAGAAGAAAGGAAGAAAAAAAAGAAAUUUGCAAUGGAAAACAGAAAAGAAAGAGAUAAAUUUGAAUGAAAAUGAGUUGAAUUUUCAUUAACCACUUCACAAGGCAUAAUGCCAAUACAUAUAUGAGAUAACAACAGCAAAACAAACAAGUUACCACCUAAUAACAUACCUAACACCACUAAAUUGCCUAGUAACUUGGUAAACUUGUUUGAACAUAUAAGCAACUACCUAAACUUGUCAUUCAGGACCUAAUUACAUCAAAAUGCAGCUACCAACUAAGUUCAAAACAAACUAAAAUACAAAAUGUUCAUUUGAGUAACCAAAUGAAACAAUGCAGUUUCGGUUUGAUGUUGAAGCACGUUCCCUGCAUGCCCACCUUGCAUGGCCACCUUGGCUGCUGCAUGGGGGCUGACUUCAACACUCCUCCUCAGCUUCUAUGCAGUAGACUCCUAGUUGCUUCCUUAGGUUUAGAAAUCUCGAUGUACCAAGUGAUUUUGUGAAGAUAUCGGUAAUCUGAUUUUCUGAGCUGCAAUGAAUCAGCUCGAUCUCUCAAGCUUGUUCCAUUUCUCUUAUCACAUGCAGUUUAAUGUUGAAAUGUUUUGUCCUGCCAUGGAAGAUAGAAUUUUUAGCAAUAGCAACUGCUGACUUGUUGUCAUAAUGUAUCACAGCUGCUUCAUUCUGCUGUAGGUUCAAAUCGCUCAAAAUUUUUCUCAGCCACAUAGCUUGAUUAAGAGCAUUGGCAGCUGCUACAUACUCAGCUUCAGCUGUCGACUGAGCCACCAUUGUUUGUUUUCUUGAACUCCAACAAAUCAUAGCUGAGCCAAGUGUAAAAGAAUAACCAGAGGUGCUCUUCAUGUCAUCUUUUGAACCAGCCCAAUCGCUGUCAGUGUAGCCAAUCAGUUUCAAUUCUUUAGCCCUACUGAAAUGUAUUCCAUGGCUCAAAGUGCCUUUGAUAUAUCUCAGCACCCGUUUUCUAGCUUUGUAAUGCUGCUGGUUGCAGCAAUGCAUGAAUCUUGAUAGCAUGCUCAUAGCAAACAGAAUAUCAGGUCUUGUUGCUGUCAGAUACAGCAAACAACCAACAAGGCUUCUGUAAUCAGUUUCACAGACAGAUUCAUGGUCUUCUUGGCUCGAUAGCUUCAUGCCAACAGCCAUAGGUGUGCUGGUUGGUUUACAAUUCUCUAUUGAGAAUUUGGCUAGAACUUUCAAGGCAAAUGAUUUUUGUCUCAAGAAGAUUCCUCCUUCUACUUGAUUUACUUCCAUUCCUAGGAAAUAUGUCAUCAAUCCCAGGUCUGACAUCUCAAACAUUUCCUUCAUUUUUGUUUUGAAAUCAGCUAACAUGAACUUGUCUCCUCCAGUCACUAGAAGAUCAUCAACAUAGAGUGAGACAAUGAGCUAUGUUUCAGCUCGAUUUCUUUUAACAUAAAGUGUUGGCUCACUAGCACUCCUUUAAAAUCCCAAACUGACCAGGUAUGAGUCAAUCCGAGCAUACCAGGCUCGAGGGGCUUGUUUUAGGCCAUACAAGGCCUUUCUUAGCCUAUACACCAAAUGUUCCUUACCAGGCAUUAUGAAUCCUAGAGGUUGCUCGAUGUAUAUCUCUUCUUCCAAGAAUCCAUUGAGGAAUGCAGACUUGACAUCCAUUUGAUGGAUUGUCCACUGGUUCUGAGCAGCUACAGCAACCAGCAAUCUGAUUGUAUCGAGUCUGGCUACUGGAGCAAAUGUUUCCAUGUAGUCCAGACCAUAUCUCUGACUAAAGCCCUUCACAACUAGCAUGGCUUUCUACUUGUUUAAACCUCCAUCUACAUUAUGCUUCAUUCGAUAGACCCAUUUUACACCAAUGGUCUUUAUGUUAGUUGGCUUUUCAACCAACUCUCAUGUUUGGUUCUUCUCAAUCAUGUUGAUUUCAUCAACCAUAGCCUGUUUCCAACCCUCAUUUGCCUUAGCCUCUUCAAAAUAGGUAGGUUCAGCUAUAGCAACCUGUGCCCUUUCAUAAAUCUCACCUAGGGGCCUUGUGCCUCUCACAGGCACAUCAUCAACAUCCAUCUCAGGACCAAGCUGCUCGAGUUCAGCUUGAUCAGGCACCAGGUCUUUUGAAGCAGCUUCUGGUUCACUCUUUUCCCAAUUCUAGCAAGCUUUUUCAUAAAAAAUGACAUCUGUGCUCACCUGGACUGUGCUUGUCAAGGGAUCCAAAACCCUGUAGCCCUUCUUGACUGAGCUAUAACCCACUAGGACACCUGGUUGAGCCCUUUCAGAUAGCUUAUCCCUCUUUGCUGCUGGUAUUUGUGCAUAGCACAGGCAACCAAACACCUUCAGAUAUGCCAAGGAAGGCUUGAAUCUAAACCAAGCCUCGAAAGGUGUCUUGGAUGCAAGAGCUUUGGUAGGAAGCCUAUUCUGAAGGUAGACAGCAGUGUUUACUGCCUCAGCCCACAUGGUCUUGGGAAAUUUCUUCUCAAACAGGAGACAUCUGGCCAUAUCCAUCAGACUUCUGUUCUUUCUUUUAGCUACCCUAUUCUGCUGAGGUGUGUAGACAUUUGUAAGCUGGUGUUUGAUGCUAGCAUCAUUGCAAAUAGCUUGAAACUGAGCUGAAGUGUACUCAGUGCCAUUGUCUGACCUUAUCGAUUUCAGCUUGCAACCUGUUUCUGUCUCAACAGCCAUUUUAAACUUCACAAACACUUGAGCUACCUCAAACUUGUGUUUCAGAAAGAAAAUCUAGCAAAACCUUGUAAAAUCAUCAAUAAAGAGAAUGAAAUACCUAUUUUUGCUGAGUGAUUCAGUUCUCAUAGGUCCACAUACAUCAGAGUGCACCAGCUGCAGUCUUUCAGUGGCUCUCCAUACUGAGUUUGUAGGAAAUGGCAGCCUUGCCUGUUUUCCCAUUUGGCACACUUCACACACAUCAUCAUGCUCCAUUGAGCUGGUGAAGUUCUCUACCAAGCCUUCUUUGGCCAUUCGAGCCAUUGAUCUGAAGUUGGCAUGCCCGAACCUUUGAUGCCAAAGGUUAGAAUCAUCAACAGAGGCUGUGUAUGCUAACUUUAAGUCAUUUGGCCAAUGAACCUCAAAGCAUUUGUCAGUCAUUAUGACUGUCAUAAGGCUUGAUCCACUUGGAUCAGUAAUGUGGCACUGUUUUUCAUUGAACACAAUAGAGUAGCCUUUCUCGAGCAAUUGAGCUAUGCUGAGAAGGUUUCUAUCAAUCUCAGGCACCAAUAGCACAUUUGGAAUGAUCUUGUUGCCUGUAGGAGUACAUAUCAGCACCUCUCCUCUUCCUUCAGCCCUUAUGAAUUGACCAUUUCCAACCUUGGCCUUGGUUUUGCAACUUCUAUCCAAGGUUUUAAACAAGGAGGCAUCUGGUGACAUGUGGUUAGUGCAGCCACUGUCCAAUAACCAGUCUUUUGAACAUUUCUUCUCAGCAGCUAAGCAAGAAACAGCAAAGACCUGCUCUUCUUGGUCACUACUGUCCUCAGCUACUCGAGCUUCAACCUUUGGUUGUUGAAAUUGACUCUGCCUCGGCUUGGUUUUGUUUUUGCAAACCCUUUCAACAUGGCCUUUCUUCUUGCAGUGUUGACAUACUGCAUCUAGCCUGAACCAGCAUCUGUCUUCUUGAUGACCUGGCCUCUUGCAAGGUCUGCAGGGCUGGUCAUUGCUCCUUGCAGCAUCAGGCUUAGGCCUGCUUUUCUAAGGCUUUUUGCCUCUUUGAGCAUUGAUGCUCGACACUUCUCUGGCCUUGGCAUGAAAUGCACCUUCCUGGUGAUCUUCAGCUCUGCUAGCUCUUCUUUGUUCCUGAGCAUAAAAAGUGUUAAUAAGCUCGGUCAAAGAGAUGCUAGCUAGGUCUCUUGAAUCCUCUAGGGAGGAUAUCUUGGCCUCAUAUCUCUCAGGCAAACUGGAGAGGACUUUCUCCACUAUUCUUGCCUCAUCAAAGUGCUUACCAAAGAGCCUUAUAUUGUUAACCACUACCAUGAUUCUAUCUGCAUACUGCUUCACUGUUUCUUCUUCCUUCAUCUUCAGAUUCUCAAAAUCCCUUCUCAAAUUCAACAGCUGUUGUUGCCUUGUCCUCUCAGUGCCUUGAAACUCCUCCUUAAGCUUGUCUUAGGCCUGUUUUGGAGUCUCACAGGCCAUAAUUCUGGUAAAGAUGACAUCUGACACAUAGUUCUGAAUGUAGGACAUGGCUUUGUGCCUUUUGGUCCUCUCAUCAGCAUGUUGCCUGAUCUGAGCUACUGUGGGAUUGGCCCUCAGUGGUGCUGGCUCAACAUCUGUGUUGACAACUUCCCACAGAUCAAAGGCCUGUUGGUAAGUCUUCAUCUUUACCAGCCAUAUGUGAAAGCCUUCUCCAUUGAAGACUGGUGGGGUUGCUGGUGAAAAUCCUAAAGAAGCCAUCAGGUUCCUUGGUUUGAAGCAACAGGUCCACUAAGACAAGGGCUCUAGAUACCAAUUGUUGGUGCAAGAGGCAGCAACAAGCUUGUUUCUGCUUUUCUUGGACAGCAAGUGUCGAGCAUUGCUGAAGAAACUAUCGAAGAAGAAAGGAAGAAAAAAAAAGAAAUUUGUAUUGGAAAACAGAAAAGAAAGAGAUAAAUUUGAAUGAAAAUGAGUUGAAUUUUCAUUAACCACUUCACAAGGCGUAAUGCCAAUACAUAUAUGAGAUAACAACAGCAAAACAAACAAGUUACCACCUAAUAACAUACCUAACACCACUAAAUUGCCUAGUAACUUGGUAAACUUGUUUGAACACAUAAGCAACUACCUAAACUUGUCAUUCAGCACCUAAUUACAUCAAAAUGCAGCUACCAACUAAGUUUAAAACAAACUAAAAUACAAAAUGUUCAUUUGAGUAACCAAAUGAAACAAUGCAGUUUCGGUUUGAUGUUGAAGCACGUUCCCUGCAUGGCCACCUUGCAUAGCCACCUUGGCUGCUGCAUGAGGGCUGACUUCAACAAGCAGACUCACAAAUCUAUUUUAGGAUUGGUUAUGGGCUCAUGCAUUUACCCGAUUAAAAAUUUCUAAGACCCAACAACAGAAGAAGCACAUUCAUGUUUAGAAGCAGUUAUCUUUGCGGAAGAAAUGGGCUUUGGAGAUGUUUGUAUAGAAGGCAAUGCACUCACAGUCCUAAAAAGAAUCAAAAAAUCAGAGAUUGAUAGAUCAGUUAUAGGCAACAUUAUUAUUGAGAUUACGGAUAGAGUAACCAGGUUUUGAAUUUUUACCUCUCGAUACGUCCUGCGAGCGGCAAAUAGAGCAACACGCGGAAUGGCAGCUUGGGGAACACGGCAUGAAAGGCCGAUCUACUAGGUAGAAGACGUUCCACUGGACGUUGAAGCCAUAGUCACAAAGGAGCAACGAUAGUAAGAGAAGAUUUUUUUUCAUUCUGAGUCUGGAGUGUUUGUUUUCAGUUUUGAAAACUCCAAGGAGCUCAGAAAUCUGCGGAGUUGGGAUGAAAUAAGAGACAUUUGUGAAACGGGUGAGGGUUUCAACUCCCACAGAGGAAUUCCUCCAGUGUGUCGGGAGUGGAUGAUUUUGCAGGGAAGAUUUAGAGGUGCUCAUAGGCCGGGCCGAGCCGGGCCCAUAAAAAAUUUUGGCCCAGGCCCGGCCCGACCCGAAAUAUGGGCCUAAAAUUUUACCUAGGCUCGGCCCGGGAAAAAAUUAUAAGCCCGGGACCGGCCUGGUGUUGACACCAUUUUUUGGAUGAAAACGGGGUCGACUUGGAUUUUGGAAAAAAAAGAAUGAAAAUGGGAGUCGCCACCAAUCCUUUUUUGAAGAGGUGUGAUUGGGUCACCUCAAAAGGUGGUUGUUUUUAAUAAAUGAUUUAAUUUUAUUAAAACAACGAUUUUGGUCUACGAAAUUCAGAAAAAUGAGUUCGGGAGUCGGUUACGCACGAGGAAGGAUUAGCACCCUCGAUACGCCCAAAAUUGGUACCUAGUUGAUUAAUUAGUGUCUUAGUGUCGAAAAUUUGAAAACUUGAAAGAAUUUAAAAUACGAUCCCUCUUUGUAAAGAAAAUGCUCAAAUGUUAAGGACCUUCUCGUCUCACAAUAUAAAAUGUCACAUCCAGUAAGUUAGGACACGACAUCUUGAAUUUUCGAGAACGAGCUUGCCUUUUAUAUAAAAAUUCGUGUAUUUCAAAAGGUUAUUCAGUUAGUUAAGGUGAACGAGGAAAAUCGAAACCCAGUAAGUUAGGGCACGUUUCCUCGAAUUCCCAAACACCGAAUAUUGCCUUUACUUGCAAAAAUCUUAUUUCGAGGUAACGAAAUGCCAUACCCAGUAAGUUAGGGAACAACACCUCGUAUCUCCGAGAAUAAGCAUUUUUCAAAACUCAUGUCACGAUUUAAAAGAGUAUUCCGUUAUUUAGGUUAAAGGAGAAAAAUUGAAACCCAAUAAGUUAGGGCACGAUUGUCUCGAAUUACCAAAUACGGAAUAUUACUUUUAUGAAAGAAUUAUUAUUGGGUUGGAUAUAAUGAUAAUAAGAAUAAUAUUAAAGUAAAGUAAACAAUAAUACUAUAUAUAAAUGUAUAUAUAUGUAUAUAAUAGAAAUACACACUACUAUAUAAUAAUAAUAAAUAUAGAAAUACUAAAAGCAAAUAUAAUAAAAAUAUUAAAUUAAAGUAAUAAAAAAUAAUACUAUAUAUAAAAUAUAUAUACAUAAAAAUAUACACUAAUAUAUAAUAGUAAUAGUGAUAGCAAAAAUAAUAAAAAUAUAAGUAAUAUUAAUAAUAUAUUAGAAUACAAAAGUAAAGUAAUAACAAUAGGAGUGAUAAUAAUAAUAAUACAAACAAUAAUACAUAUAUAUAAUAAUAGUAGUUAGAAAUAAAAAAUAAUAAAAGUAACAAUAAUGAUAGUAAUAAUAUAAAUAAAUAUGGAGAGGGCAUAUAUAAUAUAAUAAUAUAAAAAAAAUAAUAUAUACAUGAGAAAUAAUAAUAAUAAUAUAAAUAAUAGUAAAAAUAAUAAAAUAAUAAAACAAAGCUCUCAACUCUCUUUCUCCCUCUUUUCUAAAUCCGGCCGUUGGUCCGGCUUUGCUUCGGUCAUGGACCCCCACGGGCCGCCAUCGGCGCCACCGUACACGGCGGCCGGACCUCAAAAAAACCUUUUUCGAUAAUGAAAAUAUAGGUAAGCUUCUUACUUUUAUUUUUACUUUCGUAUAAAAAAACAAAAUAAAAUUGAAAGGAAAACAAUAAACAAACAAAGAACUAAAGAUAAGAAUAGACAAAAGAAACCUCUUUUGCUUUGAUCUUUGAUUAAUCUCCAAAAACUAGCCUUUCCAAGAAACAAAAAUAACCUUUUUUACAAAAAAACACCUCCAAAAAACAAAAAAAACCUCCUCCAAAACAAAGAACAAUCCUUCUCCAAAAAACCAAAAACCCACCCCUAAAAACAAAGUCUUGAAUGGCUUUUAUAGCCAAAUUUUACAAGUGGAGUGGUUGGGGUGGUUUAGGUGGCCAAGGGUGGUGGAGUUGGUGGCUAAGGUGGGUGGCCAACAAAGGUGGUGGAGUAGGUGGCCAAGGUUUUUAUUUAUUUAUUUAUUUAUUUUUUGUGUUUGGGUUGGGAUUAGGUUGGGCCAAAUUGGGUUUGGUUAGGGUUGGUUUAAGUUGGGCCAAAAUUGAGCCUUUACAGCUGCCCCUCUUUGCUCAUUUUCGUGUAACGAGAAUAGAGCAAAGACAUCAAAAGGGCCAAUUUUGCCCGGUCUUGCCGAGUCUUGACUUUUUGGUGCUCAUCUUCUUCCAGUAGCCUUAUUCCAGUCUGCUACGUCUUGUUGCUUCGAUCCACUCUACUGCAACUUCAGAUACGCCUUGUAGCUUCAAUCUACUCUGCUACGACUCCAUGGGGAUGAGAUUUGUGUUUUUAGUCUGCUCCACUACUACUUAGGGAGAUAAGACUUGAUGCGAUCUGCUUCACUAUUUCUUAGGGAAAUAAGAUCUGUGGUUUUAUCUGCUCCACUACUGCUUAGGGAGAUAAGACUUAAUGCGAUCUACUCCACUACUGCUUAGGGAGAUAAGAUUGUAAUCUUCGAUCUAUUCCACUGUUGCCCAAGGAGAUAGAACUACUGGCUUUAAUGUACUCCACUGUAAUCGGAGAGGUAAAAUCCGCCAUCUUCGACCUGCAAUCUAUUCCACUGCUAAAUACAGGGAAAUAGAGUCUGUUUUCAAUCCACUUCCUACCAAUAUAGGAAGGCAGGAUCUACAAUCUUCAAUCUAUUCCACUGCCAGAUACAGGGAGAUAGAGUUAUCGGCUUCAAUGUACUCCACUGUAGUCACAGGGAGGUAAAAUCUGCCAUCUUCGAUCUGCUUCACUGCCUAAUACAGGAAGGCAAGAUCUGCAAUCUUCAAUCUAUUCCACUGCCAGAUACAGUGAGAUAGAGUUAUCGGCUUCAAUGUACUCCACUGUGGUCAGGGAGGUAAAAUCUGCCAUCUUUGAUCUGCUUCGCUGCCAAAUACAGGAAGGCAAGAUCUGCAAUCUUCAAUCUACUUCACCACCAGUAUGGGAAGACAAGAUCUGCAUCUUGGAUCCACUUCCUAUCAAUAUAGGAAGAUAGGACCUGCUAUCUUCGAUCUACUUCACGCCAAUACAUGAAGGCAAGAUCUGCUUUCUGCGAUCUACUUCGCCACCAAUAUGGGAAGACAAGAUCUGCAUAUUGGAUCCACUUCCUAUCAAUAUAGGAAGAUAGGACCUGCUAUCUUCGAUCUACUUCACACCAAUACAUGAAGACAAGAUCUGCUUUCUGCGAUCUACUUCGCCACCAAUAUGGGAAGACAAGAUCUGCAUCUUCGAUCCACUUCCUACCAAUAUAGAAAGAUAGGAUCUGCUACCUUCGAUCUACUUCACGCCAAUACAUGAAGACAAGAUCUGCUUUCUGCGAUCUACUUCGCCACCAAUAUGGGAAGACAAGCUCUGCAUCCUGGAUCCACUUCCUAUCAAUAUAGGAAGAUAGGACCUGCUAUCUUCGAUCUGCUUCACGCCAAUACAUGAAGACAAGAUCUACUUUAAUGACUUCAAUCCCUCCCAUUGCAACUUCAAGGGUAUAGGAUCUGUUUCUUUGAUCUGUUCUCUGGGGAAUAUGACCUGUAAAAUCCAUUUUAUGGACCUAUUUAUGCCUAGUGUUUAGGAUGGCAUGAUCAGAAUGAAUCAAAUGCUUCUAACUAGAUGUGUAUGAAUGAAUGCAGAAUGUCAUGAGAAUGAUCCAUUUUUAAUGUUUGAGUUGUCAUUGCUCAUGUUUUAUCACUGACGUGUUACAACGCCUUCUUGCUCGGCUGGCAUAUCCAAAGAAACACUUAGUCAGAUUGCCCCCACUGCGAACGUCAAAGUUUAAUCCACUGGGACAUAAAAUUUGUACCAUCAAUCUCCCACCGUAAACUAAGGGUAGAAGGAUAUGGCUUUUUCUCGAUCCUCUACUAUCACAAUUCAAGGAUACAGAAUGUGAAACUCUUUGAUCUCCUACACCAUUCCCAAGGUGUCAUACCAAAUGUUUAUGUACAAAUGCAAAAUUUCCUUCUCCGAGAAAACCUUUUCUUAUUACUUGGUGAACAUCGCUUGUUUGUUCAUUGAAGCUUUGCCACCAACACGACAUCUUGUCAAUGUUUGGACAACAAAAUUUGAAAGGAUAGUCCCGACUUGGACUCUUCCUUUUUGGACACUUUGAAUUUGGUGUGCUCUAAACAACAGUCCUGUUUCAGGCUCCUUCAUUAUUUAGAAAUUUCUAGAGUAAUAUGCAAAACUCCAAUUGCUUGAACAUUCAGUUUAUUAAUAGUUAUUCUAAAUGUUUUUCGAGAAGGUUACCACAACGAACAAACAAAUGUUAUUAAGAACAAAUCUCGAGAUGAAUGAGUUAAUCGAGAUAGCAAAUUUUGCUAAGGUAAAAAAUGAAAUAAGACAAUAGACAAGAAUGAAAUUUUAUUGGGGAGCAAAGCUUGAACUGAAUACAAUAAUCAAGACAACAAGUUUUGCCAAGAUUCAAAGUAUAAGAUGACAACAGGUGCCCCAGAUAUCACAGCACGAGCUUCCCUGCACAAGUUUUCUAAAGACCAUUUAAUAUGUGUUUGGAAUCUACAGUAUUUUGUCGAUACCCCAAGAUGUCACCUACUCCUUCUUGCGAUUCAGGUGUAGUAAGACCACCACAUGCCUCAGAUCCUGCUCAAAAAUUCGAGCCGUACCUCACGCUUCAAAAUUCGAGCCGCCUUUUUCAGGUUUUCAACUCAAAUCCCCUUUGGUCUCAAGGUGCCUUUUGCGGGUUUUCACCUUGGCCUCUCCCAUUUUUUUUUUUUUUAAGAAUGCCCCCUUUUUAAGUGAAAUACUUCUUGACUGAGUCUGAAUUUACAGGAUUUGACAGGCUUUUACCAUCCAUUUCGCUCAGGAUUAAAGCUCCUCUUGAAAAGGCCUUUUUUACCACAUAAGGACCUUCCCAAUUUGGCAUCCACUUUCCUCUAAAAUCCUUUUGUAGAGGAAGAAUCUUUUUCAGCACCAGGUCCCCCUCGUAAAAUUCUCUGGGACAAACUUUUUUGUUGUAAGCUCGCAUCAUUCGUUUCUGAUACAUCUGACCAUGACGAAUAUCUUUUAACCUCUUUUCUUCUACCAAGUUUAACUGGUCAUAUCUGGAUUGAAUCCAUUCAGCCUCAUCCAACUUUAGUUCAGUUAAUACUCGGAGAGAAGGAAUUUCAACUUCUAUGGGUAAAACUGCUUCCAUCCCAUAGACUAAAGAAAAUGGUGUUGCCCCGGUAGAGGUUCUAACAGAAGUACGAUAUGCCAGGAGAGCAAAAGGUAAUUUCUCGUGCCAAUCUUUGUAGGUUUCAGUCAUUUUUCCUAUAAUUUUCUUGAUGUUUUUGUUAGCUGCUUCCACGGCACCAUUCAUUUUUGGACGGUACGGUGACGAAUUGUGGUGUCUGAUCUUGAACUGACUACAAACUUCCGCUAUUGAGUUGUUGUUUAAGUUCAGCGCAUUAUCGGAUAUGAUCCUUUCAGGCAUCCCGUAUCGACAUAUGAUCUCUUUUUUCAGAAACUUGCUAACUGCCGACUUCGUGACAUUUGCAUAUGAAGCCGCCUCCACCCAUUUAGUGAAGUAAUCAAUAACCACAAAGAUAAAACGAUGCCCAUUGGAAGCUUUUGGAGAUAUUGGCCCGAUAACGUCCAUUCCCCACAUGGAGAAAGGCCAUGGAGAAACCAUAACAUGAAGGGGUGAAGGUGGUGCGUGCAUUUUGUCACCAUAAAUUUGACAUUUAUGGCACCUCUUGGCAUAAUUAAUGUAAUCCCCUUCCAUGGUGGACCAAUAGUACCCAAAUCUCAUAAUUUGUCUGGUCAUCGUGAAGCCAUUGGCAUGCGUUCCGCAGAUACCUUCAUGCACUUCUUCCAAAAUUUCCUUUGCCUCAACAGCAUCCACACACCUUAACAGUACUUGAUCUUUUCCUUUUUUAUACAAAAUUUCCCCAUCAAGGACAUAGUCAAUGGCUAAUCUCCUUAAUGUCUUCUUAUCAUUUUCUAUCGCAUGGUCAGGGUACUCGCGACUCUUCACAUAUCGCAAUAUGUCAUGGUACCAAGGGUGAUCAUCCUUUCCCUCUUCAUUGUCAAUGUGCAACAAUGGGCUGGAACCUCAUAGAUGCUGAUCUGGAUAGGCUUCAUAUAUUCUAAUUUGUUCACUUUAAACAUGGAGGCUAAAGUGGCCAAAGCAUCUGCCAUCUGAUUUUCAUCUCGUGGGAGGUAACUAAAGGUGACACUAUCAAAUUCCUCGAUCAAUUCCAUAACCAAUUUUCGAUAGCGAACCAACUUCGGGUCUCUUGUUUCCCAUUCCCCCUUGAGCUGGUAAAUUACUAAUGCAGAGUCCCCGUAUACCUCUAGCACCUUAAUUUUCCGCUUUAUGGCUGCCCGAAUGCCCAUAAUGCAAGCUUCAUACUCAGCCAUAUUAUUUGUGCAGUCAAAGUCCAAUUUGCUAGUGAAAGGAUAAUAAUCUCCACUAGGGGACACGAGUACUGCCCCAAUUCCGUUGCCUAUAGCAUUUGAAGCUCCGUCAAAACUCAACUUCCAAGGACCACCUUCUUGGAAAUCUUUCUUUACGGUUGCGGCAUACAUCAAAUCCUCAUUUGGGAAAUCGAAGUUCAAUGGCUCAUAAUCAUCGAGAGCCCUACUUGCUAGGAAUUCCGCUAUUGCACUCCCUUUGACCGCCUUCUGGUUCACAUAGACUACGUCAAAUUUAGAUAGAAGAAUUUUCCAUCGAGCCAUUCUUCCAUUCAGAGCGGCUGACUCCAUCAAGUAUUUCAGAGGGUCUAAUUUGGAGAUUAACCAGGUCGUAUAGUACAACAUGUACUGUCUCAGUCUCCGAGUUGUCCAAAUUAAAGCACAACAUAAUUUCUCGAUUGGCGAAUAUCUUAUUUCGCAUUCGGUGAACUUCUUACUGAGAUAGUAGAUCGCUCUUUCCUUUCGUCCUGAUUCGUCAUGUUGACCAAGCACGCAUCCCAUGGAAUUUUCAAAUACUGCCAAAUACAGUAUGAGCGGUUUGUCUGGGCAGGGUGGCAUCAGUACUGGGGCGUUGGAUAAGUAAUGUUUGACUUUUUCAAAAGUUUUUUGACAUUCCUCAUCCCAUACACCUGGAUUAUGUUUCUUGAGGAGGCGAAAUAUGGGGUCGCAUUUCUCAGUUAGCUGUGAGAUGAACCGAGCAAUAUAGUUCAGCCUUCCUAGAAAACCUCGAACCUCCUUUUGAGUACGCGGCGGGGGUAAUUCUUGUAUUGCUCUUACUUUGUCAGGAUCAAUCUCAAUUCCUCUUUCACUGACCACGAAUCCAAGUAAUUUUCCUGAUCUGACCCCGAAUGUGCAUUUUGCUGGAUUUAGCUUUAGCUGAAAUUUCCUCAAUCUCGUAAAUAAUUUCUUAAGGACCUGCACAUGUUCCUUUUCUGUUUUAGAUUUUGCAAUCAUGUCAUCAACAUAGACUUCUAACUCCUUAUGCAUCAUGUCAUGGAACAGUGUUCCAUGGCCCUCUGAUACGUUGCCCCUGCAUUUUUCAACCAAAAUGGCAUCACCUUAUAACAAAAAGUUCCCCAUAGGGUUAUGAACAUAGUUUUCCUCAUAUCCUCGGGAUGCAUCUUAAUUUGGUUAUAUCCCGAGAAGCCAUCCAUGAAAGAAAACAGUGAAUGUCCUGCUGUAUUGUCUACCAAGGCGUCGAUAUGCGGCAAGGGAAAGUUAUCUUUUGGGAUAGCCUUAUUUAGAUCUCUAUAAUCCACACACAUUCGUACCUUCCCAUCUUUCUUAGGGACAGGAACAAUGUUAGCUACCCACUCGGAGUAUUUGACCACCUUCAGGAACCCAGCGUCAAAUUGCUUUUGCACCUCUUCUUUUAUUUUUAACACGAUAUCAGGCCUUAUUCUUCGGAGUUUUUGCUGAACUGGUUUGCAAUCCUCCUUUAUAGGAAGUCGGUGAACCACGAUGUCAAUACUUAACCCCGGCAUAUCUUGGUAUGACCAUGCGAAGACAUCUUUGAACUCUCGCAGCAAUUCAAUGAGGUAUUGUUUUACUUCUUCAGCUAUGCGGAUACCAAUCUUUAACACCUUUCCCUCUUCCAAGAUCACUGUCUCUAUCGUCUCUUCGUGGGGUAGAAUCUGUUUCUCUUCCUGCUCUACCAUUCUCAACAAGUCCGGAGAUAGGUUGCAAUCUGUGUUAUCUUCAAAAUCUUGAGAUUCCUCUGGACACAUAUCUCGUUCAAAAAGAUUUUCUAAGUCCAUAGUAGAGUCACUCAUAUCAUUGAUAUCUUGGGACCUGUUAUAGGUAUCAAAGAAUGUACAGGGAAUGUAUGAAUUUAAGGAUUCUUAUUUAGUAUGACCAUGAAUGUAUGAAAAAAAGAAUUUGAAAAGAAUAUAUACUCAAAAUGCGAAGAUAUAUUUCAUUGAAAUCACAAUGUCCACAUAUAAGCCUAUUUCAGUUCACAAAAGUUUUCAUUUUCUCUAGGCUUAGAAUAAUUAAUGUUUUGAAUAUUACUCUGGAAAAGCUCUAAAAACUUCAGGCAUUUCUUCCGCAGUCCAAUUGUUUAAAACACUCCCAGGUUCAACGGGAUAGAUGCCUGACGUACUUCCUCCUUCAAAUUCUUCUUCACAUAUGGCAUUGAUGCUUAAGUUUCUUAACAUUUCCUCUGCGGUCUUCUUUCUUGGAGCCCUCAGUUCAGAAUACAUAGUUCCUCCCGACAUGAAUGUCCUGGAUAUGUGGGGGAAAGCCAUAGGUUCCCAGUCGACUUCUUUUCCGUUCAAACGCGCCUUCCUUCUAUCUUGUCUCUUUUCUAACUCUUUCCUUCUCUGUUUGGUAUUUGGUUUAAAUCCUAAACCAAAACGAUCUUGUUUGUAUUUCACUACUGGUGCCCCCAUCCUUCCCUGAAGGCAUCUUCCAAGUCCUCUUCCAGGCACAGCUCCUUUCCCAACUGUCGCUUGUAAUCCCAUCCUUGUGGCUUUAGACAUGCUGGGCGUCGGAAUCUUCUUUCCCCCUAUGACAAAGGUUGCAUUUACGAACUCCAAAGAUCGAAAAGAACAUUCAACUGCCUCGUCGUCUAUUCCCAAAUAUGGUGUAUCAUUGGUUACCAAUGCAAUGAUAUCUUCCUCGGCGUCAAUUGUAAUUAACCGGCCUUCUAUUACCAAUUUUAACUUCUGGUGCAAUGAUGAAGGCACCGCCCCUGCCGAAUGAAUCCAGGGUCUUCCUAAUAAGCAAUUAUAUGACGGCUUGAUAUCCAUCACUAGGAAGUCCACAUCGUAUGUAUUUGGGCCAAUUAAAAGAGGUACUUCUAUUCUUCCUAUCACCUUUCUUUCGGUACCAUCAAAUGCUCUCACUAUAUUUUGGCAUGAUCUCAUGUGAGAGUUAUCCACCGGUAACCUACUUAAGGUAGAUAGGGGUAAAACAUUCAAGGCUGAUCCAUUGUCAAUUAGCACUCCAGCUAACAUAUACUCCCCGCAACGAGCAGUGAUGUGUAAUGCUUUGGUAGAUCCUCUUCCCCCUGGCGGUAUUUCAUCAUCAUUAAAAAAGAUGAAAUUAUUGGCAUUGAUAUUAUUAACCAAGCGGUCUAACUUAUUCACCGAGAUAUCUUUAGUGACAUAAGUUUCAUUUAGCACCUUAAUCAACGCAUUACGAUGUAUCUCUGAACUUAUAAGCAACUCAAGUACGGAGAUACGAGCCGGUUGCUUAUGUAAUUGUUCUACCACGCUGUACUCGCUAUGUUUCAAGAAUUUUAGAAAUUCAUUGGCUUGAUUUUCAGUUACCGGCUGAUUGACACUCGAUUCAAUUUCGUCUGUUUUUGUUUUUCCUAGCUCAACUGCUAAAGCUUUUUCUUUUCCAGAUUCCACUAUCGCGUCUGCCGGAUCAUAGCGCUUUCCACUUCGUGUAUAGAAUCCUUCCUUCUUUUUUGAAGCAUUUACCGAGCUCUCUUUUCCUGGAAUCGUCACAUUGCAAUCGUAACUCCAAGGAACCUUUUUGUUACCCUUGUAAGGAAAGGAUACAGGUUUUUGGAUUAUAACUUUUGGCCCUAUUUGUAUUCCAGAUUCUUUGUUCAUUGGCUUUGAAAUGAUAACCACUGGAUGACAAAGCUCUUGGGUUCUCCUUGCAGAUCCUUCUCCUGUAGCACAAACUUCUUCCUCUUUUAACCCUUUGAUUUCUUCAUAAAACUCCAUUUCUUUGCUAUCCAUAAAGUUUUGCACCACGAUUCUGAACUCGGUGCAUUCCUGGAUGUCAUGAUCUUCUUCUGCGUGGAACUUACAAAAUCUCUUUGCUUGUUCAGGCCUUUCUAUCGAAUCUUGCUUGAUAAGACCUCUUUUUACCAUUUGUUUCCAAACCCAUCCAAGAGGGGUUUUUAUCUCUGCCACGUUGGCUUUGACUCUUCUUCCUUCAUUCUCACUUAUCGCGUUUACCCUAUUAUCGUCAUGAUUGGGCAACGGAUUUUCUGCUACAUUUGGCCCUGAUGAGUCGCCAAUCUUUACGAUCCCCAUAUUGAUAAGUUUCUCCACUAACUUCUUGAAUGCAGUGCAGUUCUCAAUCGAGUGCCCCUUAAUCCCCGCGUGGUACUCGCAUUGGGAGUUUAUGUCAUACCAUUUGGGGUACGGAGGUUGCAUGGGUUUUAGGUAAAAUGGAGAUACCACAUGUGCAUCAAAUAAAUUCUGAUACAAUUCUUUAUACGUCACCGGGAUGGGUGUGAAUUGAGGUCUUUCUAUAUUUGGCCUUGAAUUGGACUCCCGUCUCGAAGAACCUUGCUGAUUAGUGGUUGUUGCUCUGGCUUGUCCCACCGUGAUUGAUCUAGAAUGGUCCUUGUUAAACAUGUUUGUGUUGUUUAUCUCAUGCUCCUUCUUUCUCAGUGCUGACCUUUUAGCACUUUCUCCUGCUUCUAUCUUGCCACUCCUUAUGGCAUUUUCUAUCAUUUCUCCAGACAUCACUAUGUCUGAAAAGCUUUUGGUGGCACUACCCAGCAUGUGAUUGAGAAAUGGAGCUUUCAAAGUAUUGAUAAAAAGCAUGGUUAUCUCUUUUUCUAAAAGUGGUGGUUGAACUUGUGCUGCUACCUCCCUCCAUCUUCGAGCAUACUGGCGAAAGCUCUCAUUAGUUUUCUUUUCCAUAUUUUGCAAUACAAUUCGAUCGGGUGCUAUGUCCAUCACAUGUCUGUAGUGUUUUAUAAAGGCCUGCGCCAAAUCUUUCCAAGAGUGGAUUUCAGCUCGACUCAAUUGAUUGUACCAUCUAACAGCUGACCCGAUCAAACUAUCCUGAAAACAGUGAACCAACAGCUGCUCAUUGUUGAUGUACCCGGUCAUUCUUCGGCAAAACAUAGUGAUAUGAGCAUCGGGACAACUUGUCCCGUCAUAUUUUUCAAACUCCGGCAUUUUAAACUUAGGAGGGAGGAUUAAAUCAGGCACCAAGCUCAGAUCUUUAGCAUCCAUUCCUCGGUGGUAAUCAGCACUUUCCAUGGCCUUAAACUUUUCCUCCAGCCAUUUACAUCGGUCUUCCAAUUGCUUUGAUAGAUCCACUUUCGUAUUUUCCACUUCUGCCACGUCAUCGAGGUCAGGGACUAUGAGAUUGGUGGGAUUCUCUCCGGAAUUGUUACUUAUUCCGAUUGGAGGACUCGUUUGGAAUUGUUGGGGUCUAAUUGUAACAGAGGGUCUUUGUUGAUACAUUUCAGCUUGAGUAUGCGCGUGCAGAGGGGUAAAGCCUGGAGGGUAAAGGGGUUCAUCACUAUUUCCAUCUUCAACAUUAACAAUAGGGUCCUUUCCCUUGUCUUUUCCUCCUUUCAACAGUUGCGUUAACUUUGCCAUCAUGUCGUCUUGGGAUUCUCGCAUCUCUCGCUGAAUCUUUUCCAACCGCUCUUCUAUCUGAUCUUGCAUAUCUCUUUGGAGCUGCUCAAGUUUUUCUAGUCUUUGAUCCAUGUUUCUUGACUUCGCUCGAGUUCCGUAAGAGUGACGGUUUUCCAGGUUAACUGAAAUAAUUUUAUUUAGUUAGGGUCUUUUAAUGGUCAUUAAUGCAUAUAAUGCAAUGCAUGAAAUGAAUGCAAAAGGCGUUAAUUCUAGUUCAAUUUCAUUAUGAAAACUUUACUAGAAAAUAAACUUUUUUACAUAAGGUGGAUUACAUAUACGACUUAGCCCUAAAACUCAAAAUUCUAAUCCUCCUAAGCAACGAGUCUAGCUCCUGUCCUCGACUCGACUCUAAUUCGUACUUCACGCUUAACACAUCAGCUUGUACUGCUAACGUCUGCAAGUGAUCAGCCACCUCUCGGAUUUGAAGCACGGCUUCUCCCAUGAUUUGAUCUCUAUCUCUUACUUGGUUCUGAAAGUAGUGCAACUGCUCGGUUUGACGAUCUUCAUUAGAUCUCAUGUGCUCAAUCCGCAUCUCGCAACUUCCCAAUGCUGCUUCUAACUCUUCAAUUCUUCGUUUCAUCUCUUCAAUUCUACUUAGGCUUACUUUUAAUUCCAUCACAGAAUUUCGAUUUCGAUGCCGAUAGAGAGAUUCUUCUAACUCGGACACUCUAUUUUCUAGUUCCCCUUUUUCUUUCUGAUUCUCUGACAGACUCUUCUUUAAAGUCUCGUUCUGGGUUUGAACUUCUUGAAACCUUGUUUCCCAUCUAUCAGCUUUGUUCUUUUCUUCUUGAACUUCCUUGCGCCAUUGUUCAGAAGUCUUUCCCAACCCGGCGGUUCUCAUUGAUGAUCGCAACUUCUUGUAAUCUGUUUUCAGACUGUUCAGAUCUUCUUCAGCCCUAGCUUUUCCUUUUCUUAAUCGCUCCAUCUCGAGCUUCUGGACAUCUACAUCCAACCUUAAGUUUGUUUUUUCUUCCUCCAUUUGCUCUAUCUGUUUUUCCAACUCUGCAUUUCUUCUUUCAAAAUCUUGCUUCAAAAUUUCUAGUUCAGAAAGGAUGACCCGUAAGUGCUCCUCUAUCGAAUGACUGCCUUCGAGGCUUGAUUUGGGGACAUUGUCAUUGAUUCUUCUGACCCUCCAUUCUUUAUAUUCGGGGGUUGUCAUUGGUCCUACAGCUAAUCGCUUCAUUUGGCGAGUCUGAUUCCACGCAUUGGAUAUCUCUCGAAUCCUCUUUUUGUAGCCAUCACCCCCAUACGAGAAUUCACACUCGGCCAGCCCCUGGGUUGCGGGUAUAAACUGUCUUGAUCUGUACUGUCUGAGCACUAAUAACGGGGCAUAGCCAAUAGCUCCCCAGAUUCCAAGCAAAGGGACCCAAUCAAAACUACCACAUCGGUACAAAAUUUCGUCUGGAAGUAACCACGGAGCUCUCCAUUCAAUGUCUUCUUCAUGCAAGUUUUGAAGAAUUGCCAUCCAUUUUUCCAUUGAAAUGUCGUCCCUUCUCGGUGUAGCUAUCGUCUCCUUUAGCGGCGAAUAGUUUUCAGAGAAGACCCGAUAUGACACCUUAUCCACUUUCCAAAAAUGACUGUGGAACCACGCAAGUAGCAACUGUGCACAUCCAAUGAACCUGCCUUCGCCCGCUCGCCGACAGGUACUCAAUGAUCUGAAUGUCUCCGCUAAAAUUGCUGGAAUCAGGGUAACUCCUUUAUCAAGGCGGUCGAACAAAUCAGUAACCGCCUCAUCAAUAUGCCCCAAAGCUCUAGGAAAGAUAACUAAGCCAUAUAUGCUUAGGGCGAAGAUAUCUACCCUAUUUUUUAUAUCCGGGUGCACCAAAGCCACAUCUUUCAAACUCCUCCAAGAAAUGCACUUGUUAUCCCCUUUUUGUUUAAUUCGGGCCGUAACCCACUGCUCACUCAUGCCUGUUAUGUUCAUUAACCUUCUCAAAAAGGGUACAUUUGCGGCUCUUGAGUAGAUUCUGUCGACUUGACUCUUUGAACACCGAAGUAAAGCCAUAUAUUCUUCUAUCGUAGGCACCAAGUCAACUUUCCCGAACGAAAAACAACUAUAGGCGGGAUUCCAAAAUUGUGCGAGAGCCCGGAAUAGGUGCUUAUCUACCUUCAUAUCUAGCAGGUACGGCAAGUCCCCGUAAUGGGAAUAAAACAACUGUCUGGCCUCCUCGUCCCAAUGGUCCCAAAUUCCUUUCAACUCUUGUAAAUCGUUCUGGGUUAUGCUAAUGCGGGUAAAGUCCCAUAGCUCUGAUAUAUAUCCUUCAGCCAAACUAUCCCCUUUCUCUUGUUGUGUCGUUUCCGACCAAAUUCGGACUGCCGCAUUAUCUUCCACCUUAUCAAGAAACCUUCUUUCCAUGAUAAGCUUUCUUUCUAGAAACCGAAUAUGAACCAACGCCUUGAAAUAAUGAAAUGCCAUGCAGUUGAAAUGUCAUGCAUCCAAAGUAAAACAACAAAUAUCAGUACCAGAUAUAAACAUAUAAUCCAAGAUAAUUCAAAAAGAAUAAAAGCACAUCAGGGUAUUUACUAGGGUUUGGUGUAGUUCUACUUAAGGUGAGUUCCUAAGGUUUACUACAUGGGGUUUGGUUCUAAAGCAAAGGUACCCGAACCAGCAGAUUCCUCGAUCUUCACCCAUUAUAGUCUCAUAUAGACCGAGUUCGGUUUAGGGGAAUACAUUUCCCUAUGGCUGCACGGAGAUGAAAAUCUCACGAAGACAUAGGUACGGAUGUAUCCCGAAAGCGAUCCACUAUCCUGCACGGAGGUGAAAACCUCACGAAGGAGUAGCUUCUCACUCCCACUUAAAAGGUGUGACCAACGGUCAUGCAAUGCAAUGCAAAGAUAUAAAAGUUUAAAAUACGAAACAUGAUGAAAACUAUAGCUCAAAACAAAUGAAAUGCAAUGAGAAGAUCGUAUAUUUAAAUCAAAUUUUCAACUUUCGACAAAAAGACAAAAAAUAAUCAACUCGUGGCUUGACUCACUUAUUUUGAAAAAGUCCCCAGUGGAGUCGCCAAGCUGUUGACACCAUUUUUUGGAUGAAAACGGGGUCGACUUGGAUUUUGGAAAAAAAAGAAUAAAAACGGGAGUCGCCACCAAUCCUUUUUUGAUGAGGUGUGAUUGGGUCACCUCAAAAGGUGGUUGUUUUUAAUAAAUGAUUUAAUUUUAUUAAAACAACGAUUUUGGUCUACGAAAUUCAGAAAAAUGAGUUCGGGAGUCGGUUACGCACGAGGAAGGAUUAGCACCCUCGAUACGCCCAAAAUUGGUACCUAGUUGAUUAAUUAGUGUCUUAGUGUCGAAAAUUUGAAAACUUGAAAGAAUUUAAAAUACGAUCCCUCUUUGUAAAGAAAAUGCUCAAAUGUUAAGGACCUUCUCGUCUCACAAUAUAAAAUGUCACAUCCAGUAAGUUAGGACACGACAUCUUGAAUUUUCGAGAACGAGCUUGCCUUUUAUAUAAAAAUUCGUGUAUUUCAAAAGGUUAUUCAGUUAGUUAAGGUGAACGAGGAAAAUCGAAACCCAGUAAGUUAGGGCACGUUUCCUCGAAUUCCCAAACACCGAAUAUUGCCUUUACUUGCAAAAAUCUUAUUUCGAGGUAACGAAAUGCCAUACCCAGUAAGUUAGGGAACAACACCUCGUAUCUCCGAGAAUAAGCAUUUUUCAAAACUCAUGUCACGAUUUAAAAGAGUAUUCCGUUAUUUAGGUUAAAGGAGAAAAAUCGAAACCCAAUAAGUUAGGGCACGAUUGUCUCGAAUUACCAAAUACGGAAUAUUACUUUUAUGAAAGAAUUAUUAUUGGGUUGGAUAUAAUGAUAAUAAGAAUAAUAUUAAAGUAAAGUAAACAAUAAUACUAUAUAUAAAUGUAUAUAUAUAUAUGUAUAUAAUAGAAAUACACACUACUAUAUAAUAAUAAUAAAUAUAGAAAUACAAAAAGCAAAUAUAAUAAAAAUAUUAAAUUAAAGUAAUAAAAAAUAAUACUAUAUAUAAAAUAUAUAUAUACAUAAAAAUAUACACUAAUAUAUAAUAGUAAUAGUGAUAGCAAAAAUAAUAAAAAUAUAAGUAAUAUUAAUAAUAUAUUAGAAUACAAAAGUAAAGUAAUAACAAUAGGGGUGAUAAUAAUAAUAAUACAAACAAUAAUACAUAUAUAUAAUAAUAGUAGUUAGAAAUAAAAAAUAAUAAAAGUAACAAUAAUGAUAGUAAUAAUAUAAAUAAAUAUGGAGAGGGCAUAUAUAAUAUAAUAAUAUAAAAAAAAUAAUAUAUACAUGAGAAAUAAUAAUAAUAAUAUAAAUAAUAGUAAAAAUAAUAAAAUAAUAAAACAAAGCUCUCAACUCUCUUUCUCCCUCUUUUCUAAAUCCGGCCGUUGGUCCGGCUUUGCUUCGGUCAUGGACCCCCACGGGCCGCCAUCGGCGCCACCGUACACGGCGGCCGGACCUCAAAAAAACCUUUUUCGAUAAUGAAAAUAUAGGUAAGCUUCUUACUUUUAUUUUUACUUUCGUAUAAAAAAACAAAAUAAAAUUGAAAGGAAAACAAUAAACAAACAAAGAACUAAAGAUAAGAAUAGACAAAAGAAACCUCUUUUGCUUUGAUCUUUGAUUAAUCUCCAAAAACUAGCCUUUCCAAGAAACAAAAAUAACCUUUUUUACAAAAAAACACCUCCAAAAAACAAAAAAAAACCUCCUCCAAAACAAAGAAUAAUCCUUCUCCAAAAAACCAAAAACCCACCCCUAAAAACAAAGUCUUGAAUGGCUUUUAUAGCCAAAUUUUACAAGUGGAGUGGUUGGGGUGGUUUAGGUGGCCAAGGGUGGUGGAGUUGGUGGCUAAGGUGGGUGGCCAACAAAGGUGGUGGAGUAGGUGGCCAAGGUUUUUAUUUAUUUAUUUAUUUAUUUUUUGUGUUUGGGUUGGGAUUAGGUUGGGCCAAAUUGGGUUUGGUUAGGGUUGGUUUAAGUUGGGCCAAAAUUGGGCCUUUACACCUGGCCCGGCCCAUUUUUUUAAUAAAUACCAUAAAUUUAUUUUAAAAAUAAUAAAAAAGUAUUUUAAAAAUAUUUUAAAAUUAAAAAAUAAAUAUAUUUAUUAUAUCGGGCCAAGCCGGGCAGGACCCGGGCCAAAAAAGUGGUGCCCGAGGCCCGGCCCGUUUUUUAAACGGGCCUCGUUUUUUUAUCCAAGCCCAUAUUUCGAGCCUAUAUUUUUACCCAAACCCUCCCAUAUUUCGGGCGGGCCGGCCCGGCCCAUGAGCACCUCUAGGAAGAUUGAAGGACUUGGGUUUUUUUCUUUGCUUUUUGUUUAAAAGUUUUUUGUUUUUUAGGUUUUUCAUUUUAGUGCUUUAAGUUUUCUCAGCCUUUUUAGGGAUACCCGAGGCACCACCCAUUAGCAGCAAUAGGCUUCUGCCAGCUAGCUAGUGGGCUGAAACAUUGCAGGGUUUAGGAUUGUGUUCCAUCCUUUAAUCUUCAAUUUUAAUGAUUUUACUUCAAGUUUUUUUUAAGUAAAUCCCUUCCCAUAUAUAUAUUAUGCAUAUAUUAAAGUUAGUUUCUAAAGGGAAAGAGUUAAUAUUCCAUUUGGUAUGUAGGGUUUUUUUUUAAAAUUUAAUAUAUGAGUUUUACUUCAAUUUGGUAUCCAUACCAAACAAAUGUGCUUAAUGAAUACUUGGCACGUAUGUUCUAGUAAAAAAAUAUAAUUACCCACAAAACGAUCUGAUAAAAUUGUCACCCUGAAUUACCUGACAACGAUGACUCAAGUAUGAAAUUACCACCCAGAUUUCCGAGCAACGAUGGUUUCCAAAUAAUAACCUGACCCUAUGUACGCCAACUAACUCGGUCCGACAAAUAAUAGGGUAACCAAAUUUCAAUUUCAAUAUACAACCUGAUUCAUGUUUAUUCAUUUUGAUUUUCAUCAUCAGUUUACCAAUUCAAUACAUAACUUAUAUAUAUAUCAACCGAAUUUCACAUAUCAAGUAAGUCAUAAAAUUUUCUAUUCUAUUCAAUUUAGUCCUUGCUUCGAUAUUCAAUUCAAAUCAUAUCAAUUUAGCUCAAAAAAUUAUCAAUAACUAACCUCCAAUUCCAUAUAAUGUAGAAUGAUAUAAAUAUGCAACAACUAAAUGGUUCCCAAAUCAUAGAAUUACAAACCAAAAAUUUUGAUCUAAUUAAUAGCUUUGGAUUUUCCUUUUCCUCUCGAUGAAUCUAGGUCGACGUUAGUUAUGGAUUAACAUAAACACAUAACACUAUCAAUAAACAACCAAUUCACAAUCAAUUGUCAAUUUAUACAAAAAUUUCAAUUUAUUCAAUUUAGUCCCUAAAACUGAGACUAACAUAACUUUCAAUUUAAAACUCCAAAUUAAAAUUUGAUUUCACUAUGGUCCAUUAGAGACCUCCUAUUUCUUAUUUAUAUAAUCAAUUUUACAUUUAAUUCAGUUUAGUCCUUAUAAUCUUGUGUUUGCGAGUAAUUUUAGGGUUGCUUUUGUCGUUGUGCCCUCUAGUUUGGUGGAUGCUCAGUUCUUUUGUCGAUUUAUGCUCACUGUUUUGGACCAUCCGGGGUUGAUUUCCUUAUUGUAUUAAGUGCUUGCAAUCACUCCUUAUGUUGUGCUUAAGUUGUGACAGAGUCGAUUGUCAACGUGCCAUAAUGUUCUAUUGAUGUUGAAGCUAAAGCUUUUGUUAUGUUGAUGGAGCUUGUACUUUAGCGCGUUCAAUGGGUGUUUGUUACUUUUUUCCCCUGAAUUGUAUGGUCUUAUUUAUUGAAUGAAUUAAUAAAUUUCUCUUUAAAAAAAGAAAUAAUUUAUAAUAAAUAAUUAAAUGUAUUAUUUAAAACUAUUUAAUAAUAGCGCAUUAAAUAUGUAUGCUAUUAAAAUGAAAAAAAAAACAAAUUAAAUUGUUUAUCAUAAUAUUGACACUUUUCAUCAAUCUUGAGUCAAUAUCGAGUUAACUUGUGACACCAACUCAGCUAAAUAUAUUAUUAAUAUAUACAAUGAUGGGGCUAAUAAAGUGUGCACAAAAAAAUUAAAAUGUAUAAAAAUAUCAAAAUAAAACUUUAGUUGAGUAGUAAAUAUAAAUUUUAUUAAUGCAAUUAGCAAGAGUUCGAAUCUCACCAUAUACAUAUUUUAUUGGCUUUUUUUAAGUUAAAAGAUUAGAAUAUCCUUGAAUAAUAUUGUUUAGUUUAAUUACAAAAUGACAUUUUCUUAACUUUUUAAUCGAGUUGGUAACCCGAUUAAAGGUGACAUUAACUCAAUCAAGAACUUAGAUAAAUAUUAAUAUAAAAUAUAAGUUUUUGCUAUAAAAUAAAAGGACAGAAAGUAAAGAACAAAGAAAAUGAGAAAGCAAAGAGAGAGCGUAUUUUAUUGAUCAAUUGAAAUAUUUACAAAGUUUCUCCAAAAUUUCUAUUUAUAGACAUAAGAAGUAUAAAUGAAGUAUAGACCUACUUCUAAUGGCUAUAAGAAUUUAAAGUACAUCAAAAAUUAUCUUGAUCUUGAUGGACAUCCACUUAAUAAGAUAUUCAUAACACCCCCUUGGAUGUCCAUUGGUAGAUAAUGUGCCUCGUUAAAACUUUACUAAGAUAAAGAUCUUGUGGGAAAAAAUCCUAGUGAAGGAAAAAAGUAAACAUAUCUAAAUGCGUAUAUUAUGCUGCACCAUUAAAAACUUUACCAGAAAAACCCAAUGGGAUAAAACCUCGGUUAAGGGAAAAAUAGUACAAUGCAUAGUUACUCCCCUUCAUAAAAACAUCAUAUACUUUCUCAUAUUCUAUUGAAUUGAAUACUAGUUUUCAAAUGACUAUAUUAAUGAAUUUGCUAAGCAUUUAUAUCACCGUUCUUUUGGAAGUCAUGAGUGGGGAAAUUUUAGGGGAAAUAUAUUUUGAUCUCUUGAAGAGUCUCAACAAUUUUCAUAACAAACUUUAAUCAUAAUUCCUCUAUAAAAACACAAAUAGGUAUUUUGGAUCAUUUUAUAAUCCUCCUUCAACUACUAUUCGCUGAGUCAAAUUUACCACAUAUGUUCCAAUUAUUUCAAUUCAUAUAAAUGAACAAUUUCCCGACAAUUUCGAUAUGCUUCUAUCAUCCUAAAUCCUUCAAGGAUUUGAAUAUAAAUUUUACUAUAUAGUGGUUCAUAAAAAGGUUGUAACAACAACCAUUAGACAUAAGUUAAAUCUUCUAUGAAUUGUCAAAAUAAUAUAUCUAAAAAUUAUUGCAUCCACCACAAAAAAAAUAUUAUUUCUUUUCAUAAUAAAUGCCAGGACUUAGCAAAAAACUUCAUAUUAUAAUUUUGCUUUUGCAAAACUACUUCAUUUGCACCCUCACUGGCUUUAUACCUUGAGAUAUUUGGACUACUGGUCCAAAAACUCCACAAAUUUAAUUGUACUUGAAUUGCAUCUUUCUAUUUUGAUUAAUUUAUUCUAUAUCUAUAUUUCUCAAUAGAUUUAUUAAAGAUCCUCCUUUUGUUUCAUUAUAUCAAUAAUAACAUUGCAUGCAAAAUUAUUGUCAACCACUUUUAUUAUUUGGUUUCACAUUUUCUCGAAUUGGCAUAACUUAUUAAGAUCUAUUAUUUUAAUCUUCAAUUUCAGGUACCUGAAUCUCUUCUGGAGUUUUACUUAUUAGUUAUGUCUUGGGUCUCUUUUGGAGCACUUGUCUCCACUAUUUGACCAUCUAGAAGAAUUUUCAUCUUUGGAAUCGAUCAAUCUAUUAUUUAUUCUAACUGAUUGUCCUGCCGGGACUUUGAUUCAAAUUAAAAUAUUAGAUGUUAUAUAAUAUUUGGUUAUUCUUAUUAAGUUUUUAAAUACAUCUGACAGUUAACUUGUAAUGAGUUUUCCUCGUUGAGCUACUAGUUCAAAUUACGUUCCCCCUAACUCAUUACAAGUUGUUAUUUCUCUCCCCCUCAUGUUGGGAAAACUAUCGAAUCAAAAUAGUAAUCACAAAUCAUGUCAUAAUUGAAUCUCCAAUACAUACAAAGAGACUUGUAAUUAAUAUAUAUUCCCAACUCUAUUUGAGGAUUGACUCAUCUUUUUGCGUUGUGUCGGAGUAAUUGGAAUAUAUACACACAUACAAAAAUUCAAAGAUGAGAAAUAUUUAGCUCUUAAUAAAAAACUUAUCAUAAUGGGAAGUAUUUAUAACUUAUUGGUUUGAUGCGUACAACACGUAAAUCAACAUAAUCUCAUGUUGAAAUAGGAAGUUUAGUUUUCAUAAGUAAUGGUUUAGGCAUUAAUCAGAGGCAUUUAAAAAAUAAUUUCUCUAAACUAUUAUGUGCAUAAAUAACAAACUUUUACAAAAGUUUUUCAAACUUCAUCAAUAAAAUACUAAGAUAUAAAUUCAUCAGUAUUAGCAAGAUGAAUUAUCUUAAUUGCAUGAUCUGGAAUUAAUUAUUUAAAUAAACAAUCUUGCAAACGAUAGGUUGCAAGUUGAUAACACAUACGUGAUUAUUUUGUAGAUGCAUCUACCAAAAUCAUAUAAUAUCAAAAUCAUUCACAUAAUGGAUGAAUGGGCCCAUAUUCAUUUCAAAAAUGUAAGACAUUAAAUCUCAACUUUAGCUAGUGAGUUUCUAACAAUCAAUUUUCAUUGAGAACAAGCAUCAAAUGAGAAUUCUUUAAAUUAAAGAAUAUUAUGGUUCUUUAAUAAUAUCAUAUGAAUUCUCAAUUAAUUUUCACAUCAUAUUUGAUCUAGGAUGGUUUAACUAGUCACGCCAAGUAGUACUUGCAUUUGUAUUAGUAAACUUUUAGUUUACUUUAACAUACGUUUCAAUUGUACUAAAUUGUAACAAAUUGAUAAUUUUACUAUCAUUCAUUUUACUUUGUAUCUACAUAUAGGUACUAUCGUGACAUUUACUACUGUAAAUGUCUAAAUCAAUGUGAAGUCUAUAAUGUCACUAAGUCAAUAAAUAUAAUUUUCAAAUAAUUAUAUGCAAUAUUUGCUUCAGUGAAUAUGCCAAAAUCUUGAAAUGAAGGGCAUUUGGUCUAGUGGUAUGAUUCUCGCUUCAAAUGCUAAAAUUCUUGAGUUUGAUUCAAAAUACUUUUAAAACCCUUUUAACAAAAUUUUUGCAUAAUCAGUUAACUACCAAAAAUAACUACCCAGGUCAUGUAUAAAAACAAGUCUAUACUAAAUAUAUCAAUAAACAUCACAUCUCAAGCAUAAAAAUAUGACAUAAUGAAAAACUAGCAAUUUUUUUCAUAAUCAUCAUCAUAAACAUGCAUGGAAUUUAAAUCAAAAUCCAACCAUUCAAGCUCAUAGAACUUUUCAUUUACAAUUGCUCAUGUUAUUUCCCUAAAUAAUUAGCAAAUGAAAUAAUAUAAAACGUAUGAACUACUACCUUUAACAAUUCUUUGAACUAAACCAAAUCUGAAUAACCAUAAAAUUCAUUGGUUUGUUAACAUAAAUUUGCAUACUAGAUAUGUUUUAAUCAAAUAUAUUAUUUAAUUAUAAAACCUACUAUAACGAUAUAAAUAAAUCAAUUAAUUUUCAUUUUCAUAAACAAAUGAGAUGCUUAAAACAAUAUGUAACACAUUUAAUCAAAACUUAAAAAGAAUUACAGUUAUUAUUGUUUGUCCCCAUCCUCGUUGUUUGGUUUCCAAGUUGUGACCCAAAGUCGAGAUUGAUUUGGUUGUUUGGUUUCUAAGUUGUGACCCAAAAUCAAGAUUGCUUUUGAAUUUUUGGUCUGUCUCCAUUGUAAAGCACAUCAAACAAAGAUACAAAUUGAUACAACUAUUCUCAAGUUCAAAUAAAGCAUUAUCUUGUUAGGUAGAGUGAAUAAAAUCACUAAGUUAUUUUUUAUGUCAAUUAAAUUUAUGGUUUUUUUCAAUUAGUUGGAUUGAUUAAAUAUUAAUAAUUUAUAAACACAUUCAUUUAAAUUAAUUUUACACUGUAAUAAAAAGUAAGAUGUUGUUUAAUAAAUCAAAAAAAAUUAAGUGAAAAAUAAAAAAAGGUGUUAUUUAAUAAUUCAUAAAUUGUACGAGAGUGAAGUGUUAGAUAUUUUUGGAUAUGUUUAAUGUGCUUGGGUUAGGAUAGAAAUUUCAAAAUCCGAGAAAAUAUAAAUAGUCAAACAUAUAAAUCAAAUCCAACUAAAAAUGCUAGAAAUUUGAUUUAUCAUACUCCUAUUAGAAAAAGAUAGAAAUGACGUGAAAUCACAAUUUCAUACAACCCUUUCUCCUCACAGUGAUUAUUGUUUGUCCCCAUCCUCAUUGUUUAAUUUCCAAGUUGUGACCCAAAAUCAAGAUUGACUUUGAAUUUUUGGCCUUCUGUCUCCAUUGUAAAGCACAUCAAACAAAGAUACAAAUUAAUACAACUAUUCUCAAGUUCAAAUAAAGUAAUAUCUUAUUAGGUAGAGUGAAUAAAACCACUAAGUUAUUUUUUAAGUCAAUUAGAUUUAUGAUUUUUUAUUCAAUUAGUUGGAUUGAUUAAUUUGAUAAAAAAUAAAUAUAAUUUUAAUUUUAAAUAAGUAUUAAAAAUAUUAAUAAUUUAUAAACACAUUCAUUUAAAUUAAUUUUACACUGUAAUAAAAAGUAAGAUGUUGUUUAAUAAAUCAAAAAAAUUAAGUGAAAAAUUAAAAAAAAUGUUUAAUAAUUAAUAAAUUGUACGAGAGUGAAGCGUUAGAUUUUUUUGGAUAUGCUAAUAAUUAAAAAUAUUGUACGAUGCUUGAAAGUUAUCUGAUACACAUUGUACCAAAUUUCAAUACCACAUAUAUGUUAUAAAAUCUUAUGAUGCUCUAAUCAACUAUUUAUAAAUUCAAUUUAAAAGAUAUUAUACAAUAAUUUCAAGCAUAUUUAAUAACAAUAAUUUAAUCAUAAAAACUUUUAAUCAUCCAAAUAUCAUACAUACUAUAAUUUAAUAAAAGAAUCUUAGUUUAAAAGAAACUAUAAAUUAAUAAUAUUUUUUUACCAAAAAUCAAUCAACAAAGGAGAAAAACAUACCACUUAAGGAUUAUAUAAUUUUUUCUGUAUAAUAAUUACCCAUAAUGUGCAGGCCCCAAUUGAAGACUGAAAUAACAGUAGCUCUAGAAGGCAAUUGGCAACAGCUUGAGUAGCAAAUUUGAGUGACCGACUAUUGCAUUGGUUGUUGCUUGAAAGGGGUAAGGCUUUGUGAAAGGGAAAAAAAAUUGUGACUUAUGGAGAAAAACAAUUAAAAGAAAACUGUGCUAAUAAGGUGUUAUAAAAUAAAAGGACAGAAAGUAAAUAACAAAUAAAAUGAGAAAGCAAAGAGAGCAUAUUUUAUUGAUCAAUCGAAAUAUUUACAAAGUUUCUUUAAAGUCUCUAUUUAUAGGCAUAAGAAGUAUAAAUAAAGUAGAGAUCCACUUCUAAUGACUAUAAGAAUUUAAAGUACAUCAAAACUUAUCUUAAUCUUAAUGGACAUCCACUUAAUAAGAUAUUCAUAACAAAUUUAUUAUUUUAUUAUUUUAUAAACAAUAAUAUAAGCUUUUUGGACAAAUUGAGUCGAGUUUAAACUUAACCUAAAUUUUUAAAAAAAAAGAGUCUAGGCCCAAUUUAGCUCAUGAAUAUCUUUAAUGGUUAAUUAAUUAUUUAUUUUAAUGAGUUUAUCUAAAUGUAUUUUAGUUUAUUAAUUUGAGUUUAGUGAUUCAAUGUAAUUUUUUUUAUAACUUUUAAUACAACUAUAAGAUGUAACUUAAAAAAAAUAUUUAUAAUUAUAAAUAUAAUUAUCAUCAAUUAGUUACUAAUAUGUUAUUUUGUUGUUCAUUAUUUACCAUUAAUUUUUUCAUAAUUUAAUAGUGUUUUCUAUUUAAAUAUUUUUAAAAAAUAUUUAUUAUAAUAUGCUUUUUGGAAAGUUAUCUUAUAGAAUAUGUUUUUUUUACCUCAACACCUAUAGAUCGAGUUUAGUGAUGUUUAUUGUACCACCAAGUUUUUGUGUCAUUGAAAUUAGAAUAAUUAUUUUGAAAUUAUUACAACACAUUAACACCCAGAAUCUUAAACCGUAAUAAUAUGAUUUAAUUUUCUAAUAGCUUUGGAUAAUAUUUAAACAAAACUCGGACAUUUAUGGAUGUUGAAUUUUUUUGUAAAAUUAAAAAAAACAUAUAUAGUAAUUCGUAACCAUUAAUUAAAUUUUUUGUAAAAUUAAAAAAAACAUAUAUAGUAAUUCGUAACCAUUAAUUAAAAAGGAGACACAAAAAUUAAUUGAUCUCGCUGCCCACGAGAAUAUUUAAAAAAAUACUAAUAAAACUCUAAUUUUUAUAGGUUUUAAAAUGAUUUUAAUUUUCAUAAAAAAUAUAUAAUUUAAUUAUGACUUUUCAAAAAACAAAUUCUUACAUCACCCUCAUUCCAACUAAAAAAAUUACCCGAAUAUAAAAAAACAAAAAAGGAUAAUCAAAGGAGGAAAGUUGUAUAAAAUGUAUGUGGUAGCGGGGAAGAUAAUGGUGGUGACGUUGAGGGAUUAUAUAUUUAUAAUUUUAAUUUAUGUUUUACUAUUUAAUUUUUUAUUUUACAUUUCGUUAAUUAAAUGAAUUAAAUAAGAUCAUUUUUUCUAUUAAUUUUCAGUUUUUUUUUAAAUUCAAAUCUAAUUAAAAAUACUAAAAAUCUGAUUUAUCAUCCUCCUAUUAAAAAUAAAUAGUGAUGAUGUGAAAUCACAAUUUCAUACCAUCUUUUUUCCUUACAGUUAUUGUUGUUUGUCCCCAUCCUCGUUGUUUGGUUUCCAAGUUGUGACCCAAAGUCAAGAUUGAUUUGGUUGUUUGGUUUUCAAGUUGUGACCCAAAGUCAAGAUUGAUUUUAAAAUUUUGGUUUGUCUCCAUUGUAAAGCACAUCAAACAAAGAUAGAAAUUGAUACAACUAUUCUCAAGUUAAAAUAAAGCAUUAUCUUGUUAGGUAGAGUGAAUAAAAUCACUAAGUUAUUCGGUUAACUGAAUUAACCGAAAAUUAUAUGUUUUUUUAUUUUUGGUUAAAAAUUAAUCGAAUUAACCGAAUUAACCGAAUUACCCAAAUUAACCAAAUUAUCCGAAUUAUCCGAAUUAUCCGAAUUAAUCGAAUUAACCGAAUUGAAUCACUACAUAAUUAAAUUAUUUUUAGACUUUUAGACUUUAGUUUUAAUUUUAGUUUUAGAAUUUUAUUUUUAUUUAUUAAAUUAUUUGUAAUUUUUAUGAUUGGGUUGGGUUGGGUAAUUGUGUUGGGUUGAAUACUUGGGUUUGGAUUGGGUUUAGGUGAAUAGUGGGCCUAUUUAUAUAUUAUAAUUUUAUUUAUUAAUUUUUUCGGUUAAACCGAAAAAAUUUGGUUAACCGACUAGUUUUGAACCAAAUUAACCGUUAACCGAAAAAUCAAAAAAUAAUUAAUCGACCCCUGACCAAAAAAAUUCGGUUAACCGAUCGAUUAACCGAAUUCGAUCAGUUAACCGAAUUUUUUUGGUUUUAUCCAAAUUUUGCACACCCUUAGGUUAAUGUACUUGUGUUGUUGUUUCGACACCAUAAUCAAUUCAGUUUUGCUUCAUCCAUAAUAAUUGUGCACAACUCUCAAGUACAAAACUUAAACCGUGGAUUAUGAGAUAGAAUUUUAUCUUUGUUUUUUGUGGGCAAAUAACCAAUAAAAGCCCCUUUAUUUUUAAAUUUAUCGAAAUGGGCUAGGUUCUGAAUUAAUUACCGAAAUGGACCAUUUCUCCCAAAAACGCGUCCAUGUCAGCGCGUUGUCAGGGGAUCAAGCAAGAAAACGCUUCCUCAAGGAAAAAAAUUAGAUUUAGGGUUUUUGCAAUUAGAUUUAGGGUUUUACGGUUUUUGAGUUUUUAGAUUUUAGGGUUUUAAGGAAAAAAUUAAAUAAAUAAGGGUUUAGGGUUUCUUAAUUAAAUUAAUUAUAAAUUUAAAAAAAAUUAGAUUAGGGUUUAGUGUUUAUGGUUUUUAAGGAAAAAUUAAAUAAAUUAGGGUUUAGGGUUACUUGAGUAAAUUAAUUAUAAAUUUUAAAAAAAUUAGAUUAUGGUUUAGUGUUUAGGGUUUUUAAGGAAAAAAUCAAAUAAAUUAGGGUUUAGGAUUACUUGAGUAAAUUAAUUAUAAAUUUAAAAAAUUAGAUUGGGGUUUAGUAUUUAGGGUUUUUAAGGAAAAAUCAAAUAAAACUAGUUGUUAUUCGUUAUAUAUUUUAAACUCUGGCCCAUUUCGGAACCUGACCCAUUUCGGUAAUUUUAAAAAUAAAGGGGCUUUUAUUGGUUAUUUGCCCAAAAAAUAAACUAAUAAAAUUAAAUGUUUUUAGUAAAAAUUAAAUUUAUUAAAAGAAUUUUUUAAUAAUAAAUUAAAAAUAAAAUAUAUAAUGAAUUUUUGUAUUUUCAAAUUUUAAAAUAAAAAAGAGUUUUUUUUAUAAAAACAUAAAAAGAGUUAAAAGUUUAUAUAUAUAUUAAAUUUAUCUUUUGCUGUAAUUUUAAAUUUAUAAUAAAUUAAAAAUAUUAAUAUAAUAUAAUAUGCAAAAAAAUACUUGAAAUUUAAUAUAAUACAAUCAUAUUAAUAAUAGAAUAUUUUAGGGAUAAUAAUUCCUUAAUUAAGGUCUUAAGAUCAUGGGUAAAUAUUUUAUUGAUUGUUAGUGAAUGAUUUACAAAAAAGUAUUAUUAAUUUUAUUUAAUGGAAUUUAACAUAAAUUUUAAUAUUUUAAUAUUUAAUAUAUAUAUUAAAUUGUAGAAGUUUAAAUUUAAAAUUCGAGAAAAAAUAUAAUAAUUGUAAUUAAUAUUUAACUAUAUUUAAACAAAGUUAGACUUAAUAAAUAAUUUUUAAAUAAUUUUUAAUUUUUUUAAAAUUUAUAAUUAAUUUAAUUAAGAAACCCUAAACCUUAAAAUCUUAUUUAUUUAGUUUUUUUCCUUAAAACCCUAAAAUCUAAAAACUCAAAAAUCCCAAAACCCUAACUCUAAUUGCAAAAAACCCUAAAUCCUAAAAAACAAGGAAAGCGCUUCCUUGAGGAAGCGUUUUUUGUCCACGUGGACAAAGCGCUUCCUUGAGGAAGUGUUUUCCUGCUUUAUCCUCUGACAACGCGCUGACGUGGACGAGUUUUUGGGGAAAAUGGUCCAUUUUGGUAAUUAAUUCAGAACCUGGCCCAUUUCGGUAAUUUUAAAAAUAAAGGGGCUUUUAUUGGUUAUUUGCCCAUUUUUUGUAGUGCUAUGAAAUUUAGCUUAAUAGAUAAUAGCAAAUUUGUGGAAAUACAAAAACUUAGCUUAACAUAUUUAAUAACUAGUGAUUGGGUUAGGAUAGAAAUUUCAAAAUUUGAGAAAAUAUAAAUAAUCAAACAUAUAAAUCAAAUCAUGCAUUCUAAGGCAUAAAUAAUAAACAAGUUCUCGAUGAUGUGGUAUUUAAUAUCUAUCAAUUUUGUACGAGAGUAAAGCAAGUAUAAAGACUUAAAAAUGAUUAAAUUAAAGUAAAAAAAUAAUUCUACAACUUGUACCAACGGAAGAUUUUUUGAUUAGGUGAGGGAUACAGUUGGAUCCGUUAUCUAGUGGCUGUCCAUGGUGUGAUAGAGUUAUAGAAAAUGUUAAUCAUUUGUAUUUUCUAUGUCCUUUUAUUAAUAUAUAGUUUUUGGUCUCGCAUUUCUAAUUGGUAGAGUUUUGAUUGGAAGAAUGUGGUGAAUUUUGAAGAAUUCUUUACUUUGUACUGGAACAUGCCCCUGAUAGGUCUGCAAAAAAGCUUUCGAUUAGUGGCGAUUGCGGGAUCUUGUUGGAUAGAAGAUAUCAGAUCUUGUCUUCCUGUAUUGGCAGUGAAGUAGAUCGAAGAUAGCAGAUCUUGUCUUCCUGUAUUGGUAGCAAAGUAGAUCGAAUAUAGCAAAUCUUGUCUUCCUGUAUUGGCAGGGAAGUAGAUCGAAGAUAGCAGAUCUUGUCUUCCUAUAUUGGCAGGGAAGUAGAUCGAAGAUAGCAGAUCUUGUCUUCCUGUAUUGGUAGGGAAGUAGACCGAAGAUAGCAGAUCUUGUCUUCCUGUAUUAGCAGCGAAGUAGAUUGAAGAUAGCAGAUCUUGUCUUCCUGUAUUGGCAGCAAAGUAGAUUGAAGAUUAUAGAUCUUGUCUCCCUAAGCAGUAGUGGAGCAGAUCGAAGAUGAUAAAUAUUAUCUUCCCAAGGUAGUAGGGAACCAGAUUUAAGCCACCAGUCCUAUCUCCUUGAGUAGCGGUGGAGUAGGUUGAAGAUCGUAGAUCCUGUCUCCCUAAGCAGUAGUGGAGCAGAUCGAAGGCAGCAAAUCCUAUCUUCCCAAGGUAGUAGGGAAGCAGAUUUAAGUCACCAAUCCCUUCUCUCUGAGUAGCAGUGGAGUAGGUCGAAGAUUGUAGAUCAUGUAUCCUUAAGCAAUAGUAGAGCAGAUCGAAGGCAGCGAAUCUUAUCUCCUUGGCGUUACAGUAGAACAGAUUAAAGCUCAAGGUAGCGAAUCUUGUUUCCAUAGCAUUGCAGCGGAGCAGAUCAAGACUGAAGAUAACCAACCUUAUCUCCCUGAAGUUACAGUGGAGCCGGUUGAAGAUAUCAAUCUUAUCUCCCUGAAGUUGCAGUGGAGUAGGUUAAACGAAGUGAGCCUUAUCUCCCCGAAGCUACAGUGGGUCAGGAAGAGGCUACUUGAAGAAGAAGCAUACCAAUGUCCAACACAACCGGACAAAAUUGGCCUUCUAAUUUAGUCUUUGCUUCAUUUUCAUUACACGACAAUGAGCAAAGAGGGGCAGCUGUAAUAGGCCAAUUUAGCCCGGGCUCACAAAAAAAAUAAUAAACUCAAAAUAAUAAAACAAAGUCCAAGUCCAGUCCAAAAUUGUAUCAUUUGGCCCGAUCGGAAUGACCCAUUACUUGAAAAAGGAUAUGCAAUCUUAGAUAUAAUAUGCAAUCUUAGAAGAUAAGAUUUUGUAAUCUUAGAUAUUUAAUUUGUAGAUACCAUUUAAAUCUUAGCCGUUGAUGUAAUUGAUCUAUACCGUUGGAUUUAGGGAGGCUCAACUAUAAAUAGAGACCUCUCCCUUCAUUGUAAAACACUGGAGUUGGGAGCAAUAAUAAUUCUUAAGAGCAUUCACUCAAAUUUCUCCUUCUCUUGUGUUCUUAUUUUCUGUGGCCUGUUCUUAUUUUGUUUUUUGUUCAUCUUUGUUUCAUUUUAAGUUGCUUUCAUUUGAGUUGGAUUUUGGUGGAAGAAUUUCGUUGAAUCUUCAUAUUGUGGGAGUAAGGCUGACUUAAGUGUUUUUUUUAACCUUUUUUAUUUAUCCAUUUAAUUGUUUAAUUAUUAAUUAUUCUUUUACUUUUAUUCGUUUAUUUAUCCAUCAACUUUCUUAUUUACAUAUCGUUCAUUCAUUUAACCAUUCUUAUCAUUCUUUUAUUUUUUCCAUUAAUUAUAUACUUUAUUUGUUUUUAAUAUUAUGUCACACAUGUUAUUUAUUUUUUAAAAACUCGUGUUAUAAAUCAUCUAUUUUAAAUUAUUUGAUUAUUUGCUUUAAAUUUUUUUCCAUAUAUUAUCAAUUGCAAUUUAUUUUUUAUACUAUCUAUUUUUUCCAUAUUUUGGCCCUCAGUUUUGUUUUAUUCUCAUUUUUUCCUUUUAAUUCUGUUUUAAAAUCAAUUUAAUCCUCACUAGUUUGAUUUAAUUUGCUUGUGUUUUAUUUAUUUAAGUAUUGAUUAUUAUGAUUUUUAAAAUUUUAAAUAUGAUAUUAUUUGAAUGUUUAUACUUAUUAUUAUUAAAUUAAUCAUUAAUAUUAUCUAAGUGUAUUGUAUAUUAUUAUUUUAGAUUUAUCAUGUUUUGUUAUUUGUAAUUUAUCAAUAUUAUUAUUUUAAAUUCAUUGAUAACAUUACUUUAAAUUUAUCAUGUAUAUCUAUUUCAAAUUUAUCAUUAAUAUUUUUAAAUUUAUUAUAUACUAUUAUUUUGGAUUUAUCACGUAUGAUUAUCCUAGAAUUAUCAUCAAAAUUUUUAAAUUUUACAUGUAUUAUUAUUUCAAAUUUAUUAUAUAUUAUUUAUUGUAAAUUAUCCAAUUCAUUUCAAAUUGUAGAUAUUGUUUGUUUUAAUUCAUGUAUUGUUUUAAACUUCAUCCAUAUACAUACUAUUUAUUUUGGAUUAUACAUAUUACUUAUUUUCUAAAUUAUUUUUAUUAUUUUUCUAUAUAAUGUAUAUUCUAAUUUUUCUUCAUAUUUCAUUUGCUUAAAUAUUUUUGUAUAUUGUGUUUUAUUAGUUGUUUUAAACAAUUUAUUAAAUGAUUUAUUUCAAUUCAUUUCAUGUAUUCAUUUUAUCUUAAUUAAUUGAUUUACAUAAUAGAUUUUUUAGCAUAUUACUUACUUCAUGUUGUUUCAUUUAUGUACCAUUUCUUUGGAAUUAAGUUUGUUUUAUAUAUUAUUUCGAGUUCGAUAAUUAUUAUGUGUGUUUGGGGUUUAUACGCGCAUAUUAUUUAGUAUUCUGCCCAUGUAUAUUAUUCCAUGUUCAUACAUUUACUUUUCAGUUCCGAACAUUACAUCAUGGUUAAUUUGAUUAUUUCAUUUCUUUUCAUUUCGAAUAAAUCAAAUUUAUAUCAUUGUUAAUAUUGCAUUAAACCUUCGCUUUAAUCCAAUUUCGUAAAAAAAGGGAAAAAGAAGUUUGCAAUAUGUCGUCUUUGGAACGAUGAGAAAUCGUGCUCUAACUUACAGGGUUUCGAUCUUUCUCAUCGAACUAAAAUGGCUAAAUAUCUUAGUUGUCAAAUAUACAAAGUUUCAAUAAAGAUUUUUUAGCUUACGCUCGGGAAUUGAAAUGUUGCAUCCUAACUUACGGGAUACGAUAUUUUGUCGUCUCGGGAUGAGAAGGCUUUUUUACAUUCGUUUAAAUUUAUCCAAGUACUAUUUUAAGAUAUGUUAUUAAUAAAGGGGGAUUGUUUUUAAUCUUUUCAACUUUACGACAUUCGACUAUAAGACAUUAAUAAUCAAUUAGGUAGCAAUUUUGGGCGUUACGAGGGUGCUAACCCUUUCACGUGCGUAACCGACUCCCGAACCUAUUUUCUCAAAAUUCGUAGGCCUAAAAUCGUUUUCAAGGUGAUCCAAUCACACCUCAAUAAAAGAUCGGUGGCGACUCCAUUUUUUCGUUUUAAAAGUCGACCCCAUUUUUUCAAAAUAAAAAAUGGUUUCGACAAGUAGUAUUUUGAUUAUGUUUUUAUAGAUGUAAUUUAGUAUUACUUUAUUCUUUAGCCAAAAAAGAUUUUUUUUAUAAUUUAAUUAAAAUUUACUAUUAUGAUUCAAUUUGAUGUAGCUUCUAGAGAUGACAAUAAAGUCGGGUGAGAGCAGAUAUUGCUAAACCUAUUACCACUCCAUCAUUUGCAUGUUGUAUACAUCCAUCUAAUCCCAUCCCAUCCCAUCCCACCCUGCAUUAUCAUAACUGCUUCGUACCUAUUACCCAAAAGAAAAAAUCCACCCCGUUCAGCCCUGCAUCCACUUUUCAAAAAAAAAAUCUAUUUCAAGCGAAGCAAUUCAAAAUGUAUUGGACAAUUUGAGUUGUCAUACCUAAUAACUUUAAUCUGAGUUCAUAAUUGAAUACUGAGUUUAGAUGGUAAUUUGUUUUCCAAACUUUUUGAUGUCGUGUUCUUCGACAUGCCUAUGAACCGUUUCAUCAUUUGCCUCUUAGAAAAUUAAAAAUAAGUUGUUUAUACUAUGUGAUGUAGUUUUAAAACCGUUUCUUUUUUUUUUAUUUAUCCGUUAUUUAUUUGGUGUAGGCGAAAAAUAUUUUAUGGGUUUGUGUUUUUAAAAAAAGAGUCAAAUUUUAUUUUUUAAUCACCAUUAUCAAAUGUGUUUAUUAAUUUAGCGUAAAUAUUUUUCAUAUUUAUCAUUAAAUAUUAUUAUAAUUGUUUCAUGUUACUUUACUUAUUUUUCAUAUUUUUCAACUUAAUAUUAUAAUUUACUAUAGGUAACAAUAAUUAAAAAUACAUUAUUUAAAAUUAAUUAAAAAUUAAAUACGUAAAAUCAUAGGCAUGUGACAUUAGAAAUUACUUUAAAAAUAUAUAUCAAACAAAUUUUAUAAUUUAAAUUAAAUAUUUAAUUUUUUUAACACUUACUCUCUUUUUUUUUUAAUUUAUCAACCAAUUUUUAAGUCUAACCUAAUUCAAACCAAGGAAACUUACUUGGAUUUUAUGUUGGGAAUUAAAUAAAAAAGAGAAAUAUUUUUCACUUCAAACUUAUUCAGUUUAAUUACCAAAACUCCAAAAUAUUUUUUUGAAGACACCCAAAAAAACCCCUCUAUAAAAAAUAAGGAUAAUUUGUGAUAUUUUUCCUCUUAAAUGAUGUUAUUUAUAUUUUUAAUUAUAUUAUUUAUAUUUUAUUUUAUUUAUUAUUGAUUUAGAGAAUAAUUAGAGAUAAAAAAAAGCUUAAAGUUUAUUUUUGACAAGUUUUGCGGGUUGGACUUUCAACAUUUACAAUAUAGUUUCAGUAUUUUGGCAAUAACUUAAGCUACAAAUUUUAGUUUUGGGCUCAUAAUAUAUAGAUUUGAAGAAAAUUGACAUAACUAACUAAAGUUGUCUUGUAGAUGAAGCCCAAAAACAUCAAGAAGACAUCAAAAAAUGUCCUAGAAGUUUGACGGAAAAAUUGCCAAAAUAUCUUGAAAACUUUUGCUUUAUAUAAUUAAUGGCACUUUUGUACUUUCUCUAUUAUAUUAUUUUUCCCCUAUAGAUAGACAUUAUUAGGUUAAUACGAGGGGAGACCUAAACCUAGCCAUUCUUAGUUUUAUUUUGUUUUCUUUAUUUUGUGGCUUUUUAAACUCUCCAUCUAGUCAAAGGUUUUAUCAAAAUUUGAUUUAAUAAAUUUGCGAGACUUAAUUUUUGCUUUAAUUUUUCUUUGUUCUUUAGUAUUCAUGCAUUUUUUGUUUUAAUUACAACUUUUCAGGUUUAUUGAAUGUUCAGUCGGUAUUUGAUAGCCUAGAAUGAUUGUUUUGUCAAUUAGAAUUGUUAAACCCAUAAUUGUAUAAUUCAUUCUAAUACUAGUGACAAACUGCAUAAUUCGUUUAAGUGUAGUUCAUGUUUAUGUGGUGUGAAUGUGUGAUAUAGCUAAAAUGAAUCUCACUAGGAUGAGUUUGUUGGUUAGAAUUUGGACUCUCUCGUUCUUAAUACUGGCGGUAAGUUAAAUCUGGGGCGUUGAGUUACAGGGUUAUUUAUCGAUUAGGAAAUAAUUUCAAAUGAGUUUUCUCUUGGCUAUCGAACAAUGAGAGAUUGGUUGUCCGACACUGAGUCAAUAACUAGAACUAAUUUAUUAAAGGUAUUGAAGUUAUUUUUGCAUUGAUGAUCAAAUCUUUGAAUCAAACGAAGAUUUUAGUACUUCUAGAGUUUCUCCUCAUUAAUUUUCUUUUCUUUUGUUUUAUAAUUUAUUUUUACUUUGUUUUAAUUUUAAUUUUUAAUUUUAAACUCUUUUUAUAUUUUUCAUGUAAAUUUUUGUUUUUAUAAAUCGCUGCAUCCUUGCAUUACUUCAAUACAACACCAGAAGAACAAAAUGUCAAACACUGACGCUUAUAGAUAAAAAUCUUGCAAAAGAGGCCGUUUUAUUUUAUCAUAAAAUUAUUCAUGAAAUAGCCAUACAUGGCAAUUACAUAAGCUUGAAGGCCUUAAAACACAGAGACAUACGAUAGAAAUACGCAAACACACACACAAACGAUAGUAAUAAGCAAACACACACAGACGCAGUAAUGAAGGCUAACUUCAACUUCGUAGUAGUGCACACCGAUGGAGCACAUUAUUAUUUAGUUUACAGUUUCGACCUCUAGUGAUCGAAAACCCUGGCUCAAAGCCGGCAGCUUACGCACCCGUAGUGGUGUUGGGUUGGUUGCCAAGAAAAGCUGCAUCAGCAUUCUCAUCAGUGCAAUAAAGGCAAGGGUGCUGCUGUCCACAUCCUAGCUUUAUUAUUUCAUUCCUGACCUUCACCACAAGUUGUCUAUUGCUUAAUGCCCCAUUGCUCUCCCUGAUGACCUUCAGAACUGUAUAGGUAAAGGCCCCAAACCCCAUUCCUCCGGUUUUGUCACUCGCUCCCAUAUCACUCGAUUCCUCAUUGGCUUGGCACCCACUUAACAGAAUUCCCUCAUCCUCCGUCAGUGACCUCAAAUUCACAAUAUCACGUUCAUCAUGGGGUAGGAAUUUGAGACUCACAUUGUUCCCAAAGAUUGUGGUCAAAAUAGAGCCAAUACCCUCCAUAUUAUCUGUUCCAGUGUUGAUGGCAUUCCCAAGUGCUCUUGUGGGAAAUAAGCCUUGUGUCGCGAUUAUGACGUUGGCUACUGUUUGUAGGCACUGGUAUAAGGUUCCUAAGGAAAUGCCCCUAGUCUUGUAAUCAACAGGUAGUGCUAUACCCCUUAGAGUACUAUGGGGUCCAAUUUGUUCUUUACUUUUAUCAAUCAGACCACCACUGUGGCAGGAAUCCGAAACCAUUGUGAAGCUUGAUCCACUUGGUAGUUGCUUAAUCAAUUGCCCCAAGUCCACGUC